UUAUUGGUUAAUUAGCACUGAUCUGCAUGGACCCUCAUGGAUAAGUCUCUCGUUAAUGUGCUCUGUAGUUGCACGAAAAAUCCAUGUCAGAGUUUACAAAAACAAUAGUCAUCAAUUUCAAACGUCAAAAUCAUCACCAAAGGAACGUAAAAAGUCAACGCAAGAUAAGACCAUCUUGGGAAGUAUAUUAAUUUUAUUAUACGUAAGAGGUCUCGCAUUUGCAUGCAUAAAGGUUGAAAAUUACAAAUGACACACCGGAGAUUUGAUUGACACACACAUCAACAAUCCAUAUGCAUGAAAAUGACAAGAACUUAAUUUUCUGUUUCUACGCGUGGCAGUUUAUUUUUCUUAAAAAACAAAGAUAAAAGAGAAUAAAACGCAGCAACUCGAUUGAUCGCUAUCUUGCUCCAAGUAAGCCUUCCAUCAAACCCUUGCUUUCUUUAUUCGGAUACCAUUCGCCUCUCCUACAAGAACAAAUUAAUCAAUCUCUUUUAUUUGUCACUUAAUCAAUAGGAACGCAAUUAAACAGAACACGGUGCUUAAAAUUGAAAUGCUUAAUGUAAUUCUGAACUACUAGUCUUUACAUGUACAGUUUUAAAAAUAAAUGAGAUUACCAUAAAAGCAUGAGCUAUUCAUGGCCGCUUUCUAGUAGUAGUAAGGAGGAGGGGGAGAUGCAUAGACGUAAGGGUGAGGUGGUGGUGGGGACUUGGGGACAGGAGGUGGCGGGGAAUAGGAAAUUGGAGUUGGUGCCGGAGCAGGCACGUAGACUGGUGGAGGAGGUGGCGGGGGCAGGUAAACAGGGGGUGGUGGUGGAGAAUUGUGAACCGGUGGCGGGGGUGGUGGAGACUUGUACUUGGGAGGGGGAGGAGAUGUGUAGUAGUAUUUGUUUGCGGAGGCUUCUAACGGCAAGUAGCUAAGAGAGACUGAUACUACCAAAAGAGUGGCAAAGAGGCAGCCCAUUUGAGACCCCAUCGUUCAAUAAAGUGGAGUUUCACUUGUGCUAUAAACAAAGCUCGUUCCCCUCCUUAUAUAGACUUCCUUUUUACCUUCUCUACCAAACUUCUCAUAUUUAACCUUGACGUUAAACAAUUUUAUGUAUGAAAAGGAUGUCAUCAAGUGGGACCAAUUUGACUAAAUUUAAAAUUUAUAUGAUUUUGUUUAGUGGCCAGCUGUUGGCCAAGCAGGGAAUAAAGUAAUUAACAGUCCGAGAGUCACGAUCCUGUUAAAGAUAUGGCUUUUUGUUUUUUAAUCAAUGUAAUAAUUUGCGCAGGGGUCUUUGUGAUUUAUUUCAAUAACGUUAUUCUUCAUGAAGAGCUUGAAAACAUGUACUUAAUUACCUAACUUAUCAUGAAUGUUUUGGCCUUGGAUCCAGGCGGCGAGACUUAUUUUCAACGUCAUUUCAUUUAUUUAUUCAUUUUCACUUCGCAGCUUAUUAAUUGUUUUAAUUCCUCCAAAAACAAGUAGCUAGAGAUAUAUUUAACAUAGCUUUAAUUUAAAUUUCUUAUGAAUUCCUUUUAAUGCUCUUAUCUCACGGUGAAAUUAAUUUUCUCCUUGGGCAUAGCAGAAGCAAAAUAGUAGAUAUCGUUCAAGUACUCGAUCAAGUCAAUGCGAUAAAGUUACGCUCUAAUCGAAGUGUGAUUAAACUCAAAGGGAUUUUCAAUACUGCGUUAAGCAAAGCUAGAUGAUGCUCUAAUCAAACAACUUUAAAAGAGGGGUUUUUAAUAGAUAAUACAAAAGGAAAUUAUAAAAGAGGGGUUUUUAAUUGAAUAACUGAAAUUGAAGUUAUAAAGUAAUAACAAGAUCUCUUUAUUUAUAAUACAGUAAAUAUAUUUUCCGAAGUUAGCUUAAAAAGAGAAAGUAAAUUAUAAUUAUAACAUAAAUAAAAGAAAACUAAGACACUUACUUUAAUUAAAAAAAAAUAUCAGAAGACCUAAAAAUUAAAAUUCUAAAAUUCUAAAAUAACGUCCUACAUCAUUAACAAGCAUAGGAAACAACCUAGUCAUUAUGUAUUAACAAAUUAGUUUAAUUUGAUUCGUUGUCGUUGAUAGCUUGUGGAUCUUUGAAUAUUCAACAUCAACCAACACGUUAAGGACUUGUACAUAUAAUUGAACAAAGUAUGAAAUUGUAAAAUUAACCCUAAAUACAAAAAAAAAAUCAUAUUUUAAAACAUAAAAUUUGUAUGUAAAAAAAUUAUGACGCAACAAUUAAUUUACAAAAUAAAAAGCAAUAUUAGUAUUUAUGCUACACUAGUCCCAUAAUUAGUGCCACAAGGACCGUUUUGCAAUAUAUGCAAAAUUUCUGUGAAAUUGUAUAAUUUAUAUAAUUCAAGGAUUUUACCUUCUAUUUUUGUUUAAUUGAUUUUGAAUAACUGGAUGAUUUCUUCUUCCAUCUCUUCUACAUAUAUAUUUAAAGUUUUAUUAUAAUAUUAUGAAGAUCUAAAUGAUUAUUAAAUUUAUAAAGAUUUAUAAAACCUGAAUAUACUAUAGCACCGGCAUUUAUAAUUUAUUGUCUCUCUUGAGAUAUAAACUAGAUUUGUUCUUCCAACAUAUAUAUCCAUGUGUCCAAUCUAUUUUCCCAACCAAGGUACAUGCCAUCAAUGCUUUCACAUAGAUAUUAUAAUCUAAAUUGAGCAUUCAGAAUAAAAAAUUUCACAUCACUAUUAUUGUUAUUAUUAAUCAAUAGACUUAUUAUGGACGGUUUAGAGUCCUGUUAUUUAUUUUGCAUCAAUCUUGAAUUAUCUUAAGACCGGUUAAAAUAGAUUCUAUUAAUACUAUUAUAUUUUCUUCCUUAAAUGUGUCAUGUAUUUCAUUGUUAUCUUCAAAGUUUAUUCUCUCCAUAUCUCUCUAAAAGAUUGGGGAUACACUUGGGUUAAGAGAUUGGAGAUAAUCUCUAGAUGUAAAGGUUGAUUGACGCCUAAGAAGUCAAUUGUAAGUGUUCUUGAAGCCUUGAAGGCUUGACUAGUGGAAUGCCCAAGCUCGGUGUGCUUGGAGGCGUGGAUGUAAGCAAGGUUGGCCGAACCACGUAAAACUCUCUGUGUUUUAAUCUCUCUUCCUUUAUCUUUUUAUAUUUUGGUUGAUUUAUUUAUUAUUGCUUUAGAUUCGUUUAAGAUUUGCAUUAAGUUUUGAUUAAGAAUUGCAUAAUUUUUAGAAACCUAAUUCACCCCCCUCUUGGGUUGGUUAGAUAUUAUUUCACUAACAUGCCUCUGUUUGUGCAAAAUAUAAUAAGGUAAUUUAGAGUACUAACCAGAGUACUCUUCCUCGAAAUUCUAGAAUAGGUUCGCUAGUUCCAUGAGCCCAUAGAUUGGCCCAUGCUCAGCACUGUUAUAGCUCCACACAUCAUGCAAGAUCACUCCCGCAACUAUUCCACACGACCUAAAGCAACACAUUGCCGACUAGCCCAAUAAGAUCUGCCUUAGUUCAUUAGUUGAAUAAUUUGUUUUAAUUCUAAUUUAUAAUAAGAAUGGCACUGAUAAAAUUACUGUAGCAAUUCCUAUAAUAAUAAUCCUUGUGGAGACGAUCUUGAAUUUUUAUCGUUAUAUUACUUGUUGUCUACAUUUUCACAUUGACACUAAUAGCAUUAGAAAAUCGACAGCAAGUUUUUUGCGCCGUUGCCGGGGAUUGGUGCUUAUUGUGUUUUGUGAAAUCAAUUUUAGUUGGUACAGUGGAGUUCUUUGCCACCAGACUCCAUCACCACAUGGAAUGAUUUGGCUGACAAAAUUUUGAUGAAAUAUUUCCCACCAACAAAGAAUACAAAGUUGAAGAAUGAGAUCACAUCUUUCCAUCAACUUGAAGAUGAAAGCUUGUAUGAUGCAUGAGAAAGAUUCAAGGAGUUACUCAGGAGAUGCCCUCAUCAUGGUAUUCCUUAUUGCAUACAAUUGGAAACUUUCUACAAUGGGUUGAACUCAAGCACUAGGGGCUUUAUUGUCUAACUCAUAUAAUGAGGCUUAUGAAAUUUUGGAAAGGAUAACUAUCAAUGGCCAUCAACUAGACAAGCCACAGUGAGAGGAGCGGCAGGAGAACACAAUGUGGAUGCACUGACAACAUUAACAACCCAAGUAACCUCAUUGACAAAUAUGGUAAAAGCAACGGCCACUGUUCCAGCAACAUUUAACCAAGUUGCUGAAGUCUCUUGUGUUUAUUAUGGAGAGGGACAUCUAUAUGAUAAUUGUCCUAAGAAUUCAGCUUCAGUCAAUUAUGUGGGCAAUUUUAAUAAACAAAAUCCAAGCAAUCCAUUUUCAAACACCUAUAACCUUGGAUGGAGACAUCACCUAAAUUUUUCAUGGAGCAAUCAGAAUCAGCAUGCUGCAGCAUCCAGUGGACAUAACAGACUUGCUCAGCCACCUGGUUUUCACCAGCAAUUUUAAGGGUAAAGAAACACCAGUAAUGAUCAAUUUAGUUCCCUUGAAACUCUAAUUAAGGAGUAUAUUGUGAAGAUUGAAGUAGUGGUCUAAAGCCAAGCUGUAUUUUUAAGAAACUUGGAGAAUAAGAUUGGAUAGCUUGCUACAGCAUUGAGCAACAUACCUCAGGAUAAUUUACUAAACAAUACAGAGGAUCUAAAGAGAGAAGGAAAAGAGCAUUGUAAGGGGAUUAACUUAAAGCCUGGAAAGGAUGUUCAUAUUCUUGUUAAAGUACCAAAAAGAAGAAUGGAACCUAAUUCAACCCAAGGGGAAACUCAAAUUAAAGAAGAGACACAACAACCCUUUUUCCAGCACACUGGUGAGAGUUGCUAAGCUAUAGCAACUGCAAAAAAAAUGAUUCAGUGCUUGUUGAGGAAGUAGCUGCAGCACCAACAAUAACAGACCAUAAUAGAGCAAGAGAAAAGCAAUCUGUAUAGUCUGCUGCAGUACAACAAUUUACACAUCCACCACCCUUCCCACAAAGAUUUCAAAAGCGAAAGCAAGACAAGCAGUUCAGUAAAUUCUUGGAAGUAUUGAAACAACUGCAUAUCAACAUUCCUUUUGUGGAAGCAUUAGAACAAAUGCCAAAUUAUGUAAAGUUUUGGAAAUGUAUAUUGGCAAGGAAAAUGAGGCUUGGAGAAUUUGAAAUAGUUGGUCAAACACAAGAAUGCAGCCAUAUGCUUCAGAGUAAAAUGCCUCAGAAGUUGAAGGAUCUAGAAAGUAUCACAAUUCAUUGUUCUAUAGGAACUAAAUACAGUGGCAAGACACUUUGUGAUUUGGGAGCAAGUAUCAAUCUUAUGACAUUAUCAGAAUUCAAGCAAUUGGGAGUUGGAGAAGUCAGACCAACCACAGUGACAUUGUAAUAUGCUGCCAGAUCUCAUGCUUACCCUGAAGGCAAGAUUGAAGACGUAUUGGUUAAAGUGGAUAAAUUCUUUUUCCUAGUGGAUUUCAUAGUGUUGGACUUUGAGACAAAUAAAGAAGUACCAAUUAUUCUAGGCAGACCCUUUUUAGCCACAUGAUUUUCAAACUUAUCACUAUUACAACACUAAUUUUUAAUAUUGAUAGGAUUUUCAGGUCCUAUUACAACACUUUCAUGAAAUGACUGACCACCUGACCUAGUGUGCACCUCAAACUCAAUGACAGGACAACUAUUGAUAAAAAAAAACUCCUCGAAAACCCAAUACAAUUCACUAUCGUUUGAAAUUAGUUUCCACUGCCUACUUGUACUUUGAGUGAGUAACUGAGUGUCGUCAUUACAAGUGAUAGGCAUUCACAUGAAAGCUCAAUGUUGCAUUGAAGGGUUUAACUGAAAAAAAAAAUUAUUAUUAUUGUAGCACAGUUUGAGUAUAUUUAUGAUUUCUGCUCCCCCAUAUGUGAAUAUAUUUGUGUUCUACCUCUGAAUUAUAUGCAAUGUUUGUAUAAUGUUGUAGCACCUGUGGAAUUUGAUUAAAAUGGCACACAUACACUCUGGACAAAAUGAGGCCUAAGUCUAAAACUUGAACUAUUAUGGCAAUUUUGUAUGAUUAAGAGUGAGAUCUGAGGGUUGAAGAAUCCUUGCAAAUUUGAUGACAGAGUUAAGUUAUUUGUUGCAUGAUUGUGUGAUUAAAGUGUUAUUGUUGUUGUCAUUACUUGAGGACAAGUAAUGGUUCAGGUUUGGGGGUGUGAUAACUUUAUAAAAUAAGAGUUAUCAUGGCACUUUUAGACUUAAAUCAAUAAUACUUAUAGAGUUAAUAAUGUGUUUUCAUUACAUUUUUAUUUUAUUUUACAUAAACAUUCAUCUUAGUUUAUUCGUAAUAAAUUUUGUUUGAUUUAGAAUAAUUUGUGUGCUAAAUCAUAUGCAUAAUUGUAGGUGUCCGGAAGCCCAAAUUUCAAGAAAGGAAUGCUGAUGCAAUAGACUUUCCAAAGAUAGAAAAGAACUUGGCUACAAAAGAAUUAAAACAAAUCUGGAACAGUGCAAUUGCUGUAGCUAUUACUGUAGCAACCAUUGUUGUAGCAAUCCUAGAACAAUGACGGAUAAAAUUCUGUACGAGAUAAUUGCAUAAUUGCAAUCUGAAGUUUCCUAAUCUGACUUAUGUGCGACCUAGGCUUCCGUUUACCCUAAUUUUCAACUACAAAAGAAGCACACAUCAUAAGGAAAAGAGGGAACCGUCACCCAAGGAGAAAAACAUAAAGAAACAAAAGAAAAACAAGCUUCAAGAGAGAGAUUAAGAGUUACACAAGAGGAAAAAUUACAGAGAUCAAUUGAGAGCUCAAUCCUUCUUAUCAUUCUCUUGUUUUCGUGUUUUCUAUUUAUUCAUGGGGAUGUGUUUCAUGGCCGAAACUUUGUUCUUUAUUUUUCUUUCGCAAAUCAUGAACUAAAUUUAUUUGCGGUUGAGUGAUAAACAAUUUUGAUGGUUUAUUGACUGAAAAUAUGAGUUGCUGCAUGUUUGCUAUAGCAUUUUGUUUUGAUAGAAUUUAUUUUUAUUCAUUAUUUCGGUUGAUCACCCAUUUAAUGAUACUAGCUAAGGAAGAGCCACAAAAGGAACCUAUCUUAGUGGAACAUAUCAAAGCAAUACUUGAUCUUAAAUUGAGUUUCCUGGAUUGAGUUUUACUUGAGUCUCAAAAGGGCCAUUCUUGAUUUAAGAUUAGUGUGAACUAGACAUAGGGAUUCACCUUGUAGGGUAAAUAGAAUCUAAGCGUGUAAUGCUAUAUUUUAUGUUGGCAUAACAACUGAUCACUAUUAGGUUGCAUAUAGAUAUAUGAUAUCCAACAUGCGACGGCUAAGGAUGCAUAAGAAUUUUGCUCAGUGCUGUAGCAUAUACUGCAGCAACCUAGCCAACAAUUAGAAAAUAGUCAAGACCAUUAAGAGAGUUUAUUCACUCAACUACUCUAUAUUCCCAUUGGUUUUAUCCUUGAGUUUGACGUGAUAAUUUACUUUGUUGCAUUUUAUUUAUUGCGUUUUUAUUUUAAUUAGUAUAUUUGUUUCAUUAAUUAUUUUAUUUUAAUUUAAAACAAAAUCUGCACUGUUGAAAUUGCUGUAGCAAAUCUAAUAACAUCAAUCUCUGUGAAGACGAUCUUCAAUACUCAUCAUUAUAUUACUUGUUGUGUACACUUGCACAUUGACACCAAUAGCAUUAGUAUUUAUACCCAACAUACCUACAAAAAAAAAUCAAGUUAUGCCUUUUGGAAUCCAAAUACAUUUUGCUCCAUAAUAUGCAUUUCUUUUAACUGGACAUCUAUUCUUCAUGUGACCAUCUUGAUUGCAAUGGUGGUAUACAACUUGAUUGUUAAUGGAGGUACUCUUUACAAAUUAUUCUUAUAAUACUUCUGUUUCAAAUUUGGUUUAUAGCCAAUACCUCAUUUGUCUAACACACAUUUUUGUGAAUUAAGUUAUCCAAUAUCUUUUGCCUAUUUGUAAAUUUUAAGACAACAUCACUAAGUUCAAUAUUCCUUUUCUUGAGCAUCUCAUUUUCCUUUUUCAAAUCAUUUACAUGUGAUUUUAUAUGUUCAUGUGAAGUGCUAGGUUUCUCAUUUGAUAAUGCAACUCUAUCAUGCAAUGCUUUAUUUUCUAAUUCUAUGCAACUAAUCUUUGCACUUAGAGAUUCAUUUUCAUUUGUGAGCUCUGUUGUUUUCUUUUUAAGACAUGCAUUCUUUCUACCAACUUUCAUCAAUUCAUCCUACAAUUCUAUAAAAGCAUCAUAUAACUCAUCAUAAGUAGGAAGAUCAUUUACCUCAUCAAGUUCAUCAUCUCCUAUUGCCAUAAGUGUUAGGUUUGAUACUUCUUGUGAAUCUUCUUCAUCACUCAAUUCUUCAUCGCUAUCGUCCCAAGUAGCCACCAUGGCUUUCUUCUUGAGUUUGUCGAGAAGUGGACACUCCGAUUUUAAAUGACCACGCUUUUGGCAUUCAAAAGCGUGGAUAAGACAUGAAUUAGAAUUGUAAAAAGUUUGAUUUAUCAUAAAUUCUAUAUUUAGUCUAGGACAUUUGUAUACAUUUUUUUCCCAUUUUCUAUAAUGAUAUCUAUUUAUUACACAUGUUAAUUAAGUGCAAUUAUUUAUCUUGAUGUGGAUCAAGUAAAAAAAAAAAAAAGAGAUAUCAAUAAAAUUAGAUCUAAUUUUGAAUAUUAUGUAUACUUUAUGUAGUUUCAAACUUUUUGCUUGUAUUUGGAGACCAUUUAAGGCUGUUGUUGAAGAAGUGUAGAAAGAUGUAAAAUAACCUCAUCUUACAACAACUAUGAAAGAUAUUAAAAUAAUAUUUUUUUCAAAAUCCGAUUUUGAGAAAAAAUUUCAUCCUUAAUUAAACAUCACAUGUAUUAUAGAAAUGCAAAACUACCAUUGUUAUAUUUAAAUUAAAAAAUAAUAAAUAUAUAAGGUAAUAAACAUUAUAACGAGUUUUUAUUUUAAAAUUGUAAACUUUUUUUCCGACAAUAACUCUUAUAUUAAUUUAUUUAUUUUGCCUUUUAUUCAUAAGUUUUAUGCAUAAUCUACAAAUUUUAUGUUUUAUUUUGCAUUUAAUGUUGAUUUUCUUUUUUUAUAUUAUACGUAUAAGUUUUCAUUUUAUUUACCAGUAAUACAUCUAUUUAUCAGUUUUAUAGUAAUUUACUUAUUUUACCUACCUUUUACAAUUCUUAUGUUUCAUUUCCAAAAUUUAUGUUUUAUUUUACAGUUGUUGAUGAUUUGCUAGUUUUAUGUUAUGUUUGCAAGUUUUUGUUUUGUUUACUAGUAAUAGAUUAAUGGGUAAUUUUUAAUUGAGUCCUCAUUAGUUCUAGAAAAAAAAUUCAGAGACCAGAAGUUUACUAAAUGAAUCAAUUAAAUUCUUUCAAGUACAAACUAAUGUCAUUCAAGUCCUUAACUUAAUUGCUCAGUUAAAAAUAUUAACAACGUUGAGGACAUUUUAGUAAAACAACAAUUGAGUUGUUUCUCAUUCUUUAUUUUUGACAGGUGGAAAUAGUUUAAAGUAAACUCAAUUAACCUGAUUAAGUUAAGGAUCAGUUCUUUCAAAUGAAAAAAAAAAAACCUAUAGAAAUUGCCAUAUUCUUCAUGUGAGAGGAGAGAUCGAGAGAACGUGGGAUGGUGCAAAAAAUGUUGUAUAAAUCUACUGUGAUUUUGACCAAAGCUUUGGUAGCAUUGAUUGAGUUCAAGUACUAGAGAGAACCUGAGUUUAAAGGUUAGUAACUCUAUUUUUUUAGUGAUUUCUGCAAGAAUUUUCUGAUAAAAUUUUUUCCAUAUUGAGUGAUCGUUGUGAAAAAUUAGGUUUUUCAAGUCUAUUUUUCAAAAUGACAAACUAUGUUUAAUUAUUGAUGGAUUCUUUUUUUUGUUCAAUGUUGUAUUUUGUUAAUUUGUUGUUUUUAAUUUGCUCUUUAUGUAAUUGUUAGACCAAAUACACCAUUAUUAUACCUGUAUUCAUUUCAACAAUUUGGUAUCGUUAUAUUAAUAAGAUUGAAUUCAUUGUAUUGGCUUCUUUGUUCAUGUAAAAUUGAAUUCUAUGUAUUCUUAUGAGUGAUAAUUUUUCUAUCUAUUAGACUAAAGUCACUAUAUUCACUACUUUCUUUCUUUUUGCUGGGCUAUUUUUUCUUUUUAGUUUAUAUUUUUUAUAUGUAUUAGAUUGAAUUUGCUUUUGUACAUUUUUUAGCCGAAUUACAUGUAUAUUUCAUUUAGGUUGAGUUUUUUUGUUGUUUGCUAAAUAAAAUUAUAUUGGUUUAUCCUUUUUUGAUGCAAUACUUUUUGUUUAAAAUUAAUGCAGGUAGCCAUGUUACCCUUUUUUGGGUUAAAAUUAAUGGGGUGAUGUAUGCGAUAAGAUUAUUAGGCUGUUUCUUGAAAUUCAAGAUGCCAUGAUUAAGCAUGGACACAGUGAAAUGGAUUUGAUUGAAAUUUCUGUUGUAUUGCCAUGGACUACAAGUAGGCAGAGGAAGCUAAUUUCAAACGAUAGUGAAUUGUAUUGGGUUUUCGAGGAGUUUUUUUUUAUCAAUAGUUGUCCUACAUUGAGUUUGAGGUGCACACUAGGUCAGGUGGUCAGUCAUUUCAUGAAAGUGUUGUAAUAGGACCUAAAAAUCCUGUCAAUAUUAAAAUUAGUGUUGUAAUAGUGAUAAGUUUGAAAUUCCUGUAGCUAAAAAGGGCCUGCCUAGAAUAAUUGGUACUUUUUUAUUUGCCUCAAAGUCCAACACUAUGAAAUCCACUAGGAAAAAGAAUUUAUCCACUUUAAUCGGCACGUCUUCAAUCUUGCCUUCAGGAUAAGCAUGAGAUCUGGCAGCACAUUGCAAUGUCACUGUGGUUGGUCUGACUUCUCCAACUCCCAAUUGCUUGAAUUAUGAUAAUGUCAUAAGAUUGAUGCUUGCUCCCAAAUCACAAAGUGUAUUGCCACUGUAUUUAGUUCCUAUGGAAUAAUGAAUUGUGAUACUUCUUGGAUCCUUUAACUUCUGAGGUAUUUUACUCUGAAGCAUAUGGCUGUAUUCUUAUGUUAGACCAACUAUUUCAAAUUCUCCAAGCCUCAUUUUCCUUGCCAAUAUACAUUUCCAAAACUUUACAUAAUUUGGCAUUUGUUCUAAUACUUCCACAAAAGGAAUGUUGAUAUGCAGUUGUUUCAAUACUUUCAAGAAUUUACUGAACUGCUUGUCUUGCUUUCGCUUUUGAAAUCUUUGUGGGAAGGGUGGUGGAUGUGUAAAUUGUUGUACUGUAGCAGACUAUACAGAUUGCUUUUCUCUUGCUCUAUUAUGGUAUGUUAUUGUUGGUGCUGCAGCUUCUUCCUCAACAAGCACUGAAUCAUGUUUUUUUGCAGUUGCUAUAGCUUAGCAACUCUCACUAGUGUGCUGGAAAAUGGGUUGUUGUGUCUCUUCUUUAAUUUGAGUUUCCCCUUGGGUUGAAUUAGGUUCCACUCUUUUUUUUGGUACUUUAACAAGAAUAUGGACAUCCUUUCCAGACUUUAAGUUAAUCCCCUUACAAUGCUCUUUUCCUUCUCUCUUUGGAUCCUCUAUAUUGUUUAGUAAAUUAUCCUGAGGUAUGUUGCUCAAUGCUGUAGCAAGCUGUCCAAUCUUAUUCUCCAAGUUUCUUAAAAAUACAGCUUGGCUUUAGACCACUACUUCAAUCUUCACAAUAUACUCCUUAAUCAGAGUUUCAAGGGAACUAAAUUGAUCAUUACUGGUGUUUCUUUACCCUUAAAAUUGCUGGUGAAAACCAGGUGGCUGAGCAAGUCUGUUAUGUCCACUGGAUGCUGCAGCAUGCUGAUUCUGAUUGCUCCAUGAAAAAUUUAGGUGAUGUCUCCAUCCAAUGUUAUAGGUGUUUGAAAAUGGAUUGCUUGGAUUUUGUUUAUUAAAAUUGCCCACAUAAUUGACUGAAGCUGAAUUCUUAGGACAAUUAUCAUAUAGAUGUCCCUCUCUAUAAUAAACACAAGAGACUUCAGCAACUUGGUUAAAUGUUGCUGGAACAGUGGCCGUUGCUUUUACCAUAUUUGUCAAUGAGGUUACUUGGGUUGUUAAUGUUGUCAGUGCAUCCACAUUGUGUUCUCCUGCUGCUCCUCUCACUGUGGCUUGUCUAGUUGAUGGCCAUUGAUAGUUAUCCUUUCCAAAAUUUCAUAAGCCUCAUUAUAUGAGUUAGACAAUAAAGCCCCUAGUGCUUGAGUUCAACCCAUUGUAGAAAGUUUCCAAUUGUAUGCAAUAAGGAAUACCAUGAUGAGGGCAUCUCCUGAGUAACUCCUUGAAUCUUUCUCAUGCAUCAUACAAGCUUUCAUCUUCAAGUUGAUGGAAAGAUGUGAUCUCAUUCUUCAACUUUGCAUUCUUUGUUGGUGGGAAAUAUUUCAUCAAAAUUUUGUCAGCCAAAUCAUUCCAUGUGGUGAUGGAGUCUGGUGGCAAAGAACUCCACUAUACCAACUAAAAUUGAUUUCACAAAACACAAUAAGCACCAAUCCCCGGCAACGGCGCAAAAAACUUGCUGUCGAUUUUCUAAUGUUAUUAGUGUCAAUGUGAAAAUGUAGACAACAAGUAAUAUAACGAUAAAAAUUCAAGAUCGUCUCCACAAGGAUUAUUAUUAUAGGAAUUGUUACAGUAAUUUUAUCAGUGCCAUUCUUAUUAUAAAUUAGAAUUAAAACAAAUUAUUCAACUAAUGAACUAAGGCAGAUCUUAUUGGGCUAGUCGGCAAUGUGUUGCUUUAGGUCGUGUGGAAUAGUUGCGGGAGUGAUCUUGCAUGAUGUGUGGAGCUAUAACAGUGCUGAGCAUGGGCCAAUCUAUGGGCUCAUGGAACUAGCGAACCUAUUCUAGAAUUUCGAGGAAGAGUACUCUGGUUAGUACUCUAAAUUACCUUAUUAUAUUUUGCACAAACAGAGGCAUGUUAGUGAAAUAAUAUCUAACCAACCCAAGAGGGGGGUGAAUUAGGUUUCUAAAAAUUAUGCAAUUCUUAAUCAAAACUUAAUGCAAAUCUUAAACGAAUCUAAAGCAAUAAUAAAUAAAUCAACCAAAAUAUAAAAAGAUAAAGGAAGAGAGAUUAAAACACAGAGAGUUUUACGUGGUUCGGCCAACCUUGCCUACAUCCACGCCUCUAAGCACACCGAGCUUGGGCAUUCCACUAGUCAAGCCUUCAAGACUUCAAGAACACUUACAAUUGACUUCUUAGGCGUCAAUCAACCUUUACAUCUAGAGAUUAUCUCCAAUCUCUUAACCCAAGUGUAUCCCCAAUCUUUUAGAGAGAUAUGGAGAGAAUAAACUUUGAAGAUAACAAUGAAAUACAUGACACAUUUAAGGAAGAAAAUAUAAUAGUAUUAAUAGAAUCUAUUUUAACCGGUCUUAAGAUAAUUCAAGAUUGAUGCAAAAUAAAUAACAGGACUCUAAACCGUCCAUAAUAAGUCUAUUGAUUAAUAAUAACAAUAAUAGUGAUGUGAAAUUUUUUAUUCUGAAUGCUCAAUUUAGAUUAUAAUAUCUAUGUGAAAGCAUUGAUGGCAUGUACCUUGGUUGGGAAAAUAGAUUGGACACAUGGAUAUAUAUGUUGGAAGAACAAAUCUAGUUUAUAUCUCAAGAGAGACAAUAAAUUAUGAAUGCCGGUGCUAUAGUAUAUUCAGGUUUUAUAAAUCUUUAUAAAUUUAAUAAUCAUUUAGAUCUUCAUAAUAUUAUAAUAAAACUUUAAAUAUAUAUGUAGAAGAGAUGGAAGAAGAAAUCAUCCAGUUAUUCAAAAUCAAUUAAACAAAAAUAGAAGGUAAAAUCCUUGAAUUAUAUAAAUUAUACAAUUUCACAUAAAUUUUGCAUAUAUUGCAAAACGGUCCUUGUGGCACUAAUUAUGGGACUAGUGUAGCAUAAAUACUAAUAUUGCUUUUUAUUUUGUAAAUUAAUUGUUGCGUCAUAAUUUUUUUACAUACAAAUUUUAUGUUUUAAAAUAUGAUUUUUUUUUGUAUUUAGGGUUAAUUUUACAAUUUCAUACUUUGUUCAAUUAUAUGUACAAGUCCUUAACGUGUUGGUUGAUGUUGAAUAUUCAAAGAUCCACAAGCUAUCAACGACAACGAAUCAAAUUAAACUAAUUUGUUAAUACAUAAUGACUAGGUUGUUUCCUAUGCUUGUUAAUGAUGUAGGACGUUAUUUUAGGAUUUUAGAAUUUUAAUUUUUAGGUCUUCUGAUAUUUUCUUUUUUAAUUAAAGUAAGUGUCUUAGUUUUCUUUUAUUUAUGUUAUAAUUAUAAUUUACUUUCUCUUUUUAAGCUAACUUAGGAAAAUAUAUUUACUGUAUUAUAAAUAAAGAGAUCUUGUUAUUACUUUAUAACUUCAAUUUUAGUUAUUCAAUUAAAAACCCCUCUUUUAUAAUUUCCUUUUGUAUUAUCUAUUAAAAACCCCUCUUUUAAAGUUGUUUGAUUAGAGCAUCAUCUAGCUUUGCUUAACGCAGUAUUAAAAAUCCCUUUGAGUUUAAUCACACUUCGAUUAGAGCGUAACUUUAUCGCAUUGACUUGAUCCAGUACUUGAACGAUAUCUACUGUUUUGCUUCUGCUAUGCCCAAGGAGAAAAUUAAUUUCACCGUGAGAUAAGAGCAUUAAAAGGAAUUCAUAAGAAAUUUAAAUUAAAGCUAUGUUAAAUAUAUCGCUAGCUACUUGUUUUUGGAGGAAUUAAAACAAUUAAUAAGCUGCGAAGUGAAAAUGAAUAAAUAAAUGAAAUGACGUUGAAAAUAAGUCUCGCCGCCUGGAUCCAAGGCCAAAACAUUCAUGAUAAGUUAGGUAAUUAAGUACAUGUUUUCAAGCUCUUCAUGAAGAAUAACGUUAUUGAAAUAAAUCACAAAGACCCCUGCGCAAAUUAUUACAUUGAUUAAAAAACAAAAAAGCCAUAUCUUUAACAGGAUCGUGACUCUCGGACUGUUAAUUACUUUAUUCCCUGCUUGGCCAACAGCUGGCCACUAAACAAAAUCAUAUAAAUUUUAAAUUUAGUCAAAUUGGUCCCACUUGAUGACAUCCUUUUCAUACAUAAAAUUGUUUAACGUCAAGGUUAAAUAUGAGAAGUUUGUAGAGAAGGUAAAAAGGAAGUCUAUAUAAGGAGGGGAACGAGCUUUGUUUAUAGCACAAGUGAAACUCCACUUUAUUGAACGAUGGGGUCUCAAAUGGGCUGCCUCUUUGCCACUCUUUUGGUAGUAUCAGUCUCUCUUAGCUACUUGCCGUUAGAAGCCUCCGCAAACAAAUACUACUACACAUCUCCUCCCCCUCCCAAGUACAAGUCUCCACCACCCCCGCCACCGGUUCACAAUUCUCCACCACCACCCCCUGUUUACCUGCCCCCGCCACCUCCUCCACCAGUCUACGUGCCUGCUCCGGCACCAACUCCAAUUUCCUAUUCCCCGCCACCUCCUGUCCCCAAGUCCCCACCACCACCUCACCCUUACGUCUAUGCAUCUCCCCCUCCUCCUUACUACUACUAGAAAGCGGCCAUGAAUAGCUCAUGCUUUUAUGGUAAUCUCAUUUAUUUUUAAAACUGUACAUGUAAAGACUAGUAGUUCAGAAUUACAUUAAGCAUUUCAAUUUUAAGCACCGUGUUCUGUUUAAUUGCGUUCCUAUUGAUUAAGUGACAAAUAAAAGAGAUUGAUUAAUUUGUUCUUGUAGGAGAGGCGAAUGGUAUCCGAAUAAAGAAAGCAAGGGUUUGAUGGAAGGCUUACUUGGAGCAAGAUAGCGAUCAAUCGAGUUGCUGCGUUUUAUUCUCUUUUAUCUUUGUUUUUUAAGAAAAAUAAACUGCCACGCGUAGAAACAGAAAAUUAAGUUCUUGUCAUUUUCAUGCAUAUGGAUUGUUGAUGUGUGUGUCAAUCAAAUCUCCGGUGUGUCAUUUGUAAUUUUCAACCUUUAUGCAUGCAAAUGGGAGACCUCUUACGUAUAAUAAAAUUAAUAUACUUCCCAAGAUGGUCUUAUCUUGCGUUGACUUUUUACGUUCCUUUGGUGAUGAUUUUGAAUGCCAAAAGCGUGGUCAUGGAUUUUUCGUGCAACUACAGAGCACAUUAACGAGAGACUUAUCCAUGAGGGUCCAUGCAGAUCAGUGUCUAAUUAACCAAUAAUUAAUAUAACUUAAAAAAUAUAGAGUUAACAAUUUUUAUGGGUCAGGCUCAAUUAUAGAUGUUCGUACAAAAUUUCUUGCUAAUGUAUACUUGAGUAUGAUAAUAAGUUUUAAUCAUUAUUAGUAAUUCACUUGAUAAUAUUAAACAAAUUUUCAUAUCAAUUAAGUUACAAAAUUUCUGUGACAAAUUUCCACGUACUGGAACCAUGCAAAAGGGCUUUGUUCAAACAGAGCUGCAUAGCCGUUGGCAAUUAAAAUUAUUUAUCAAUAAAGUUAAGUAGUAAGAAUUGGAUUGUGGAUUCCAUUAAUUAUUUCAAGGAAAAUUUUAUAGAUAAUGCCGUAAUGAAAUUUACGGCAUCAAUAUCAUGAUAAAUAUAAAUAUUGUAAAUUACAAAUAGAAUUAGUAAAUGUAAAGUAAAACCAGUAAAUUCAUAAAAGAUUAUUAAUUAUUUAAAAAAUUAACAUUGUUUCUACAUAAUUUUAGUGAAAAAUAUUUUAUUCAUUUACAAAAAAAAAUUCUUUAAUUAAACAAAAAAAAUUCAUUAAUUAAGCAAAAAAAUUAUACUGAAAAAAAAGUGGAAUAAGUUUUUUUAUCAGUGGUGUGGACUUUGUAAACUUUUCAUCCUUAAUUAAACAUCACAUGUAUUAUAGAAAUGCAAAACUACCAUUGUUAUAUUUAAAUUAAAAAAUAAUAAAUAUAUAAGGUAAUAAACAUUAUAACGAGUUUUUAUUUUAAAAUUGUAAACUUUUAUUUCUGACAAUAACUCUUAUAUUAAUUUAUUUAUUUUGCCUUUUAUUCAUAAGUUUUAUGCAUAAUCUACAAAGUUUAUGUUUUAUUUUGCAUUUAAUGUUGAUUUUCUUUUUUUAUAUUAUACGUAUAAGUUUUCAUUUUAUUUACCAGUAAUACAUCAAUUUAUCAGUUUUAUAGUAAUUUACUUAUUUUACCUUCCUUUUAUAAUUCUUAUGUUUCAUUUCCAAAAUUUAUGUUUUAUUUUACAGUCGUUGAUGAUUUACUAGUUUUAUGUUAUGUUUGCAAGUUUUUGUUUUGUUUACUAGUAAUAGAUUAAUGGGUAAUUUUUAAUUGAGUCCUCAUUAGUUCUAGAAAAAAAAUUCAGAGACCAGAAGUUUACUAAAUGAAUCAAUUAAAUUCUUUCAAUUACAAACUAAUGUCAUUCAAAUCCUUAACUUAAUUGCUCAGUUAAAAAUAUUAACAACGUUGAGGACAUUUUAGUAAAACAACAAAUGAGUCGUUUCUCAUUCUUUAUUUUUGACAGGUGGAAAUAGUUUAAAGUAAACUCAAUUAACCUGAUUAAGUUAAGGAUCAGUUCUUUCAAAUGAAAAAAAAACCUACAGAAACUGCCAUAUUCUUCGUCUGAGAGGAGAGAUCGAGAGAACGUGGGACGGCGCAAAAAAUGUUGUAUAAAUCUACUGUGAUUUUGACCAAAGCUUUGGUAGCAUUGAUUGAGUUCAAGUACUGGAGAGAACCUGAGUUUAAAGGUUAGUAACUCUAUUUUUUUAGUGAUUUCUGCAAGCAUUUUCUGAUAAAAAUUUUUCCAUAUUGAGUGAUCGUUGUGAAAAAUUAAGUUUUUCAAGUCUAUUUUUCAAAAUGACAAACUAUGUUUAAUUAUUGGUGGAUUCUUUUUUUUGUUCAAUGUUGUAUUUUGUUAAUUUGUUGUUUUUAAUUUGCUCUUUAUGUAAUUGUUAGACCAAAUACACCAUUAUUAUACCUGUAUUCAUUUCAACAAUUUGGUAUUGUUAUAUUAAUAAGAUUGAAUUCAUUGUAUUUGCUUCUUUGUUCAUGUAAAAUUGAAUUCUAUGUAUUCUUAUGAGUGAUAAUUUUUCUAUCUAUUAGACUAAAUUCACUAUAUUCACUACUUUCUUUCUUUUUGCUGGGCUAUUUUUUCUUUUUAGUUUAUAUUUUUUAUAUGUAUUAGAUUGAAUUUGCUUUUGUGCGUUUUUUAGCCGAAUUACAUGUAUAUUUCAUUUAGGUUGAGUUUUUUUGUUGUUUGCUAAAUAAAAUUAUAUUGGUUUAUCCUUUUUUGAUGCAAUACUUUUGUUUAAAAUUAAUGCAGGUAGCCAUGUUACCUUUUUUUCGGUUAAAAUUAAUGGGGUGAUGUAUGCGAUAGGAUAUAGGGAACCAGAGGAAUAUAAGAUUAUUAGGCUGUUUCUUGAAAUUCAAGAUGUCAUGGUUAAGCAUGGACACAGUGAAAUGGAUUUGAUUGAAAUUUCUGUUGUAAUUUUUUCUCAAAAUCGGAUUUUGAAAAAAAUAUUAUUUUAAUAUCUUUUAUAGUUGUUUUAAGAUGAGGUUAUUUUACAUCUUUCUACACUUCUUCAGCAACAACCUUAAAUGGUCUCCAAAUACAAGUAAAAAGUUUGAAACUACAUAAAGUAUACAUAAUAUUCAAAAUUAGAUCUAAUUUUAUUGAUAUCUCUUUGUGUUUUUUUACUUGAUCCACAUCAAGAUAAAUAAUUGCACUUAAUUAACAUGUGUAAUAAAUAGAUAUCAUUAUAGAAAAUGGGAAAAAAAUGUAUACAAAUGUCCUAGACUAAAUAUAGAAUUUAUUGAAGAUUGAAAAUUACAAUCUUCAAUCUCAUCGGGAGUCUUUAUGGAAUCCAGCACAUUGAUUGUAACUUGCUGGUCAUUCACCCUCAUGGUUAAUUCUCCCUUUUGAACAUUAAUUAAAGUCUUUCUCGUGGCUAAGAAAGGUCUCCCUACAAUGAUUGACACUUCUUUGUCUGCCUCAAAGUCUAGCACAAUGAAAUCCACCGGAAAAAUAAAUUUAUCCACCUUCACCAACACAUCUUCAAUCUUUCCUUUUGAAUAGGCAUGAGAUCUGUCAGCAAGUUGUAGAGUCACUGUUGUUAGUCUACAUUCACCAACUCCCAAUUGCUUAAAUACUGAUAAAGGCAUGAGGUUGAUGCUAACCCCCAGAUCACAAAGUGUUUUGCCACUGUAUUUAGUGCCUAUGGAGCAUGGGAUUGUGAAGCUUCUUGGAUCCUUCAUCUUUUGUGGUAUCUUACUCUGAAGCAUUCGGCUGCACUCUUACGUUAGAGCAACUGUUUCAAACUCUCCAAGUCUUCUUUUCUUUGUCAAAAUAUCCUUUAAAAGUUUCGCAUAAUUUGGCAUUUGCUCUAGAGCUUCCACAAAAGGGAUAUUGAUAAAUAGUUGUUUCCGGCACUCCCAAGAUUUUGCUGAACUGCUUGUCUUGUUUUUUCUUCUGAAACCUUUAAGGAAAGGGUGGUGGAUGUUUAAAUUGUUGUGCUGCAGCAGGUUGUGCAGACUGCUUCUAUUUUGCUUUACUCGGGUCUGUUGUUGCAAUCUCGUUAUCCACAGGUGUUGGAUCAUCAUUUUUGGCAAAUGCUGCAGCUUGACUGCUCUCACCAGUGAGCUGUGAAGUUGAGGAUUGUGGCUCUUUUUCAAUUUGAGUUUCUUUCUGGAUUGAAGUGGACUCAACUCUUCUUUUUGAUACACCAACGGGACUAUGAACAUCCUUUCCAGAUCUCAAAUUAAUCACUUUGCAGUGCUCUUUCCCUUCUCUUCUUAGGUCCUCUGUAUUACUGGGUAAACUACCUUGAGGUCUGUUGCUCAAUGUUGUAGCAAGCUGUUCAAUUUGAUUUUCCAAGUUUCUCAAAGAUACAAUAUAACUUUGGACAACUACUUCAUUCUUCACAAUAUAAUCCUUAAUCAAACCUUCAAGGGAGCUGAGUUGAUCAUUGUUGAUGCUUCUUUGCUCUUGAUUUUGCUGAUAAAAUCCACUAGGUGCUGCAGCAGUCUGGUUCUGACAACCCCAUGAAAAGUUCGGAUGUUGUCUCCAUCCAGGGUUGUAAGUGUUUGAAUAUGGAUUGCUAUGGUUCUGUCUAUUGAAGCUGCCCACAUAAUUGACUGAAGCUGGAUUCCCAGAACAAUUGUCAAAUAAAUGUCAUUCUCCACAAUAAACACAAGACACAUUAGAAAUUUGGUUAACAGUUGCUGGAGCACUGGUCAUACCUUUCACCAUGUUUGUUAAUGAAGUUACUUGGGUUGACAAUACUGUCAAGGCAUCUACGUUAUGAACUCAUGAUGUUCCUCUUGCAGCAGCUUGUCUGGUUGACGGCCACUGAUAGUUAUUGUUGGCUAUUCUCUCCAAAAUUUCAUAAGCCUCAUUAUAAGACUUAGAUAAUAAGGCCUCAUUUGCUGAAACGUCCACCAUCAAUCUAGUACUUGGGUUGAGACCAUUAUAGAAAGUUUCCAAUUGUAUGCAACAAGGAAUACCAUGAUGAGGACAUCUCCUGAGUAACUCCUUAAAUCUCUCUCAUGCAGCACACAAGCUCUCAUCUUCAAGUUAAUGGAAAGAUGUGAUCUCGUUCCUCAACUUUGCAUUCUUGGUUGGCGGGAAGUAUUUCAUCAAAAACUUUUUAGCCAAAUCAUUACAUGUAGUGAUAGAAUCUGGUGGUAGAGAAUUCGACCAUGCUCUUGCUUGGUCUCUCAAAGAAAAAGGGAAAAGUUUGAGUCUCAAUGCUUCCUGCGAUGCUCCAGCAAUCUUGAAAGCAUCACUUACUUCCAAAAAUAACUUAAGGUAUAGAUGAGGAUCUUUGAAUGGCAAACCAUUAAAUUGCCCCACUGUUUGAAGCAUUUGAAACAUCACGGGUUUGAGUUCAAAAUUGUCAGCUUGAAUGUCGGGUCUAACUAUUCCCGGAUGUAUGGCUUGAGGAGUCAACACUACGUAAUCUCGAAUGGCUCUAUCUAUAUCGUUCGCCAUGUGAAUAAUGUUGUUGUUCCCCGGUUGCCUUUGAACACAUUGUCCAUUCAGACCUUCAUGUACAUUGACUGGUUGUAUCUCCUCUCUACAGUUCAAGUUUCUCAAAUCUUGGAAUUCAUCUAUUAUUACAGCAGCUUGUAAUUCCUGAUGCUCUCUUCUCAAUCUCCUUACAGUUCGUUCAAUUUCUGGAUCAAACUGGAAUUCAAUAGAUUUAUAUUUGCGCAUGCAACGGUUGUUAGAUCACCUAUGUCAACAAAAUAAACAAAUCAAAAUAAAAUUAAAAAUUAGCACCGUUAAAACUAAUUUCACAAAUCACAAUGAAUAAUCAAUCCCCAGCAACGGCGCCAAAAACUUGUUGGGUAAAAAUACUAAUGCUAUUGGUGUCAAUGUGCAAGUGUACACAACAAGUAAUAUAAUUAUGAGUAUUCAAGAUCGUCUCCACAGGAAUUAAUAUUAUUAGAUUUGCUACAGCAAUCCCAACAGUGCAGAUUUUGUUUUAAUGAUCAAUUUAGUUCCUUUGAAACUCUGAUUAUCAAUUAAAAUAAAAAUGCAAUAAAUAAAAUGUAACAAAGUAAAUUAUCACGUCAAACUCAAAGAUAAAACCAAUAGAAAUAUAGAGUAGUUGAGUGAAUAAACUCUCCUAAUGGUCUUGACUAUUUUCUAAUUGUUGGCUUGGUUGCUGCAGUAUCUACUACAACACUGGGCAGAAUCCUUAUGCAUCUUCAGCCGUCGCAUGUUGGAUAUCUUAUAUCUAUAUGCAACCUAACAGUGAUCAGUUAUUAUGCCAACAUAAAAUAUAGCAUUACACACUUUGGUUCUAUUUACCCUACAAGGUGAAUCCCUAUGUCUAGUUCAUCACUAAUCUUAAAUCAAGCAUGACCCUUUUGGGACUCAAGUAAAACUCAAUCCAGGAAACUCAAUUUAAGAUCAAGUAUUGCUUUGAUAUAUUCCACUCAGAUAAGCCCUUUUGUGGCUCUUCCUUAGCUAGUAUCAUUAAAUGGGUGAUCAGCCGAAAUAAUGAAUAAAAAUAAAUUCUAUCAAAACAAAAUGCUACAGCAAACAUGCAUCAACUCAUAUUUUCAGUCAAUAAACCAUCAAGAUUGUUUAUUACUCAACCACAAAUAAAUUUAGUUCAUGAUUUGCAAAAGAAAAAUAAAGAACAAAGUUUCGUCCAUGAAACACAUCCCCAUGAAUAAAUAGAAAACACGAAAAUAAGAGAAGGAUAAGAAGGAUUGAGCUCCCAAUUGAUCUCUGCAAUUUUCAUUUCUCAUCAAACAACUCUCUUUUAGAAUGGAUAUACAAAUGAUAGCUCAGUGAAGAUUUAAUCUAUGAUGAUUUACGAAAUUGAAGCUCAAUAUAUGUUGUGUGCACUUGUUUAUGCUUUCAAGAUUACCAAAAAUGAAUUGGAUUUGAGUUUAUAUAGUUUGAGCCCAAAAACUAGCCGUUAUAGACUAAUUUUUUGUGAUAACUGGCUUGCUGCUUUGUGAAUCUGGUUAGCCAUUUUUAUGUUACUGUUACAGCAAAUAUUUGAAUUUUGGAACAUCUAGCAUGCUGCUUUCGGAAUCCGGUUAGUCGCUUUCAUUCCAGUGAGCUACUGCCCAUAAUCUGACUUGCCGCUUUGUAAAAUCUUGUUAGUCGCAUUGCUACAGUGACGACUACAGUGAACUAUUUUCUAAAAUUACAAAACGUCGUAAAACUUUGCACAAAGGUCCAAUUUUAGAAUUUCUAAAUAAUGCUUGUUAUUCCCAAAACUUUCUGAAAUUAUGAUACCGUCAAAAAUGCUAUAAAACUUUUCAAAUAAGUCCCUCUCCAGAAUUCCAAGCAAUACUUGUUGAUUUCAAAGUUUUCAAAACUCUUUCAAUUAGACCACAAACUUGAAAAACAACCAAUUUUAUAAAAUCAUUUUUUCAUUAAAUAUAAAACCUUUAUAAUGUGAAAAUAAUGAUUUAUUUAAAAUGUAUAAAAAAUAAUUUGAACUUUUAAAGACUUAAUCAUUCUUAAUUUUAUUUGUUAUCAUCAAAAUCAACAUUAUGAAUACAUAAAUGUUAACAAUCUCCCGCUUUUUGAUGAUGACAUAAUUUUCAUGUAUUUAAAGAAUGAUUGCACAAAUUGCUCCUCCUAAAUGUAAGCUCCCCUUACAAUUUGAACUUAAAAGAUUAAUAAUUCUUAAUAUUGUUUGUUAUCAUCAAAAUCAACACUGUGGAAACAUAAAUGUUAACAAUCUCCCCCUUUUUUAUGAUGGCAAACCUUCAUGUAUUUAAAGAAUGAUUCCACAAAUUGCUCCCCCAAAAUGUAAGCUUCUCUUACAAUUUAGCUAAAUUAACAAAUUUAAAUACAUGUAUUCUUCUCCCCCUUCAUCAUAAAAAAGAAAACUUAAUGGAAAAGAAAAAGAGUAGCAAAUUUGUUAUCCAUGUUGUUCGAGUAGAAAUUUCGAUAGAAUCUCCCCAUAACAACAAGCAUCACCUCAAAUACAAGUUUAAUAAUAUUACUCCUAAAUUAUUAUAAAUCAUGAUACAAGCCAACUUCAUAUACAAAUCAUCACACAAUCCAUCAACCAUAAAAACAUCAUGAACCAUUAUUCCAUCAAUUACCAAAUCAACAACUCAUAACAUAAAAUUAUCAUGUAAAACAACCAUGUAAUCAAAUCAUCAUCAUAUCCCAAAAUCAUCAAAAUCAUCACCAUAAUCACAUAUCAAUCAUCAAAACAAUACUCAAAGUGCAUAUUAUUCUCCUCCUUUUGACAACAUCGAAAUGAUAUAUUACUUUGUCUCCCCCUUUGGACAACAAAAAAGUUCAAAAUGCAUAUUAUCCAAAAUCAUAUUGUAUGCUCCCCCUAAAUAUAUGGCCAAUUUAAAAUUUUAACCAAACUGAUUUUAUCCAAAAAUAUAUCAUAUUUAUCUCUCUCUUCAUCAUAAAAAAAAAAAGAUAGAUAUAUGCAAUCGAAACAAGAUCAUCAAAAAUAAUUCAAUGAAGAUAUUACCCAUUUUGUGCGAACAAAAAUUUUGGUAGUCUCCCCUUAAAAUUAAACAAAUCCUCAAACACACAACAUGGUUAAAAACACUUCCAUAUAAGCUUAAAUAAUUAUAACAAACCAACAACUCCAUCAAUUCAUUAAAGCAACACACAUAUAAUCAUCAAUCAUCAAAAUCAUCAAGAAAUCAAUUUUAAUAGUAUUAAUAACAUGAUUAGAGAUAUUAAUAAAUUUCAUCAUCCUAAGUUCAUGCCGAAUUUUUGAAAAUUGUUCUUCGCAAAAGGGUUUUGAUUUGUUUACCAAAUUGGCAUGCAAAAGUUAUAAGAACAUAUUAUCAACUAUCCAAGCUCCAUAAUUACUAAUCACGUUUUAGAAAUUAAGACAACUAAACUCAUCAAAGAUCUAAUGUGACAUUUCAAUAUAAUUUAAAAAUAUUAUAUGCUUAAAUUCUCGAAGUAUAUGUAUUUUUUCCUUUUUCGAUAUCAUUUAAAACAAGUAAUGCAUAUUCAACAAUACAUCGAUAAAGUAUAAAAAAUGCAUCCAUUCAUCAAUCAUAGAUUGCAUAAGAUCAAACUUCAUCAAAUACAAUGUAAUCAUCAAAGCACAUUCUUUAUCAUCAAAACUUAAGUAAAGCAUAAGUACAUAAUGACAAUAUAUAGAUCAUCAAAAUCAACAUAUAGCAAUAUAUAGAUCAUCAAAAUCAACAUAGCUAUUAAGAAAAGCCAUCAUGAUGAGCUAAACAACAAGUGAUCAAAUCCAUUAUUACAAAUGCUCACAUAGGCCAAUUUAAUAAAUGAUGAUAUAAUACAAUAAAUGACAUAUGAAUUUACACAUACAUAAGUGAUGAACGAAUAAGGAAGAUGAAUAAAUGACAUGAAACAUGAUGAUAGACAAUUAAAAAAAAAAAGAGAGAUCAAAGGUCAUACAAUCAUUGAAAUCAAACAAAGGCAUCAUGAUAAGUUUCAUGAUAAGUUGACAUGCUACCAUCAUAUAGAUUUAUCCAUACAUCAUGAUUACAUACAAUAAUAAUUCAAUUAUGUAAACGUAUGAGUAUGCUUUUGUAAAUUCAAGCUAUUAUCCAUCCAUCAUGAUUCAUUCAGCAAAAUCAAUAUGGCAAGAAUUGUUACCAAAAUAAUUAAAUCAUCUUGCCUCAUCUUUUUCUCUUAGAUCAUAAUCAAGUGAUUAUCCUCACAAUCUUUCAUCAAGGAACUCUCUACCAUUUCUUGAUUAUGGUACCUUGAUAACUCUAUAAAAUAAGAGUUAUCAUGACACUUUUAGACUUAAAUCAAUAAUAUUUCGAGAGUAAAUAAUGUGUUUUCAUUGUAUUUUUGUUUAAUUUUGCAUAAACAUUCACUUAGUUUAUUCGUAAUAAAUUAUGUUUGAUUUAGAAUAAUUUGUGUGCUAAAUCAUAUGCAUAAUUGUAGGUGUCCGGAAGCCCAAAUUUCAAUGAAAGAAUGCUGAUGCAAUAGGCUUGCAAAAGAUAGAAAAGAACUUGGCUACAAAAGAAUUGAAACAAAUCUGGAACAAUUCAGUUGUUGUAGUUAUUGCUGUAGCAACCUAGAACAACGACAGAGAAAAUUCUGCGUGGGAUAAUUGCAGAAUUGAGAUCUGAAGUUUCCUAAUCUGACUUAUGCAUGACCUAAGCUUCCGUUGCCCUAAUUUUCAAUUAUAAAAGAAGUACACAUCAUAAGGAAAAGAGGGAGCCGUCACCCAAGGAGAAAAAUAAAAAGAAACAAAAGAAAAACAAUCUCUUGAUUGUAAGGCCAUCUCCAAUGCAUAACGCCAUUUUUGUGUAACACCAACACCAAAAAUGUACCUUUUUCACACCAACUUACUGUUUCAUCUCCAACCCAUUUACACCAAAUUUUACACCAAAAAGAAUAUUCUUCUUUUUAUUCUUUUAAUUCUCAAGAAUUAAUUCAAUUAACACAAUAAAUAUUACUAUUAAUAUAGAUAAUUACGUAAUAAAUAAUUUUAUAUCGAUUAACAAAAGAAAUAUAGAAAAUUAUUAAUUUUGUAAUAUGUAAUCUAGUAAUUAAUGUUAUUGGCAUUUUAUUUUUAUUAUUAAUUUUUGUGUUGAAUAUUUUUUAUUUAAAAUUUUAGUAUAAUAUUCAAAAAUUAAAAAAAUGAAAUAAAAAGAAUAACAAAAAUAAUAAUAACUUAAAAUAUUAUAUAAAAUAGGGCAUAUAUGUAAAUAAGAAAAAGUAAUAAGGAUAUUUGGGACUUUUUUUCCGCAACACCAAAUGAAUAGUGUUGCACCAUAUUUGGUGCAAUACUAUUCAUAACACCAUUUUGGUGUUGGUUUUGGUGUUACAUUGGAGAAGCAUUUUACACCAAAAAUGGUGUCAAAAGUGAUUUGGUGAUAGGUUUGGUGCUACAUUGGAGAUGCCCUAAAGGUCCAUUGACACCUUGGAAGUCAAUUGUAAAGAACUUGAAGCCUUGAGAUGCUUGGAUAGUGAAAUCCUCAAGCCGGGUGAGCUUAGAGGUGUGGACGUAGGCGGGGAUUGCCGAACCACGUAAAAAUCAUUGUGUUUGUUUUCUCUUCCCUUACUCUCUUAUUAUUAUGCUGUAUUGAAUUUAUUAUUUUUUAUUCCAUUAAUACAUUAGAUUAAAUUAUUUUGUGGUUUGCUUAUCUUAAAUUUUAAAAUUCUAAUUCACCCCCCUCUUGGGUUGCCUAGUUAGUGUUUCAGAAAUAUAUGACAACUUUAAGGAAGAAAAUAGAAUAGUAUUAAUAGAAUCUAUUUUAACCAGUCUUGAAAUAAUUCAAGACAGAUGCAAAAUAUAUAACAAGACUCUAAAUCGUCCAUAAUAAGUCUAUUGAUGAAUAAUAACAAUAAUAGUGAUGUGAAAUUUUUUAUUCAGAAUGCUCAAUUUAGAUUAUAAUAUCUAUAUGAAAGCAUUGAUGGCAUGUACCUUGGUUGGGAAAAUAGAUUGGACACAUUGAUAGAUAUGUUGGAAGAAAAAAUCUAGUUUAUGUCUCAAGAGAGACAAGAAAUUAUAAAUGCCGGUGCUAUAGUAUAUUUGGAUUUGAUGAUCAUUUAGAUCUUUAUAAAAUUAUAAUAAAACUUUAAAAAUAUUUAAAAAUAUAUGUAGAAGAGAUGGAAGAAGAAAUCAUCCAGUUAUUCAAAAUCAAUUAAACAAAAAUAAAAGGUAAAAUCCUUGAAUUAUAUAAAUUAUACAAUUUCACAAAAAUUUAGCAUAUAUUGCAGAAAGGUCCUUGUGGCAUAGAUUAUGGGACUAGUGUAGCAUAAAUACUAAUAUUGUUUUUUAUUUUGUAAAUAAAUUAUUGCGUCAUAAUUUUUUUACAUACAAAUUUUAUGUUCUAAAAUAUUAAUUUGUUUUUGUAUUUAGAGUUAAUUUUAUAAUUUCAGACUUUGUUCAACUAUAUGUCCAAGUCCUUCACGUGUUGGUUGAUGUUGAAUAUUCAAAGAUCCACAAGCUAUCAACAACAACAAAUCAAAUUAAACUAAUUAGCUAACACAUAAUGAUUGGGUUGUUUCCUAUGCUUGUUAAUGAUGUAGAACAUUAUUUUAGAAUUUUAGAAUUUUAAUUCUUUAGGUCUUUUGAUAUUUUUUUUAAUUAAAGUCAGUGUCUUAGACUUUUAUUUCUAUUAUAAUUAUCAUUUACUUUCCCUUUUAAGUUAACUUAGGAAAGUAGAUUUACUCUAUUAUAAAUAAAGAGAUCUUGUUAUCACUUUUAUAACUUCAACUUCAAUUAUUCAAUUAAAAACCCCUCUUUUAUAAUUUCCUUUGGUAUUAUCUAUUAAAAAUUCCUCUUUGAGAGUUGUUUGAUUAUAGCAUCAUCUAGCCUUGCUUAACGCAGUUUUAAAAAUCUCAUUGAGUUUAAUUACAUUUCGAUUAGAGCGUAACUUAAUCGUAUUGACUUGGUCCAGUACUUGAACCAUAUCUAGUGUUUUGCUUCCGCUACGCCCAAGGAGAAAAUUAAUUUCACCGUGAGAUAAGAGCAUUGAAAGGAAUUCAUGAGAAAUUUAAAUUAAGCUUUGUUAAAUAUAUCGCUAGCUACUUGUUUUUGGAGGAACUAAAACAAUUAAUUAGCUACGAAGUGAAAAUAAAUAAAUAAAUGAAAUCAAGUUGAAAAUAAAAUAAGUUUCGCCGCCUGGAUCCAAGGCCAAAACAUUCAUGAUAAGUUAGGUAAUUAAGUACAUGUUUUCAAGCUCUUCAUGAAGCAUAAUGUUAUUGAAAUAAAUCACAAAGACUCCCUGCGCACAUUAUUACAUUGAUUAAAAAACAAAUGCCAUAUGUUUAACAGGAUCGUGACUCUGGGACUGUUAAUUACUUUAUUCCCUGCUUGGCCAACAGCUGGCCACUAAACAAAUCAUAAAAAUUUUAAAUUUAGUCAAAUUGGUCCGACUUGAUGACAUCCUUUUCAUACAUAAAAUUGUUUAACGUCAAGGUUAAAUAUGAGAAGUUUGGUAGAGAAGGUAAAAGGGAAGUGUAUAUAAGGAGGGGAACGAGCUUUGUUUAUAGCACAAGUGAAACUCCACUCUAUUGAACGAUGGGGUCUCAAAUGGGCUGCCUCUUUGCCACUCUUUUGGUAAUAUCAGUCUGUCUUAGCUACUUGCCGUUAGAAGCCUCCGCAAACAAAUACUACUACACAUCUCCUCCCCCUCCCAAGUAAAAGUCUCCACCACCCCCGCCACCGGUUCACAAUUCUCCACCACCACCCCCGAUUUACAUGCCCCCGCCACCUCCUCCACCAGUCUACCUGCCUGCUCCGGCACCAACACCAAUUUCCUAUUCCCGGCCACCUCCUGUCCCCAAGUCCCCACCACCACCUCACCCUUACGUCUAUGCAUCUCCCCCUCCUCCUUACUACUACUAGAAAGCGGCCAUGAAUAGCUCAUGCUUUUAUGGUAAUCUCAUUUAUUUUUAGGCACCGUGUUCUGUUUAAUUGCGUUCCUACUGAUUAAGUGACAAAUAAAAGAGAUUGAUUAAUUUGUUCUUGUAGGAGAGGCGAAUGGUAUCCGAAUAAAGAAAGCAAGGGUUUGAUGGAAAGCUUACUUGGAGCAAGUUAGCGAUCAAUCGAGUUGCUGCGUUUUAUUCUUUUUUUAUCUUUGUUUUUUAAGAAAAAUAAACUGCCACACGUAGAAAUGGAAAAGUUAUUGUCAUUUUCAUGCAUAUGGUGUUGGGAAAAUAUGCUCUUUAAAAGCAUAUGUUUUUAUUUAAUUGUAAUAAAUAAUUUUUCUAAUUAAUAAAAUAAAUGAGGUAUUUUAUUUAAAUAUUUUAAUUACAUUAAUAUUUUUAUUAAAGUCCAUUUAAUCAUAUUAUAUGUAUUUAUGUGAUCACCAUGUGGAUUCACAUAAGACAUAAAUAUAAGUUAUCUUAUGAUUAAAUAAAUUUAGUUCGCAAUUGAUCAAUAAAGUUGGGCACUUUAUUUAGGUAUAGACUGUAAUAAAUUCAUUGAAUGAUUUGUCUUAAUCAUGUAUGAAUUUAUUGAUGUAGUACGACUACAUUGAACAAGAUCACAUAUGAGAUUUAAUUAACUUUGUAAUAACUGUCAGACUUAUUAAAUCUCAUAGGCAUUGAUUUUACUGUAAUCUUAAUCUUGAGUUAAUUAUGAUUUCAUGAUUGUAAUUGUUAUUCCAUUUGAGUUACCAAUGGGCACGACACAUACUUGUGGUCAAGAUUACCCGGUAUCUUGGUGGGAGCAAUUAUGGGUAUUGGAGUUAUGGAUUAACAAUAUAGAAUUUGUACAACACAUCUCUUGAUGGGUUUUCGGCACCUGAUCAUAGAAUUCUCUGGCCAGAGUGUGUCAACAUAUUUAGUAUGUUGAAAAUGAUCAUUAGAGAAAACUAAUAAGUAUCAAGGAACAAGAUGUAAUUAAAUUGAUUGGACAGUUGAGAUAUCGAUUUAAUUAAUGAUGUGGUACAAAAGAUUGUGCAGUAAAAAAAUCAAUGUGGCUUGGGACGAGUUAUUAUUCGAGCAUACAAUUAUGGAAGUCAGUUCCAAUCUUUUAGUGGAGUAGAUUUGGAAUUAAAUAAUUGGGCUAGUUUAAUUACAGGCCUAAUUAUUGUAGCCACUAUUGUAUGUUCCCAAAUGAUCCCCGGGUUAGCUCAUUUAAUUGAGUGCACCACUACUGGAUUAAUAAGCAAGAUAACUAGCUAUUUGGGACAAAAGCCUAAAUAUAUCAUUUAGUGGGAGCCUCCAUUUAAUUAGCUUGUGUGUAAGGGGCCUAAUGUUAUUUUACAAGGUGGGUCCCCUAUAGAAAAAGCAAGUAACGUGAUUUUUGUUUUUGAUUAUUUGGAGCCUAGGAUUUUCACUAAAGCGAGAUAUAAAAAGCUUAUUUUCUCUAAAGAAAAGAGAUAGCAGCCACUUUAUACAGAUCAGAGAAAAAUAUUUUUCUCUCUAUUGUUGAGAGAAAAAUUUUCUCGUGCUAGUUGCUUUGGUAGUGAUAAAGGCGCCCACACGUCAAGUGCAGAUCAAACCUGAGUCAUAACCUGGAAGAUCAUUGGUGACAGUUCGUGAUCUAACAAGCGUGGUGGUGACGGAUCGUGAUCUAACAGACGUAGUGGUGACGGAUCGUGAUCUAGAAGCCUAAAUCACUUCAGCGGAAAAAUUUAAAUCGGAUUUUCAAGGUACGAUUUCUAGAUUACAUAUUCUUAUAUAUUAUAUGAGAACGAUCUUAAAAAGGUUUUAUAAAAAAUUUAAAAAACUGAUAUUUCCCCAACAAUUGGUAUCAGAGCCAUCUCGUAUUAAUAUAUGAAUAAAGCGUGUUUAUGAUUUGUAUUAAUUCAUGGUUAGAGGGGUGGUUUUUUAUCAGCAUGUUUUUCUCUUGAUUUAGUUUACUGUUAUAAAAAUUUUGAAAGCCAAAAUUGGCGUAGAAAAUUUGUAAAUCACUGAAGAAUAAACACUGGAAAACGAACUCAAAGAAUCGAGGCUGGAUUUUUCAGCGGCGGCCACCAACCAGCAACACAGCAGCGCACAGCAGCCAGCGCGCGCGGGAAGCGUGCCUUGUGCCUGCAACGAGUGCUGGCACAGGCUGCUCAUGCAGCAAACAGCGCGCGUGGCCAGCGUGGCCAGCAGCGCGCGCGAGUUUGGUGCAUUUUUGGCGACGCGACGAUCGAUGGUUCGGUGUUAGAGAUGCGUCGGAGGUCGGCUGGCGUCUGAACAGUGGCAGAGGUUUUUGGAGAUGGUGGCUGGGGAAGAAGGGUAAGAAAAAUAUGGAUUUUAGGGUUUUAUGGUUUUUAUCAUUGAGGUCCCUAGAGUUCCAUAAUUAUUUCCUUUGAGCAGUCAAGUUUUAAUUUUUUGCAUUUAAGUCUAAAAACAGUUUUGGGCUUAAAGAAUCCUAGUUUUAGGCUCAAUUGAAAUUUGGGUUUAAUGGAUUAAAAUGCAUAGAUAAAAUUGAACACAUUAAAUCUAUUUUUGGUCCAAAAGUUUUAUUUUAAUAAAAAAAAUUUAAUUAUUUCCUUUCAAAAUUAAAAUUGGACCAAUUAUAAAUUUAAAAGCCUAAUUUCCUCUAGUCCAUUAACAAAGACAAGCUUAUGGAAGAUGAACAUUUACAAGAAGCCCAAUGAAGAUUAGGCUUAUGGUUAAUGUAUUUUUCAUUAUUAGGAAAGCCAUGAAUUAAGAUUAUUUAAUUAUUUUUCUAUAUGUUAUGUUUUGGAUAUUAACAUGUCAUGUAGAAUAGGUAGUGCCACUAUGCAUAAUGAUACAUGUCAUUCUUUAAUAAUAAAUCUCAUUAUAUUGUUUGUGAUUUGUCUAUGCUUAAUAAUAUUGGAUAUCAUCUAGAUAAUAUUAUAGGAAGCAUGCAAUUAACAAUAUGUAUGUUUUAAAAAGGAAAAAUCAAUUUUAAAAUAUUGAGUGGGAGAGGGAAAAUUCAAGAUAAUUUUUCCCACGGGCUUCAUUUUACUUCAAUAAUAAAAUUAUAUAUAUACCUCGACUUCAUGAUACGGUGAUGCUCCCUACAGAGGGUAUAUAUAUUAGAUAUUUUAUUUGUUGAAUUUCUUCAAAGAUAAAAUUAAAAUAUUUUUCAAUCGAUUGUUCGCCCUCACGGUGACUAUUGAUAUGAAAAAUACGUAGAUUGAAACAAUGGUUAUACACUCAACUGAAAUUUGUUAUUAACCUUCCCAACGAAGCUCUGUUAACAAAUUUAGGCCCAAAGGGAUAACGAUAAUUAUUUAUCAUGUCUCGACAUGAAAGUAAAUAAUUCAUUGGAUAAUUGGGUCUAGUAAGUGUAGACAUGACUUCCCCAACGGAUAGCUUGUCAAAGCGGUACUAGAUUAUCGUUACAAUAAAUUAAAAUACAUUUAUGAGUUUUUUUUUGCAUUUUUGUCAUUUAUUGUGAAUAUUGUUUCAAAGUAUUUAUGCAUGUUUAUUUUGUUUUUCCAGAAAAUGUCUUCCAUCAACCCAUUAUUAAUUAUCCUUGUUAAAAAUGAACUCACUGGCGAAAAUUAUUUAGAUUGGAAACGCAAUCUAUUUAAUAUUCUCACUGCUAAGGGCUGCAAAUAUGUGUUGACCUAGCCUUGUCCUCCUGAACCAUCAUUAUACGAUUAUAGAAAUCAGAGGGAGCCUUAUGAGAAAUCGUGUGAAGCUAACAAAAUGGCUAAGCACUAUAUAUUGGAUUCGAUUUCUGUGGAACUACAUAAGAAACAUCGGAGCAUGGAAACAACCACUGAAAUAAUGGCUAGUCUUCAUCAGAUGUUUGGGCAAAGUACUCAUUUUGCUAGAGAAGCAGCAUUAAAACGUAUUACAGAUACUAAGAUGGAAGAGAGCACAAAAGUUCGUGAUCAUGUCCUCAAAAUGAUGGACUAUUUGAAUGAGGUAGAGAUUCAUGGUGCUCAAAACAAUGAUAAAUCAAAAAUUAAUAUGGUGAUUGAAUCUUUACCUAAUACAUUCAAAGAGUUUAAGGUCAGUUAUAUCUUAAACAAUAAAGAUAUGAACUUAAUUGAAUUAAUGCACGAACUACAUGCUAUAGAAGAAUUUUAUCAUAGCAGAAAACUUCCUGAAAAAGGAUUCUCUUCAAGGCUUAAGUCGAAAGACAAGAAUGAGCAAGCAAGAGUUAGGAUCAGCAAACUAUCCACUAAAAGAAGUGGCAAAAGGCAAGUGUUACAAAUGUGGACAGAAGGGUCACUCGAAGAAAGAUUGUCCUAAGAUUAUUAAAAUCAGGAAACCAAGAGAUUAAGUGAAGAAAGCUUCAAACAACAGUUGAGGACAUGCUAGUUUAUAUCAAUUGAAAGGCUAGAUCAAUUUUACAAGACUUAAAAGUUUUGAUAUUUGUCUUUAUUUUUCCAAAUACUAGAGGAAUUUAAUUUCGGUGACUUGUUUUAAUAAACAGGAGUACACUGUUAUUUUUUGAUCCACUGUCAUUUAUUUAUUUUAGUUAUUUAUAAAGACAAUUAAUAUCAUAUAAAUCCAUUGAUCUAUUCAAAGCAAGAUAUAAUGAUAAAGAGUAUAUGCAUUUAUCUAAGAAAAGAAAUGUUUCUUCAAACCAAAAUCACCUCUGAUAUUUAGGCUUAAGUCAUAUAAACUAUAAUAAGAUUUUAAGAAAAUGAUUAAUGAUAGACUUGUUGGCCUAUUAAGAUUGAUCAUUGUAGCUCUAUAAAUCUUAUUUAGAAAAGUAAUAUGACGAGAAUGCUCAUUUAGAGCUAAAAGCAUAACAUUGUAUUUAAUGAUUUAGCGCAUACAAAUAUAUAUGGACUAAUCAGUUUACAUGUUAUAAGAGGUUAUGAGUAUUCUAUCAAUCUUGUUGAUGAAUAUUCAUUUUACUUAUGUUUGUCUAAAUGCGUCAUGAUUCCAUUGCUUUUGAAAUUCAAAAGAGUACAUGGAUAAGACAAAAGCAAUUAGACAGGAACAUAAAAGAACUUCGAUAUGAUCGAAACAAAGAAUAUCUCUAUGGAGAAUUCAAGCACUAUUUGGUUGUCAAUGAACACUAGAGAAACAAGAUUCUUUUGGAUAAAACAAGAUAUAUACUAAGUGGUUUAUCAUUUACCUUUUUUAUUCCAGAUACUAAUAUUUAAAACUACAAAGUUUAUUGAACUUAGUUUCAUCUAUCUCGGUAUCUACUACUCCAAGAAAUUAUGAAAAAGUCACAAACUUGGUUUGAGACACAUUCGUAUUUGGAGUUUACUAGUAUUUCUACUAGAAUCAGAGGUAGAAAAGAUGGAUUUGUGUUCAGAAGCUUGCAUGUUUAAGGUAUCGUAAUGGAAUAAGGGAAAGUCUGAAUUAUAGUCCUCAAGAUAGGAAUGUAUUUGUGGACAUAUUAUUUACUUUCUUUGAGGAAGACUAUAUUAUGACUUCUUACCUAAGAGUAAGGUAAAACUAGAGAAAUAAAAAAGGUGAUCAAGUUGAUACUCAGCUUUCAAUGCCUGUUACAAAACAGGAAGAACAGCGACAACCAGAUGAUCAACACAGGAUUAUCCCUGAACAACCAUCACUUUUAGAACCUCGUCGUAGUGGGAGGAUAACUAAGUUACCUGCGAGAUAUAUGCUUUUGGGAGAAACCUAUACGGCUAUCUCAGAUGAACAUGUACAAGAUCUCACUAAUUACAACAAAGCUCUAAUAGAUAUAGAUGUUGAAUUUUGGAAAAAGACCAUCAAUCAAGAAAUGGAAUCUAUGUAUUCCUAUAAAGUCUGGGAACUUGUAGAGGCACCAAAUGGGAUAAAACCUAUAGGGUGCAAGUGGAUCUACAAGAGAAAAAGAGGAGUAAACGGAAGGGUGGAAACAUUUAAAGCAAGAUUAGUAACCAAAGGGUUUUACUUAGAAAGAGAAAUCGAUUAUGAGGAAACCUUUUCUCCGGUUUCUAUGCUUAAAUCCAUCAGGAUUCUGCUCUCCAUUGCUGUAGUGCUAGAUUAUGAAAUUUGGCAAAUGGAUGUCAAGACUGCCUUUCUUAACGGGCAUCUUAAAGAAAACAUCUACAUGCAGCAACUAGAUGGAUUUAUACAAAAAAGACCAAGAACACAUGGUUUAUAAGUUGCAGAGAUCCAUUUUUGGAUUGAAGCAAGCAUCCCGGUUAUGGAACAUCAGAUUUGAUCAACCGAUUAAAUCGUUUGGAUUCAUUCAGAACAUUGAUGAACCAUGUGUGUACAAGACAAUUCAAGAAAAAUCUGUAGCCUUCCUAAUUCUUUAUGUAGACGAUAUUCUCCUAAUUGGAAACGAUAUAGGAGUAUUGACUACAAUAAAAUUACUACGAGACCAGAAUAAUAAAACUUUAGCCUUGUCUCAAGCAGUCUAUAUCGAUAAGAUAUUGGCUAGAUUUAGCAUGGAAAAUUCCAAGACUGGUUUAUUACCAUUCAGACAUGGAAUUACAUUCUCUAAGGGUCAAUCUCCUAAAACAUCUGAAGAGAUAGAGAGAAUGAGAUGAGUUCCCUAUGCAGAAGCUGUGGGAAGUCUCAUGUAUGUCAUGCUUUACACUAGGCCAGACAUCUGCUUUGCGGUAGAGAUGGUUAAUAGAUAUCAAUCUAAUCCUGGACCUAAACACUGGACUGCGGUCAAGCAUAUAAUGAAGUAUCUGAAAAGAACUAAAAAUUAUAUGCUUGUGUAUUCUGGUGAUGAACUCAUUCUAGUGGGUUAUACUAAUUCUGACUUUAUGUCAAAUAAGGAUUCCAGAAAAUUAACUUCCGGCUAUGUGUUUACAUUGGGAAGUGGAGCUAUUAGUUGGAGGAGUGUGAAACAAUCUUGUAUCGCAGACUCCACAACUGAAUCUAAAUAUGUGGUUGUAUCCGAAGCUGCAAAAAAAGUUGUAUGGCUACGCAAGUUCCUACAAGAUCUUGAGGUGGUACUUGCUGUAACUGCACCCCUUAAACUAUUUUGCGAUAAUAGUGGUGCGGUAGCUCAAUCUAAGGAACCACAAGAAACAAAAACAUAUUGAGAGGAAGUAUCAUCUUAUAAGGGAAUAGUGUAGAAAUGUUAUAUGACAGUACCCCAGAUGGGAUUAGAUGCUAAAUGGCAGAUCUUAUUACAAUGGCCAUUAGUGGAAAACCUUUAUAACCUGCACUUAGAGCCCUAGAGCAUGUGCAAUAUGCCAAAUAUGCUUUAAGAGCUAUUCGGAGAUUGUUGGGAAAAUAUGCUCUUUAAAAGCAUAUGUGUUUAUUUAAUUGUAAUAAAUAAUUUUUCUGAUUAAUAAAAUAAAUGCGGUAUUUUAUUCAAAUAUCUUAAUUGCAUUAAUAUUUUUAUUAAAGUCCAUUUAAUCAUAUUAUAUGUAUUUAUGUAAUCACCAUGUGGAUUCACAUAAGACAUAAAUACAAGUUAUCUUAUGAUUAAAUAAAUUUAGUUCGCAAUUGAUAAAUAAAGUUGGGCACUUUAUUUAGGUAUAGACUGUAAUAAAUUAAUUGAAUAAUUUGUCUUAAUCAUGUAUGAAUUUAUUAAUGUAGUACGACUACAUUGAACAAGAUCACAUUUGAGAUUUAAUUAACUUUGUAAUAACUGUCAGACUUAUUAAAUCUCAUAGGCAUUGAUUUUACUGUAAUCUUAAUCUUGAGUUAAUUAUGAUUUCAUUAUUGUAAUUGUUAUUCCAUUUGAGUUACCAAUGGGCACGACACAUACUUGUUGUCAAGAUUACUCGGUAUCUUGGUGGGAGCAAUUAUAAGUAUUGGAGUUAUGGAUUAACAAUAUAGAAUUUGUACAACACAUCUCUUGAUGGGUUUUCGGCACUUGAUCAUAGAAUUCUCUGGCCAGAGUGUGUCAACAUAUUUAGUAUGUUAAAAAUGAUCAUUAGAGAAAACCAAUAAGUAUCAAGGAACAAGAUGUAAUUAAAUUGAUUGGACUGUUGAGAUAUCGAUUUAAUUAAUGAUGUGGUACAAAAGAUUGUGCAGUAAAAAAAUCAAUGUGGCUUGGGACGAAUUAUUAUUCGAGCAUACAAUUAUGGAAGUCAGUUCCAAUCUUUUAGUGGAGUAGAUUUGGAAUUAAAUAAUUGGGCUAGUUUAAUUAUAGGCCUAAUUAUUGUAGCCACUAUUGUAUGUUCCCAAAUGAUCCUCAGGUUAGCUCAUUUAAUUGAGUGCACCACUACUGGAUUAAUAAGCAAGAUAACUAGCUAUUUGGGUCAAAAGUCCAAAUAUAUCAUUUAGUGGGCGGCUCCAUUUAAUUAGCUUGUGUGUAAGGGGCCUAAUAUUAUUUUACAAGGUGGGUCCCCUAUAGAAAAAGCAAGUAACGUGAGUUUUGUUUUUGAUUAUUUGGAGCCUAGGAUUUUCACUAAAGCGAGAUAUAAAAAGCUUAUUUUCUCUAAAGAAAAGAGAUAGCAGCCACUUUAUACAGAUCAGAGAAAAAGAUUUUUCUCUCUAUUGUUGAGAGAAAAAUUUUCUCGUGCUAGUUGCUUUGGUAGUGAUAAAGGCGCCCACACGUCAAGUGCAGAUCAAACCUGAGUCAUAACCUGGAAGAUCAUUGGUGACAGUUCGUGAUCUAACAAGCGUGGUGGUGACGGAUCGUGAUCUAACAGACGUGGUGGUGACGGAUCGUGAUCUAGGAGCCUAAAUCACUUCAGCGGAAAAAUCUAAAUCGGAUUUUUAAGGUACGAUUUUUAGAUUACGUAUUCUUAUAUAUUAUAUGAGAGCGAUCUUAAAAAGGUUUUAUAAAAAAUUUAAAAAAUCGAUCUUUCCCCAACAUAUGGAACCAUGCUAAAGGGCUUUAUUCAAACAAAGUCGCAUGGCCGUUGGCAAUUAAAAUACUUUAUCAAUUAAGUUAAGUAGUAAGAAUUGGAUUGUGGAUUCUAUUAAUUAUUUCAAGGAAAAUUUUAUAGAUAAUGGUGUAAUGAAAUUUACGUCAUCAAUACCAUGAUAAAUAUAAAUAUUGUAAAUUACAAAUAGAAUUAGUAAAUGUAAAGUAAAACCAGUAAAUUUAUAAAAGAUUAUUAAUUAUUUAAAAAAUUAACAUUGUUUCUAGAUAAUUUUAGUGAAAAAUAUUUUAUUCAUUUAAAAAAAUUCUUUAAUUAAACAAAAAAAAUCAUUAAUUAAAUAAAAAAAAUUAUACUGAAACACAAAAGUGGAAUAAAUUUAAUUGAAUUGGUUACCAUAAAUUCUAUAUUUAGUCUAGGACAUUUGUAUACAUUUUUUUCCCAUUUUCUAUAAUGAUAUCGAUUUAUUACACAUGUUAAUUAAGUGCAAUUAUUUAUCUUGAUGUGGAUCAAGUAAAUAAAAAAAAGAGAUAUCAAUAAAAUUAGAUCUAAUUUUGAAUAUUAUGUAUACUUUAUGUAGUUUCAAACUUUUUACUUGUAUUUGGAGACCAUUUAAGGUUGUUGUUGAAGAAGUGUAGAAAGAUGUAAAAUAACCUCAUCUUACAACAACUAAGAAAGAUAUUAAAAUAUUAUUUUUUUCAAAAUCCGAUUUUGAGCAAAAAUUUCAUCCUUAAUUAAACAUCACAUGUAUUAUAGAAAUGCAAAACUACCAUUAUUAUAUUUAAAUUAAAAAAUAAUAAAUAUAUAAGGUAAUAAACAUUAUAACGAGUUUUUAUUUUAAAAUUGUAAACUUUUGUUUCUGACAAUAACUCUUAUAUUAAUUUAUUUAUUUUACCUUUUAUUCAUAAGUUUUAUGCAUAAUCUACAAACUUUAUGUUUUAUUUUGCAUUUAAUGUUGAUUUACUUUUUUUAUAUUAUACUUAUAAGUUUUCAUUUUAUUUACCAAUAAUACAUUAAUUUAUCAGUUUUAUAGUAAUUUACUUAUUUUACCUUCCUUUUACAAUUCUUAUGUUUCAUUUCCAAAGUUUAUGUUUUAUUUUACAGUUGUUGAUGAUUUACUAGUUUUAUGUUAUGUUUGGUAAUAGAUUAAUGGGUAAUUUUUAAUUGAGUCCUCAUUAGAUCUAGAAAAAAAAAUUCAGAGACCAGAAGUUUACUAAAUGAAUCCAUUAAAGUCUUUUAAAUACAAACUAAUGUCAUUCAAGUCCUUAACUUAAUUGCUCUGUUAAAAAUACUAACAACGUUGAGGACAUUUUAGUAAAACAACAAUUGAGUUGUUUCUCAUUCUUGAUUUUUGACAGGUAGAAAUAGUUUAAAGUAAACUCCAUUAACUUGAUUAAGUUAAGGAUCAGUUCUUUGAAAUGAAAAAAAAAAACCUACAGAAACUGCCAUAUUCUUCGUGUGAGAGGAGAGAUCGAGAGAAUGUGGGAUGGUGCAAAAAAUGUUGUAUAAAUCUACUGUGAUUUUGACCAAGGCUUUGGUAGCAUUGAUUGAGUUCAAGUACUGGAGAGAACCUGAGUUUAAAGGUUAGUAACUCUAUUUUUUUAGUGAUUUUUGCAAACAUUUUCUGAUAAAAGUUUUUCCAUAUUGAGUGAUCGUUGUGAAAAAUUAGGUUUUUCAAGUCUAUUUUUCAAAAUGACAAACUAUGUUUAAUUAUUGGUGGAUUCUUUUUUUGUUCAAUGUUGUAUUUUCUUAAUUUGUUGUUUUUAAUUUGCUCUUUAUGUAAUUGUUAGACGAAAUACACUAUAUUGGUAUCGUUAUAUUAAUAAGAUUGAAUUCAUUGUAUUUGCUUCUUUGUUCAUGUAAAAUUGAAUUCUAUUUGUUCUUAUGAGUGAUAAUUUUUCUAUCUAUUAGACUAAAUUCACUAUAUUCACUACUUUCUUUCUUUUUGCUGGGCUAUUUUUUCUUUUUAGUUUAUAUUUUUUAUAUGUAUUAGAUUGAAUUUGUUUUUGUACUUUUUUUAGCCGAAUUACAUGUAUAUUUCAUUUAGGUUGAGUUUUUUUGUUGUUUGCUAAAUAAAAUUAUAUUGGUUUAUCCUUUUUUGAUGCAAUACUUUUUGUUUUAAAUUGAUGCAGGUAGCCAUGUUACCUUUUGUUUCGAUUAAAAUUAAUGGGGUGAUGUAUGCGAUAGAAUAUAGGGAACCAGAGGAAUAUAAGAUUAUUAGGUUGUUUUUUGAAAUUCAAGAUGUCAUGGUUAAGCAUGGACAUAGUGAAAUGGAUUUGAUUGAAAUUUAUGUUGUAUUGCCAUGGACUACAAGUAGGCAGAGGAAGCUAAGUUCAAAUAAUAGUGAAUUGUAUUGGUGUUCGAGUUUUUUUUAUCAAUAGUUGUCCUGUCAUUGAGUUUGAGGUGCACACUGGGUCAGGUGGUCAGUCAUUUCAUGAAAGUGUUGUAAUAGGAUCUGAAAAUCCUGUCAAUAUAGGUGUUAGUGUUGUAAUAGUGAUAAGUUUGAAAAUCCUGUGGCUAAAAAGGGUCUGCCUAGAAUAAUUGGUACUUCUUUAUUUGCCUCAAAGUCCAACACUAUAAAAUCCACUACGAAAAAGAAUUUAUCCACUUUAACCAGCACAUCUUCAAUCCUGCCUUCAGGAUAAGCAUGAGAUAUGUCAGCACAUUGCAAUGUCACUGUGGUUGGUCUGACUUCUCCAACUCCGAAUUGCUUGAAUUCUGAUAAUGGCAUAAGAUUGAUGCUUGCUCCCAAAUCACAAGGUGUCUUGGGGUAAUUUUUAGGGACCUCCCCUGAGGUUUGGUGUAUUAAUACUUAAAUAGAAUGUAUCCAUGUGCCAUUAGUUACUAAUUAGGUUGACCGUUAGUAGACAUUCAAAAUUAGUGAAAUAUCCUUCUUACUGAAAUAAUAAAUUAUUAAAUAUAGUUUUGAGAAAUCCAUUGGCAGUGAGGAUUCCGUUGAAAAUCCAUUUCAACAAAAUGGAUGUUGGUGGUGUGAAAAAGUGUGCUACCUGGUUUGGGGUUGUUUGAUGGAAUGGACAACAAUGAUAUGGAACCAUCACUGUCCUCUGGUUGUUGCUUCGCUGGCCUCCUCGAAAGUGAGCAAAAAUGGUUCAAAGUCUCACACACCACAAGCGCCAUAGCUAUGCCACCAAGUCCAACCAGCACCGCGUCGUCAAAACCCUUGGGGGGAAGCUGCUUUACUAGAGAACCAAGAAGAGAGCAAGUGAGCCUAAGUGUCCUGUCACUGGAAAAAGGAUCCAAGGAAUUCCUCACUUGAAAUAAAUUAUUAAUUUUCUUAUGAAAUUUUGACUUGUAUGAAUUAUUUAUAAUGGCAUUUUGUGCCGUUCUAUUUAAAUGUGAAUGGGUAUUCGGUUUUUUCUUCGAAGUUUCUUUACCCAAAAAAAAAAAAUUGUAACCAUCACCGUCGGCAGAAAUUGUGGCAGUGGCAUGUGGCAUGACAAGCCGCCUGCGAGGGUUUUGUGAUUUGUGUGCAAUUGGGUUUUGGGAUGUCAGAGGUUGCGACGUGGUAUUGUUGAGUGUUAGAAAAUGCAUAUUUAUAAAGGAGAAAACCAUUAUUUUACAUUUUAAGUCUUACUAACAACCCUUACUUUUAUGUUUUUAACAUUCUUGUGAUUUAAUUACGUGUGUUUUAUUUUAAUUAAGUAAUUUAUGUAUUUUAAGGGCAUUAUAGUCAUUUCACAAUAAAGGAGAGAUCAGACGGCAAAACGGACAUCACUUUUGUACUCAGGACGGUCAAAAACCUUAAGAGGAGCAUAAAAAGAAAAAUGGCACUAUUCACAUGUACGGUACUGUAUACGUUACUGUUCACGACACUGUUCACAUAGACGGAUGAUGAUGUGGCAUUGACCGAUGAUGUGGCAUUGACUGAUGAGGUGUCACGAUCCUGUUGGACUAAAAUUCUUAUGUACUGUUGAUGGUGACGUGGCAGCAUAUCAGUGGACGAAAAAUCUCGCGUACGGUGCAUGCAUCACACAGGAUUAUUUUCAACCAAACUGCGUUACUGUUCAUCCGGGUCAAACCGCGUUACUGUUCAAAGUCAGGUCAAACCGUGUUACUGUUCAUCCGUGUGGUCAAACCGUGGACUGUUGACUGAUGACGUGGCGCAAUCCUGAGCGUCCAAACUGUUUUUAAUCCGAUGGCCAUGAUUUACUCCAUGUAUCUAUAAAAAGGGGGCCUCUCCCCCCUAAUUUGAUAUCUCUGAAUCCAUUUUUGGGAUCCAUUUUCUGUAAUUCCCUCUCCAUCUUGUAUUUUUUUCGUAUUUUAAUAAAUUCUCAUUUUGCCCUUAGUUCAAUUAUGAGUGGCUAAUUUUCUUUCAAGCUUGGGUUGAAGGUGAAGUCUCAACAUGUGUCAUGGGCUUUAUUUGGUAAAUUUAUUUUCUCUUCCCCUCUAGUUUUUGUGGAUGUUUUGACUUCUCGUCGACAAAUAAUACUAAUCUUGUCUAGUACCGCAUUGGUUUCACCGGCCCUCUAGUACAAGGUUAUUAUUAUUUGGCACGAUAAGCCCUUAGCACUAUAUUGAUUAGAGCGUGGUUCAUGAGGUGUGGAUUCCCCCCUCAUGAUUUAAUUGGCAUUAAUAAGGAUUAUUUAGCCCAUGAUGGAUGUUGAUACGGAUCUAGAUACCCAAGUACGUCAUUUUAAUAGAAUUCUCUUCAAUUUAUUCUCGUCAUUUCAAUUCCAAUUUUAGAAUUUAUUCUCGCCAUUUUAAUUUAAGUUUUAGCAUAUCCCAAAUCAUUUCCACCACAAAUCCAAUCACCCAUUUACAAAAUUAAUUCUACACAAUUAAAAUCCACCUCCUCGUGGGAUCGACACUCGUCACCAUUAGUUUAUACUACAAUAGAUUCGUGCGCUUGCGAGUACAUUAAAAUUUGCACAACAGGUUUUUGGCGCCGUUGCCGGGGAGGUAAGUAAUUUUAAUUCAUAGAAUUAAUGUUUGUGAAUAAUUUCUUUUAUUUUUUUUAUUGUAUUUUUUUUAUUAUUAAAAAAAAGUGAAUCCGCAUUUAGAGGUUAGUAAUUUCUUUUCUUUUUCUCUUCUUUAAAUUUCUGUAAUUUAAUUUUCAAGUUAUUUUUUUUUCUUUGUAAUUUUUGUUUAUCUUACUAAUUCUUUUUAGUUAAUUUAUUUCCCCUAUUUGUUUUUGUGUAUUUUUAUACAAGUUUGUAUAGCGCAAUAAGGUUAGUAUCGUAAUUUCUCCCUUUUCUUUAUUUUUAUUUGUUUUGUUCCCAUCUUUAUUUUUAUUUUAUUUAUUUUGCAUGUAUGGUCGUAGGUCAUUAUUACCUAAUCUUGAACCUAUAGACCUUGAACUUGAGAAAACACUUCGCACACACAAACAAGUAAAAAAUAAAAUGGUUUUGCAACCACAGGAGAGACCAUUUAAAGAUUAUUUCAGUCCUUUAGCAAAUUUGAGCACAUCAUGUAUAAGAUACCCAAAUGUAGUUGCUAGGAGCUUUGAAUUAAAACCUAGUGUGCUAAAUUGUCUCCCCACAUUUUAUGGCCUAGAAAAUGAGGACCCAUAUAAUCAUCUGAAUGAUUUUCAUGCCAUUUGUCAAACUUUUAAAUAUGAAAAUUUUUCAGACGAUGAUGUUAAACUUACAUUAUUCCCAUUUUCUUUAAAGGAUAGAGCUCGUUCAUGGUUAAAUACUUUACAUGCUAAUAGCAUUUCAUCAUGGGAACAAAUGGUAACUAAAUUUUUGAAUAAAUAUUUCCCAGUGCAUAAAACCAAUGCUAUUCGUAGGGAAAUCUCGGAGUUUACCCAGAGAGAGGACGAGCAAUUUUUCGAAACAUGGGAGCGAUUCAAUGGGCUACUCUUGAAGUGUCCACAUCAUGGGUACGAGAAAUGGCACCAAUGUCAAUACGUUUUGAAGGGAUUACUACCGAAUGUGCAAGAAUGGCUAAUGGCAACGAGUGGAGAAGAGCUAAUGUCAAAAAGUGCAUUAGAGAUUUGGGAAUUCUUCCAGCGACAAGCAGAUAAUUCCUAACAACGGAGUCGAUCACUCAGGACUACUAGAAGAAUUAAAGGAGUGAAUGAGGUUCAAAUUGGCGAGUCAACUUCGGGAAUCAAAGAAGUUAAGGAGAUGGUUGAAGGUCUUGCUCGACAAAUAGCAUCGUUAUCGACUGCAAAAUCAACAGAACCACAUGACCAUGACUCAUAUCCAGACCAAGCCAAUGCCAUAGGUAUAAUGAGAAAGCCAUCAAAUUACAACCCAUACUCCAAUACAUAUAACCCUGGAUGGAGAGACCACCCCAAUUUUUCAUGGUCUCAAGGAUUCCAACAGAAUGGACCAACAGCUCCAGCUCCACCAAUGCAACAAAUUCCUCAAGCCUCUCAGCCCCCAUUUAGACCAUUCAAUCAGAAUCAGAACUACUCUCAACCCAGACCAUGGGAGGAUGCAUUCCAGAAUCUCAAAAAUGUUACUCACUCCAUGAUUGAGCAACAGAACCGUACCAUUGAUGGACUACGAAAUGAGUUGAGAGCAGGCUUCAACUCACAAGCUCAAUCAGUUUUAAGCCUCGAGAAGAUGGUGGGACAACUUGCUUCUUCAAUUCAGACCUUGGCAAUGACUGUUGAAAAAGGAAAAUUUCCAAGUCAACCAGUGCCUAAUCCUAAAGGAGUACAUGAAGCAAGUACCAGUUCACCACAGCAGCAUGGAGAGGUCAAAGCAGUCAUGACUUUGCGAAAAGGAAAAGAAGUCGACAAUAAAGUGGAGAUGCCGGUGACAAAAGAAAAUCAAAUUGUACCUGUGAAUGUUGAUGACUCAUCACCGGAGGAGAAAAAAGAAACUAACCCACAAGAAUACGUUCCCAAAGCUCUAUUUCCUCAAAGGUUAGCUAAAGGAAAGAAAGGAAAAUCCACAGGUGAGAUUCUUGAAAUCUUCAAACAGGUAAGUGUUAACAUUCCUUUGCUAGAUGCUAUUAAACAAGUUCCAUCUUAUGCCAAGUUUCUUAAAGACCUUUGUACUAAAAAGAGAAAUAUGCAUGUUCAAAAGAAAGCAUUUUUAACAGAAAACGUUAGUUUUAUACUCCAACAUAAAAUUCCUUUAAAAUGCCAAGACCCAGGCUCCCCCACUAUCUCAUGUAGUAUAGGGAACCACACAAUUGAGAAUGCUUUGUUGGAUUUAGGAGCUAGUGUAAAUCUUUUGCCUUACUCUGUAUUCGUGAAACUUGGACUUGGAGAAUUACACCCAACUCCAGUGGUGUUACAGCUUGCAGAUCGGUCCACAAAAAUACCUCGUGGUAUUGUGGAGGACGUGCUUAUCCAGGUAGACAAGUUUUAUUUUCCUGUUGAUUUCAUUGUAAUCGACACUCAACCAAUACAGGACUCGAGGAAGCACAUCCCCAUUAUUCUAGGCCGACCUUUCUUGGCAACUGCGGAUGCUCACAUUCAAUGCAGGACUGGAAAUAUGUAGUUGUCCUUCGGCAACAUGACUAUGGAGCUAAACAUUUUCAACAUUGCCAAACAACCUCACAGUGCAGAUGAUGGAAUUGUUGAUGUGGAUUUAAUUGAAGCAUUAGUUGAUGACACUUUUCUUUCAAACCUUAGUGAUGAUCCUUUACAAACAUGUUUAACUCACUUUGGUUUGGAUUUUAAUAUUGACAAAUCGGUCGAAGAGUUCAAUGCCCUACUUGACUCCGCACCAUCCAUGGACACUAAUAAAUGGAAGUCAAGAGUUGAACAACUAGCACCAUCAGAGAAGAAACUCAUCCCAUCAUCAGAAUCACUACCAAAACUCGAGCUCAAACCAUUGCCCAACACUUUGGAAUAUGCGUUUUUAGGAGAAGAAAGCACUCUAUCGGUAAUCAUCUCAUCAUCCCUAAACGAUGAACAAAAAGGUAAGUUAUUGGAUAUUUUAAAAGAGCACAAAGGAGCAUUAGGAUGGACCAUAGCAGACAUAAAAGGUAUAAAUCCAGUAGACUGCAUGCAUUACAUUCACCUUGAUGAAAAUGCUAAAUCUACUAGGGAAAUGCAACGUCGGUUAAAUCUUAAUAUGAAAGAAGUUGUUAGAACAGAAGUCCUUAAGCUAUUAGAUGCAGGUAUCAUUUACCCCAUUUCUGAUAGUUCAUGGGUUAGUCCUGUGUAAGUUGUCCCCAAAAAGUCAGGAGUCACUGUAGUUACCAAUGCCGAUAAUGAAUUGAUACCCACUAGAGUGACUACAGGAUGGCGUGUAUGCAUUGAUUAUAGGAAGUUGAAUUCUGUCACACGUAAAGACCAUUUUCCUUUACCAUUUAUUGAUCAAAUGCUUGAUAGAUUAGCAGGUCAUGAAUUUUAUUGCUUUCUAGAUGGCUACUCAGGAUACAAUCAGAUCCCCAUAACACCAAAAGAUCAGGAGAAAACUACUUUCACUUGCCCUUUUGGUACAUUUGCAUAUAGGAGAAUGCCAUUUGGAUUAUGCAAUGCACCUGCUACAUUUCAACGAUGCAUGUUGAGCAUUUUUUCUGAUAUGGUUGAACGAUUCCUUGAAGUCUCUAUGGAUGACUUUUCUGUCUUUGGUGACUCGUUUGAUCAAUGUUUACAUCAUCUAACACUAGUUCUGCAGAGAUGUAUCAAGAAGAACUUGAUCUUAAAUUGGGAGAAAUGCCAUUUUAUGGUAAAACAAGGUAUUGUUCUCGGUCACAUCAUUUCGAGCAAAGGUAUUGAGGUUGACAAAGCCAUCAUUUCUAAUCUUCCUCCACCUAAAACAGUCAGAGAAGUAAGAUCUUUCCUUGGGCAUGCUGGUUUUUAUAGACGUUUCAUUAAAGAUUUUAGCAAAGUUUCUAGACCCUUAUGCAAUUUACUUCCUAAGGAUGUACCUUUUAUCUUUAAUGAUUCAUGUCUUGUGGCUUUUGAAAAAUUAAAGCAGUUGUUGACAUCAUCACCCAUUAUUCAGGCCCCGAACUGGAGCUUACCAUUUGAACUCAUGUGUGAUGCAUCUGAUUAUGCAGUAGGAGCAGUAUUAGGACAAAGAGUUGAUCGAAUUCCCCAUGUUAUUUAUUAUGCUAGUAUGACAUUGAAUGAUGCACAGUUGAACUAUUCAACUACUGAAAAAGAAAUGCUAGCAGUAGUGUUUGCAUUGGAGAAAUUUCGUUCUUAUCUCAUUGGUUGUAAAAUAAUCGUGUUCACAGAUCAUGCUGCUCUUAAAUAUCUUCUCACAAAGAAAGAUGCAAAAGCUAGACUAAUUCGUUGGGUGUUACUUUUGCAGGAAUUUGACUUGGAGUUCAAAGAUAAGAAAGGGACAGAAAAUGUUGUGGCAGACCACCUCUCUCGUCUCCAUUUUGACACAAUUACAGAAUCAUUACCAUUGAAUGAGUCAUUUCCAGAUGAACAAUUAAUGAAUAUGGACGUAUUACCUUGGUAUGCUGAUAUAGUUAAUUAUCUUAUUACAGGUAAACUUCCAGAGCAUUGGACCAACCAAGACAAGGCUAAAUUCUUUGCAGAAAUAAAGAAUUUCUUUUGGGAUGACCCGUAUUUGUUCAAGUAUUGUGCAGACCAAAUUGUUAGACGAUGCAUCCCAGAAAGUGAAAUUCAGAAUAUCCUUUCAUUCUGCCAUGAACAAGCUUGUGGAGGCCAUUUCAGCGCUAAGAAAACAGCGACUAAAGUUUUACAAUGUGGUUUCUAUUGGCCAACUAUAUUUCGAGAUGCUUACACUUUCUGUUCUUCAUGUGAUAGGUCUCAACGAAUGGGGAGCAUUACACGAAGGAACAUGAUGCCACUAAAUCCAAUUUUAGUGGUUGAGAUUUUUGACGUAUGGGGUAUCGACUUCAUGGGACCCUUUCCCCCGUCUUUUGGCCAUCAAUACAUAUUGGUUGCUGUUGACUACGUAUCCAAAUGGGUAGAAGCAAUUCCAUGCAAAACUAAUGAUCACAAGGUGGUGAUAGUAUUUUUGAAAAGCAACAUUGUUUCACGCUUUGGAUUCCCUCGAGCGAUAAUCAGUGAUGGUGGUGCCCACUUUUGUAACAAAGCAUUCAAGGCUCUUUUGACAAAGUAUUCAAUCACACACAAAGUGGCGACUUCGUAUCAUCCGCAAACCAGUGGCCAAGUUGAGAUCUCCAAUCGAGAAAUAAAGCACAUAUUAGAAAAGACGGUGAGGCCAGACAGAAAAGAUUGGCCAUUAAGACUUGAUGAUGCCUUAUGGGCAUAUAGAACGGCUUUCAAGACCCCGAUUGGGAUGUCACCCUACAGGCUAGUGUAUGGAAAAGCUUGCCACCUACCUGUGGAACUCGAGCAUCGUGCAUAUUGGGCCAUCAAGAAAUUCAAUUUUGACAUGCAGCAAGCCAGCUCAGAAAGAAAAUUACAGCUGGCAGAACUUGAAGAAAUUCGCAAUGACGCGUACGAAAAUGCCAAGAUUUACAAGCAACGAAUGAAAGUCUUCCAUGACAAGCAAAUUAUGAGAAAAUCUUUCACUCCAGGUCAGAAAGUGCUUUUAUUCAAUUCUCGCUUGCACCUAUUCCCAGGUAAGUUACGCUCUCGUUGGUCUGGCCCAUUUAUUGUUCAUACUGUUUUUCCAUAUAGGGCAAUUGAAAUUAAGGACCCAAAGAACGGUGUCACGUUUAAAGUUAAUGGUCAAAGAUUAAAGCCAUAUCUAGAAUACCAAUCAUAUGGAGAAGACACCGAAAUAAAUUUGAGUGACCCACCAGAUUUGAAUUGAUUUUUCUUUUCGUUGAUUUGAUUUUUCUUUCUUUCUUUAUAUUAUUCUUUUGCUAAUUGAAAUUAUUUUUGCAUAAGUAUGUUUGUUUAACUAGUAAGUUUUCUUUUAUCAUUUUUAAUCAUGAGUACAUUACUUAGACCGUUCCUCCUGAACAUUCUUAAACCACUUCAACGUGUCAAAACUCAUCUCAAAAGGCAGAUUCAAUUUUGUAAAACACAUCGCAUUUGGCUCUACAAUCACCAGAGUUAGUAGCCUAUGUUGAGGGUUUAGAAAGCCAACUCAGAGACAUUAAGAGAAGUGUUUACGACAUCCAGUUGGAGCUUGAGGUAAAUUCAAUAAGAGGACGGCUUUAAUUUUCUUUGUGUGUUUUAAUUUGUUUUUAUGUUUGUGUGCUUUAGUUUGUUACCCCGGUGAAGUGGCGGAUAACGGUACUCUGUGACAAUCAAGUCGGUUACUUCAGUUUCCCAUAAUAAUUGAUAUUCUGAGGCGAAAGUAUGGACAGAAACGAGAUUCUAGCGAAGCUUCACAAUUGAUUCCCUUCACUUCCUCAGAAUGCCCUCCUUACGAUCUAUAAAGCUCGGUCCGAACGCAUGCGAUUACUCAUGAGGAAUAACAUAUCUGCUGACAUCCGUUGGUUAACCGAGGCUAAAGUACGAUCGGCAGGUGAGUUACCUCCAAAAUUUAUUGCAUACAUGCCUGGUUGUGGUAAAGGAAAUUAUGCAAGAAAACGACGAGCUCGAAGAAUUUCUGUUGCUUGUCAUAAGUGUGCCAGAAUGAGUUGCAAUAAAAACCCAUGUUCUUUAGGAAUGGUGUCUGAUAACAGGGAAGAUAAGAUUCAAUUCAUUAGGGAUGGCUUGAAUAAGGAGUCAUUGGAUGAUAUCCUUUUGUCUCUUGAAACGCAUCCCAGUGGAUAUGUGCAAGGAGCGAUUCUCCAGUUAUGACCAUUAUUCUAGAAAGAGCAUGCACGAUAUAGUCUCGGGAAUCUGACUAUAAACGACCCUGUUUGCCAGUUUAUAAGAAAACUGGAUAGGAAGCCUAUCCUCGACCCAUAGAGGGCGUUCAAGCCGUUUCUGGACGUAAAACCAGAGGAAGAUGUGAGCCACAGUCGCAACUACCUGUAAAUAUCCUUUCACUUUACUGUUAUUUUAUUUCACUAUUGUUUUAUUGUGUGUAUUAUUGUCCUUAAUAAUUUUAUUACUGUUUAUUUUUUUCUUAUUACUGUUUACUUUUUCCUUUUUACUGUUUCCUUUUUGACUCGCGAGCCACGUGCUUUACGCAUUAUUUGACACUGACAUGUUACCUCAUACACAACUGUGACCCACUGUCACCAAGACUCUUAAAUGUGAUUUUUUUUUUCAAGCACUCACAAAUUGUUUUUCGAGAAGUAUCACAAUGGCAGCUACUCCAAAUAGACAAUUCAAGAACAUUUGUGUGCUUUCUGGAUUUACCUAUGGCAAACAUAAAGAGUUCGUUGAGGCAGCCAUCGAUCUUGGUCGAAGUAUAGCAGAGAGAAAAUUACACUUGGUGUAUGGAGGAGGUAACCGAGGGUUAUCAAAAAUGGUCUCUGAAGCAGCUUUUGUCAGAGGAAGUCAAGUGUUAGGCAUCAUCCCAAGAGUCUUAAAACCGUUGGGCAGUUCGUCUGACUCAUCAACUGGAGAAGAGUUAGUUGUCUCAGGUAUGCAAGAAAGAAUAACUGAAAUGCUUAAUCAUGCUGAUGCUUUUAUUUUCCUUCCAGAAGAUCUUGCAACACUAGAGGCACUUAUCACACUAGCAUCUUGGGCCCAUCUCCACAUCCACCAGAAACCCAUCGGUUUGUUAAAUGUCAAUAACUUUUAUGAUGGCUUUAUCGCAUUUCUUAACCAUGCAAUAAAAAACUAUUUCAUUCCCGCUAAUGUGAAAAAACUCUUUAUUUGUGCUCACACUGCUAAUGAGCUACUUGAUCUGUUACAAGCUUAUAGACCGGAGCCAGACCCCUGGACCUUUGUGUUGGAGCGUCCAAAUAAUGAUGGUAACAGUAGCAGCAGUAAGAAGUACAAAUUAGAUUUAACUCUCCACCUGUAAAUAUUUUCUUCUGUGUUGCACCACCCAGGUGAUGUCUUCUAAACUUUACUUCUUUCCUUUCAAACAUUGAGGACAAUGUUUCAUUCUGGUUGGGGGGAGGGAAUAGUCGACAAUUGUGGAAUCUUGGUUAGGUUUUUACUGAUUUUUUGUUGUAGAAACUAACUGUUGCUAACUUUUUGUGUUGAAGAUGGCUGAAUAUGGAGUAUAGUUACUCUAGAAACGCAUCUUCAUUGUUUGAAAAAAAAACAAAAAAAAAAUUUCAAAAAAAAAAUUCAAAAAAAAAUUCAAAAAAAAAAAAUUAGACAUUUUCUUUUUCUUUAUUAAGUUUUGAUGUUUAUUUUUCUUCUUUUUAAUUUCUCCUCUAUGAAUAUACAUUUUCCAACUUUUGAGUCGAAGAUUGCUGAAUAUGGAGUGUAGUGCCUCUAGAAACGCAUCUUCUUAGUAAAAAAAAAAAUCAUUUUCUUUUUCUAUCAUUUUAAGUGUACUUUUUCUAAUUUGUUUUUUUUUUUGCAUCAUUUUCACAUUUCUGCAUGCAUAUUUUUCUUUUAUGUUUAGAAUAGGUUGGGGGGUAGAAUGUUGUUUAAAAAAAAAUGUGUGGUUUGUUUUAACAUUGGAUGACAUGAUUAAUUUCAAAUUUUAGUAUUUGUAUUAUCUUUGGUCUUAAGUGAUGUUACAUUAUGUUUGCUACUCUACAUGUUGAUGUUGGAGACAAAUAUGAGUUGCUUGAAGGAAUGAACAUGUCAUAAUAAGUACCAAGUGAGUUUUUGAGCCUAUCAUUUUUCUUGGAGAGUAACCCUUUUGCCCAUUCUUUAUACAGCUUAACAGUUUAUUAUUGUAUACACGAUCUCUAUAUUUCUUUUGAGUUAACCCUUAAAAAAAAUUGUAAAACUAAAAAAAAAGAGAAAAAAAAGAAACAAAAUGUGUGUUGCUACAUUUGGAGGCCCAUCUAACUAGUAGAUAUGGAUGAUUAUUUAGAGCCCUAAAAGACGAUAGAAAGGCCAUCUUUGAUCCGUUUGAACCUUUCUAGCCAUCCCUUUUAUUAAAUAUCCAUAGUUAACCCUUUUGAGCCUUUAAAAAUAUAUAUAUAUAUAUUUUCUUUGUCAACUUAUCAUCUUGACCCACUCUGAUUUGGAGUAUUACCCGAUGCCUUAUAAGUUCCAUCACCUAUUUAUGUUUGAGAAAAUGUAAAUAAUUAUUUUGUUCAGUGAAGUUAUGCCAAAUAAAAGCAAAAAAAAAAAAAACAAAACAAAAGUUGUUGUUUCAAAAGAAUAAAAAUAACAACAAUAGGUGAAAUCCACCUCGCAUCUUCUUAAAAAAAAAAAAUCUCUGCAUUUUUCUCAAACAUACACUUUGUUUUCCUUAUUUCCCUUCUUUGUUAACCAUGUCCCUAGCUUACGUUACGUCCUAAUAAAAGUCCUUCUUGAUUUUAGGAAACUAUAGUCCGAAGUAGAAGCUAGUUAUAUGGGCUAAAAAGAUGUAGUGAUGCAUAAUUAAAAAAAAGAUAAACAAAGUGGGUUGACUAACAUUUUAUUUGACUUGAGAUCGUAUUAUUUCUAAGCUGAGGACAUAUUUAUUUCAUCUUGGUGAGAGCAUGUGAUAUCACUUCUUUAUUAUUUUCUCUCUCAAUUACCAUUCAUUGGAAUGACUAUUUUUAUUGGGUUUAAUUUAUUUGUGAGAGUGUCACUACUUCCAGUGAGAUUUUGGGGUUUGACAUGUCAUUCUUGAAAGUAGCUAUAACAAAGUCUACUAGGCUAAUUCAUGUGGAUGGUUGAUAUGGGUGUGAUAUUUCUUUAGACUGGAGAUAAUGCUUAUACUUUUAUUUGAUUGCUAUCAUUCAUCUGAUUGAAUAAAUAAGAGUGUUUCAAAAAAAAAAUCAUUUUGAAUUUGAAUUUUGUUUUCGCUUUAUUUGCUAGGGACUAGCAAUAAGCUGGUUAGGGGGUGUGUUGAGUGUUAGAAAAUGCAUAUUUAUAAAGGAGAAAACCAUCAUUUUACAUUUUAAGUCUUACUAACAACCCUUACUUUUAUGUUUUUAACAUUCUUGUGAUUUAAUUACGUGUGUUUUAUUUUAAUUAAGUAAUUUAUGUAUUUUAGGGGCAUUAUAGUCAUUUCACAAUAAAGGAGAGAUCAGACGGCAAAACGGACAUCACUUCUGAACUCAGGACGGUCAAAAACCUUAGGAGGAGCAUAAAAGGAAAAAUGGCACUAUUCACAUGUACGGUACUAUUCACGUGUACGGUACUGUAUACGUUACUGUUCACGACACUGUUCACAUAGACGGAUGAUGACGUGGCAUUGACCGAUGAUGUGGCAUUGACUGAUGAGGUGUCACGAUCCUGUUGGACUAAAAUUCUUAUGUACUGUUGAUGGUGACGUGGCAGUAUAUCAGUGGACGAAAAAUCUCGCGUACGGUGCAUGCACUUGGGUUAAUGUGUGUUGGUGGACACAGUUGAUUCAAAGGCUACUAUGAAUGGGGUUGGUCAUCGUCGUGAGGAGGGAACUCCAGCACUAGUAAAGCACCACCACCAACCACCGGUGGAGCCAUGAUCAACUGCUCAAGGGUGGGUCAACAGGGGGCAAGUGGUGGUCAAAAUUUUAUUGAUCUAGUAAAAGCAUACAUUUUCAGUUUUUAAUAUGUUUUUACACAUUUACCCUUCUAUACUGAUGUUAUACGUAUUUUCAUAUUAACGGCAGGGGAGGUAUAUGUAAUUACACGAAUACAUUCCAUCUAAGUGUUAAUACACCAAACCUCAGGGGAGGUCCCUAAAAAUUACCCAAGUGUCUUGCCACUGUAUUUAGUUCCUAUGGAACAAGGAAUUGUGAAACUUCCUGGAUCCUUCAACUUCUGAGGCAUUUUACUCUGAAGCAUAUGGCUGCAUUCUUGUGUUAGACCAACUAUUUCAAAUUCUCCAAGCCUCAUUUUCCUUACCAAUAUACAUUUUCAAAACUUUACAUAAUUUGGCAUUUAUUCUAAUGCUUCCACAAAAGGAAUGUUGAUAUGUAGUUGUUUCAAUACUUCCAAGAAUUUACUAAACUACUUGUCUUGCUUUCACUUCUGAAAUCUUUGUGGGAAGGGUGGUGGAUGUGUAAAUUGUUAUACUGCAGCAGACUGUACAGAUUGCUUUUCUCUUGCUCUAUUAUAGUUUGUUAUUGUUAGUGCUGUAGCUUCUUCCUCAACAAGCACUGAAUCAUGUUUUUCUGCAGUUGCUAUAGCUUGGCAACUCUCACCAGUGUGCUGGAAAAUGGGUUAUUGUGUCUCUUUUUUAAUUUGAGUUUCCCCUUGGGUUGAAUUAGGUUCAACUCUUCUUUUUGGUACUUUAACAAGAAUAUGAAGAUCUUUUCCAGACCUUAAGUUAAUCCCCUUACAAUGCUCGUUUCCUUCUCUCUUUGGAUCCUCUGUAUUGUUUAGUAAAUUGUCCUAAGGUAUGUUGCUCAAUGUUGUAGCAAGCUGUCCAAUCUUAUUCUCCAAGUUUCUUAAAAAUACAGGUUGGCUUUAGACCACUACUUCAAUCUUCACAAUAUACUCCUUAAUCAGAGUUUCAAGGGAACUAAAUUGAUCAUUACUGGUGUUUCUUUACCCUUAAAAUUGUUGGUGAAAACCAGGUGGCUGAGUAGGUCUUUUCUGUCCACUGGAUGCUGUGGCAUGCUGAUUCUGAUUGCUCCAUGAAAAAUUUGGGUGAUGUCUCCAUCCAAGGUUAUAGGUGUUUGAAAAUGGAUUGCUUUGAUUUUGUUUAUUAAAAUUGCCCACAUAAUUGACUGAAGCUGAAUUCCUAGGACAAUUAUCAUAUAGAUGUCCCUCUCUAUAAUAAACACAAGAGACUUCAGCAACUUAGUUAACUGUUGCUGGAACAGUGGCCGUUGCUUUUACCAUAUUUGUCAAUGAGGUUACUUGGGCUGAUAAUGUUGUCAGUGCAUCCACAUUGUGUACUCCUGCUGCUCCUCUCACUGUGGCUUGUCUAGUUGAUGGUCAUUGAUAGUUAUCCUUUCCAAAAUUUCGUAAGCCUCAUUAUAUGAGUUAGACAAUAAAGCCCCUAGUGCUUGAGUUCAACCCAUUGUAGAAAGUUUCCAAUUGUAUGCAAUAAGGAAUACCAUGAUAAGGGCAUCUCCUGAGUAACUCCUUGAAUCUUUCUCAUGCAUCAUACAAGCUUUCAUCUUCAAGUUAAUGGAAAGAUGUGAUCUCAUUCUUCAACUUUGCAUUCUUUGUUGGUAGGAAAUAUUUCAUCAAAAUUUUGUCAGCCAAAUCAUUCCAUGUGGUGAUGGAGUCUGGUGGCAAAGAACUCCAUUGUACCAACUAAAAUUGAUUUCACAAAACACAAUAACCACCAAUCCCCGGCAAUGGUUCAAAAAAUUUGUUGUCGAUUUUCUAAUGCUAUUAGUGUCAAUGUGAAAAUGUACACAACAAGUAAUAUAACGAUAAGUAUUCAAGAUCGUCUCCACAAGGAUUAUUAUUAUAGGAAUUGCUACAAUAAUUUUAUCAGUGCCAUUCUUAUUAUAAAUUAGAAUUAAAAAAAAUUAUUCAACUAAUAAACUAAGGCAGAUCUUAUUGGGCUACUCGGCAAGGUGUUGCUUUAGGUCGUGUGGAAUAGUUGCGGGAGUGAUCUUGCAUGAUGUGUGGAGCUAUAACAGUGCUGAGCAUGGGCCAAUCUAUGGGCUCAUGGAACUAGCGAACCUAUUCUAGAAUUUUGAGGAAGAGUACUCUGGUUAGUACUCUAAAUUACCUUAUUAUAUUUUGCACAAACAGAGGCAUGUUAGUGAAAUAAUAUCUAAGCAACCCAAGAGGGGGUGAAUUGGGUUUCUAAAAAUUAUGCAAUUCUUAAACAAAACUUAAUGCAAAUCUUAAACGAAUUUAAAGCAAUAAUAAAUAAAUCAACCAAAAUAUAAAAAGAUAAGGGAAGAGAGAUUAAAACACAGAGAGUUUUACGUGGUUCGGCCAACCUUGCCUACAUCCAUGCCUCCAAGCUCACCGAGCUUGGGCAUUCCACUAGUCAAGCCUUCAAGGCUUCAAGAAUACUUAUAAUAGACUUCUUAGGUGUCAAUCAACCUUCACAUCUAGAGAUUAUCCCCAAUCUUUUAACCCAAGUGUAUCCCAACAUUUACAAUCACUCAAAAUAAAGAUUACAAAUUUAUUUUUCUUUCAUACAAUUUUUUAAGAUUACAAAUCAACGCUAAUGUGUGAAUAAAUGAACAAGAAUGAAUUUGAAGCUCAAUAAAUGUUGUAUUCUCGAUUAUAAGCUCAAUGAUAACGUUGUGAUAAGCUCUUGUUUGAAUUUGAUUGAGCUUAUUUAUAGUUGGAGUUGAAAAAUAGCCAUUGUUGACUUUUUCCCGAAAUUGGAUCGCCGUUAACCGUUUUGACUGGUCCAAGUGACCAUUGAGCUGAAUUUCAAAUAAACGGUUGAUCAUUUGACACUAUCGGUUUGCCGUUAAUUUCCAUAAACCUGUAAAACAAAUUUCUGCUAUCCGUUCUUGCUAAACAGUUGAAGGUCAGCAUGGAAUGACAUUAUGGAAAUUAUCGGUUGGCCGUUUGAAGUUAACGGGUCACCGUUUACUUCCAGAAUCACAGUUUUAACCAAAUUUCGCAGGGAAUUAUUUUUCAGUUAAAGUGAACGAUUAUCCAUAUUUCAUGAACACAUUUAGAAAGAUUAUACGACUUUUGAGAAAUUGUUAUUAAUGAAAACUCCAACAUUUUAAUAAAAAACAUUUAAAGUUUGUUAUCAUCAAAAUCAAUAUAAUGAACAUCUACAUGUUAACAGUUAGGCCUUGAUUAUUUUUUAAAUCUUAUAAGAUAUAGAGUAUUAAUAGUAACUCAAUUUUCAUAAAACAUGGAAAGAUCAGUCGCCAAAUUUCUAGAUGCCAUAGAUAAUCUAGACUUUAGUAAGGAAUAUCAAGUUAUUUAUACAAUGAAAAUUGUUAAAACUCGAUUAAUUGCAAGGAAACACUUGUAGAGAGAUAUGGAGAGAAUAAACUUUGAAGAUAACAAUGAAAUACAUGACACAUUUAAGGAAGAAAAUAUAAUAGUAUUAAUAGAAUCUAUUUUAACCGGUCUUAAGAUAAUUCAAGAUUGAUGCAAAAUAAAUAACAGGACUCUAAACCGUCCAUAAUCAGUCUAUUGAUUAAUAAUAACAAUAAUAGUGAUGUGAAAUUUUUUAUUCAGAAUGCUCAAUUUAGAUUAUAAUAUCUAUGUGAAAGCAUUGAUGACACGUACCUUGGUUGGGAAAAUAGAUUGGACACAUGGAUAUAUAUGUUGGAAGAAAAAAUCUAGUUUAUGUCUCAAGAGAGACAAUAACUUAUAAAUGCCGGUGCUAUAGUAUAUUCAGAUUUUAUAAAUCUUUAUAAAUUUAAUAAUCAUUUAGAUCUUCAUAAUAUUAUAAUAAAACUUUAAAAACUUUAAAAAAAUAUGUAGAAGAGAUGGAAGAAGAAAUCAUCCAGUUAUUCAAAAUCAAUUAAACAAAAAUAGAAGGUAAAAUCCAUGAAUUAUAUAAAUUAUACAAUUUCAUAGAAAUUUUGCAUAUAUUGCAAAAAGGUCCUUGUGGCACUAAUUAUGGGACUAGUGUAGCAUAAAUACUAAUAUUGCUUUUUAUUUUGUAAAUUAAUUGUUGCGUCAUAAUUUUUUUACAUACAAAUUUUAUGUUUUAAAAUAUGAAUUUUGUUUUUGUAUUUAGGGUUAAUUUUACAAUUUCAUACUUUGUUCAAUUAUAUGUACAGGUCCUUAACGUGUUGGUUGAUGUUGAAUAUUCAAAGAUCCACAAGCUAUCAAUGACAACCAAUCAAAUUAAACUAAUCAGUAAAUACAUAAUGACUGGGUUGUUUCCUAUGCUUGUUAAUGAUGUAGGAUGUUAUUUUAGGAAUUUAGAAUUUUAAUUUUUUAGGUCUUCUGAUAUUUUCUUUUUUAAUUAAAGUCAGUGUCUUAGUUUUUUUUUUAUUUCUGUUAUAAUUAUAAUUUACUUUCACUUUUUAAGUUAACUUAGGAAAAUAUAUUUACUGUAUUAUAAAUAAAGAAAUCUUGUUAUUACUUUAUAACUUCAACUUUAGUUAUUCAAUUAAAAACCACUCUUUUAUAAUGUCCUUUUGUAUUAUCUAUUAAAAACCCUCUUUUAUAAUGUUCUUUUGUAUUAUCUAUUAAAAACCCCUCUUUUAAAGUUGUUUGAUUAGAGCAUCAUCUAGCCUUGCUUAACGCAAUAUUAAAAAUUCCUUUGAGUUUAAUCACACGUCGAUUAGAGCAUAACUUAAUCGCAUUGACUUGGUUCAGUACUUGAACGAUAUCUAGUGUUUUGCUUCUGCUACACCCAAGGAGAAAAUUAAUUUCACCGUGAGAUAAGAGCAUUAAAAGGAAUUCAUAAGAAAUUUAAAUUAAAGCUAUGUUAAAUAUAUCGCUAGCUACUUGUUUUUGGAGGAAUUAAAACAAUUAAUUAGCUGCGAAGUGAAAAUGAAUAAAUAAAUGAAAUGAGGUUCAAAAUAAGUCUCGCCGCCUGGAUCCAAGGCCAAAACAUUCAUGAUAAGUUAGGUAAUUAAGUACAUGUUUUCAAGCUCUUCAUGAAGAAUAACGUUAUUGAAAUAAAUCACAAAGACCCCUGCGCAAAUUAUUACAUUGAUUAAAAAACAAAAAGCCAUAUCUUUAACAGGAUCGUGACUCUCGGACUGUUAAUUACUUUAUUCCCUGCUUGGCCAACAGCUGGCCACUAAACAAAAUCAUAUAAAUUUUAAAUUUAGUCAAAUUGGUCCCACUUGAGACAUCCUUUUCAUACAUAAAAUUGUUUAACGUCAAGGUUAAAUAUGAGAAGUUUGGUAGAGAAGGUAAAAAGGAAGUCUAUAUAAGGAGGGGAACGAGCUUUGUUUAUAGCACAAGUGAAACUCCACUUUAUUGAACGAUGGGGUCUCAAAUGGGCUGCCUCUUUGCCACUCUUUUGGUAGUAUCAGUCUCUCUUAGCUACUUGCCGUUAGAAGCCUCCGCAAACAAAUACUACUACACAUCUCCUCCCCCUCCCAAGUACAAGUCUCCACCACCCCCGCCACCGAUUCACAAUUCUCCACCACCACCCCCUGUUUACCUGCCCCCGCCACCUCCUCCACCAGUCUACGUGCCUGCUCCGGCACCAACUCCAAUUUCCUAUUCCCCGCCACCUCCUGUCCCCAAGUCCCCACCACCACCUCACCCUUACGUCUAUGCAUCUCCCCCUCCUCCUUACUACUACUAGAAAGCGGCCAUGAAUAGCUCAUGCUUUUAUGGUAAUCUCAUUUAUUUUUAAAACUGUACAUGUAAAGACUAGUAGUUCAGAAUUACAUUAAGCAUUUCAAUUUUGAGCACCGUAUUCUGUUUAAUUGCGUUCCUAUUGAUUAAGUGACAAAUAAAAGAGAUUGAUUAAUUUGUUCUUGUAGGAGAGGCGAAUGGUAUCCGAAUAAAGAAAGCAAGGGUUUGAUGGAAGGCUUACUUGGAGCAAGAUAGCGAUCAAUCGAGUUGCUGCGUUUUAUUCUCUUUUAUCUUUGUUUUUUAAGAAAAAUAAACUGCCACGCGUAGAAACAGAAAAUUAAGUUCUUGUCAUUUUCAUGCAUAUGGAUUGUUGAUGUGCGUGUCAAUCAAAUCUCCGGUGUGUCAUUUGUAAUUUUCAACCUUUAUGCAUGCAAAUGCGAGACCUCUUACGUCUAAUAAAAUUAAUAUACUUCCCAAGAUGGUCUUAUCUUGCGUUGACUUUUUACGUUCCUUUGGUGAUGAUUUUGACGUUUGAAAUUGAUGACUAUUGUUUUUGUAAACUCUGACAUGGAUUUUUCGUGCAACUACAGAGCACAUUAACGAGAGACUUAUCCAUGAGGGUCCAUGCAGAUCAGUGCUAAUUAACCAAUAAUUAAUAUAACUUAAAAAAUAUAGAGUUAACAAUUUUUAUGGGUCAGGCUCAAUUGCAGAUGUUCGUACAAAAUUUCUUGCUAAUGUAUACUUGAGUAUGAUAAUAAGUUUUAAUCAUUAUUAAUAAUUCACUUGAUAAUAUUAAACAAAUUUCCAUAUCAAUUAAGUUACAAAACUUCUGUGACAAAUUUCCACGUACUGGAACCAUGCAAAAGGGCUUUAUUCAAACAAAGCUGCAUAGCCGUUGGCAAUUAAAAUUAUUUAUCAAUUAAGUUAAGUAGUAAGAAUUGGAUUGUGGAUUCCAUUAAUUAUUUCAAGGAAAAUUUUAUAGAUAAUGCCGUAAUGAAAUUUACGGCAUCAAUACCAUGAUAAAUAUAAAUAUUGUAAAUUACAAAUAGAAUUAGUAAAUGUAAAGUAAAACCAGUAAAUUCAUAAAAGAUUAUUAAUUAUUUAAAAAUUUAACAUUGUUUCUACAUAAUUUUAGUGAAAAUAUUUUAUUCAUUUACAAAAAACUUUUCUUUAAUUAAACAAAAAAAAUUCAUUAAUUAAGCAAAAAAAUUAUACUGAAAAAAAAGUGGAAUAAGUUUUUUUAUCAGUGGUGUGGACUUUGUUGUAAUAGAGAGAUUACACAGUUGCUGCAGUAAGGAAGAAAUCAAUGUUGUAACAUUUGAAGAACUUGAUGAUGAAGAUCGUGGAGCGGCUAACAUAGCACGGUCAGGGGAUAAGCAACCCUUCAGAAUUGACAAGCAAAUCCAGCAAAGGGAACUCACUUCAGACCAACAAGAAUUCAAGGUUAACGGGCCAAAAAUAAAGCACUACAUGGGAACUAAGGUGAAUAGCCUACAGAAGCAUCUAUUCUUGAAGGAUCCAGGUUGAGCGAACAAGAAAGGUAAGACUAAAAGACCUAAAAUCAAGAGCUAAUUGGGAGGCAACCCAAUAAGAGAAGUUGUUUUAAGUCUUUAAAGCAUUAACUUUAAUUUUUAAAUUUUUCUUUUUGUUAUUUUAAGUGUGCAUCUAAUUUUUUAUGUCUUUGUGUUAAAUUGCAGCAAGUAAAAUAAAAAAAAAUGUAAAAAAAAGAAGAAAUAUCAGGAGGGAAUUGAUGCAGCAUCACUUACAGUAUGACAUAUAACAGAAGAUUCUCAAACAACAGAGGCAUUUCUUGCUUUUGCAGCAGCAAAUAGAUUGAUCAAAUUUUAUGAUAAGGAGCGUUUGAGAAGUGGAUCAAAGAAGAAGUUACCAUUUAUAGCCUGUGCUGCAGCAGUGCUUCCAGCAACAUGCAAGUACUCUUACCCACUAGUUUAUUUUACUUCUUUCUACAAAAUUUUUCUUUCAUUUAGUUUUAAUUUUUUUAUUCAUUAUGCAUGUCCUUUUAUUUAGUGUAUGCAUGUCUAGUUUAUGUGGCUUUGUUUUGUGUGCUUGUGAGGACACAACACCACUCAAGUUUUGGGGGGUUGUGUUUCUGAGUGCAUGUGUUUAUGUUUGUGUUGUGUGUUGUGUGAAGCUCUGUUAUCUAAUAUUUGUGUAUGGAUUUGAAAACCUAAUAAAGAUAAAUUGAGUGUUAUUCAAUAUUUAUAAGAACGCCAAGUAGAGAUAGUUAUAAAUGGAGGUUAAAAUUAUGUCCCGACACUUAGACUUUGAUUGAGUUUUAUGAGAAUACUGUAGCAGAGCCAGGAAAACCAAAAAAAGAGUAGAAAAUAUCUCAAGUUUGGGGGGAAAAUUUUGUUGGACUGUGCCUGUUAUGAAAUAAAUUAUGCUCCAAUGGUUUAAGUUGCUGAGUAACUAGGGUUGAGUAUGCACCCCAAAUGCAAACUUGAGUUCAAAGGCAACAAGAGCUAUGAGCAGUACUGCAGCAAUUAUAUAUAAAAAAAAAAGAAAAUAAUGGUGAUGAAGGAAUAAAAAAUAAAGGGAUCCGCUGCCUAAGAUACUGAGUAACCUGGUCUAUUCAUGAGCCCCAUGUUCAGCCUUGAGUCAAAGGUGUUCAAAGGUAAGACCUAGAUAUAACAUCUUAGAUGUGUUGCUGCAGCAACUCUGACAUAUAUGUGUAAUAAAUCAGACUUUUUACAAUUCUCUCAUGAGAUAUUUAAAGUUUCUUCUCUUAAUUUGCUUCUUGAAGAUCCUUCUAAACUUUGUAGCAAUCAUUUCAAUGCCUUCAUCUUCAAAGUGUCUUUCAUCAUCAUCACUUUCAACCAUAAAAGAUUUAAAAGCAAAGCUUUUCUUCUUUUUAUUUUCAUCAAUUCUUUCAUUAGUUAUAUCCUCUUCAUAUGAAAUAAGUGAACCAAUAAGAUCAUCAAGAGAUAAAGUAUUAAGAUUUUUUUUCUUCUUUUAUGGCCGUUCUCUUUGGUCUCCACUCUUUCGGCAAUGAUCUAAUAAUUUUCUUCACUUUUUUACUAUUAGUAUAUAUCUUACCUAGUGCUUCAAGAGAAUUCACAAUAUCGAUGAAUCUAGUGUACAUAUCAUGAACACUCUCAUAUUGAUUUUUUCCCUUAUAUACAACUUCAAGUUUCCUCCAAAUUUCAUAAGCACUUUCACAAUUAGAAACUCUAUGAAAUUUUUUCUUAUCUAAAGCACAAAAUAAUUCAUUCAUUGCCUUGGAGUUUAACGAUAUCUUUUUUUUUUCUAAUUCACUUCAAUGACUUGACGGUUUUGGAAUAUCAUCUCCUACUUCAUUUUUAGUCAUAUGCGUGAAUGGACCAUCACAAACAACUUCCCAAAUUUCAUAAUCUAAAGCUUGUAAAUAAAGUUUCAUCCUAAUUUUUCAAUAUGGGUAGUCAUUACCAUCAAAGAACGAUGGUCUAGUUGUGGACUGUCUUUCCCUAAAGGUUGAGUCAUUUUAGGUUGCUUUGAGUUUUGCUCAUAUCUAUUACAAGCUACCGUGACAACAUCAUUGGUUACUAUCUGCUGACUCAUAAUCAUCUACUCUAACAUCUUAUACACAUUAACAUUAUUUGCGGGAUUAAGGUCAUUCUCAUGUGAUCCUAUAUCAGCUCCAUCUUCAUAUUGUCCAAUAUUUGGUAUGGUAACAUUAGUAUUUGGCAUUACACGCUCAUUCGCUUCUUCAAAAUCCAACCACUCAGAUUAAUCAUCUAGAUGUAUAAAAAAUUACUCCUCAAGUGAUAGGCAACUUUAUUAAUCCCUAUGGUAUCGGCUUUAUUUGCUUGUUUACUUGUAUUGGUGCCAGUCUUUAGUUUAGUGUUGUCAGCAUAUGUGCUGAAACAGAGCUAUAGCGUGGGCUUACUGGAAGCAACUAGAUGCACACACAGCAGAUACUUCCUCAUGCUGAGCUGGCAGAAUUCUAGUAGCUUCAAUUAGUUAUUCCAGCUGCUAUAUAAACUGUAGUGAACAUUCAUUUCGUGUGUGUAACAAUAAUAAAAUAUCCAGAUUCUUCUUCAAACUUUCCUCUCGUUUUCUUGUUAUUUUCUUACUUAACAAACACAUUCUUUUACAUUUUCUCACAUGGUAUCAGAGCCAAUGGCUAACGCAAAUCAAAACACACAAUCCUAUAACUUCAUUACACCUAUCAAACUUGAUCAAAACAACUUUCUGGUUUGGAGGAAUCAAGUUUUAGCUUCAAUCAAAGGGAAUGGGCUGGAAGGCUUUAUAACUGGAGCAAAUCAAUGUCCGGAUCAGUAUUGCAAUCAAAUCAAUGAAGCAUCAAGCUCUGCAAAUGCUGGAUCCAAUUCCAGAACUGAGAAUCUUGCAUUUGCCACCUGGAUCAGAACAGAUCAAUUGCUCCUCAGCUGGAUGUUUUCAUCGAUUCAGGAGAAUUUGCUGACAUCUGUUAUCCACUGUGUUUCCUCUAAAGAACUGUGGGAUUCACUUACUUGAAUGUUUGUUUCUCAGACUCAGGCAAGAAUAAUGCCACUCAAAAUGCAACUUCAGACUGCAAAAAAAGGUUCUAUGCUGAUGACUGCAUAUUUUUCUAAAAUGAAACGUUUAGCUGAUAGUCUUGCUAUUGUUGGAAAGCCUGUUGAACAUAAUGAUCUGAUAACCUACAUUUUGACUGGUCUGGAUUCACAAGAUUAUGAAUCACUAGUUACUACAUUGCUUGCAAAAGGAGAAAAUAUGAGUCUGGAUGAAUUAUAUGCUGUAUUGUUAAGUCAUGAAAUGAGGCUUGAUCAGAAGAAAGGAAAAUUAAGUGAUGAUGUUAUGCAUAAUCUUACUACUAAUGUUGCACAAAAGAAUCAGGGAUUUUAUAAAGGUAAUUUUGGUUAUCAGAGAGGCAUAGGAGGUUUAGGUGGUAAUACACAAAAUAAUUUUGGAAAUGGAAGUAAUGGAGGAAAUAAUAUGCCAUUUAAGCCAAAUAUAGUUGUCAGAUCUGCUUUAUUCCAGGUCAUGGUGCAACCAAGUGCAAAAACAGGUAUAAUUCUGCUUUUGUUCCUCAAAGAGGUCCUGGAAGAGGAAAUUUUAGACCUGUGUUUAAUCAAUAUGGCAGAGGAUUUAAUCAAAAUAAUGCUGGUCAAAGGCCUUUUAAUAAUUUUGGAAAAGGUGGUAAUGGUGCGUUCUCUGGUAAUUGUGCCUUCUCGAAAGGAUUUGGCUAUCAAGGUUAUCAAGGUCAUACUGUUUAUCCAGAGCCAAUACAAUCAGAUCAUGUUGCUGGAAUACCUUUUGGUUCAUUUCACUCAGGUCCUAGCAAUCCUGCUGCUUUCAACUGCUAUAAUGGAGUGAAUAAUGAUCAGAAAUUUAAUCAGAACCAAAACUCUGUUGCUCCAUUCAUCUCUUCACCUGAAGUAAUUGAAGAUCCCUCGUGGUACAUAGAUAGUGGAGCAUCUAGCCACAUCACAAAUGAUUCAGGUAAACUUCUUGACUUGCAGCCUUAUUUUGGAUCAGAAGAAUUACUUGUAGGAAAUGAAAAUGGCUUGAAAAUCAAACAUAUAGGAUCUGUAUUGCUUGCUACAUACUCACAUGAACCCUUGUUUCUUAACCAUGUUUUACAUGUGCCUCACAUAACUAAAAAUCUGCUAAGUGUGUCUCAGCUCUUGACUGAUAACCAUGUUCUUGUUGAAUUUGUUGAUAAUCUCUGCCUCAUUAAGGCCAGGAACUCAAGAAUUCUUUUGCUUAGAGGUAUUGCUAAGGAAGGUUUGUAUCAGAUUCAAGAUGUUAUCUCCUCAAACUUUGAAGUCUCUAAGUCAACUCUCUCAGCUUACUACUCUCAAAUUCCUACUCAUAAGCAUUUGUCUAUAUUUGCUACUCUUUCUACUUCUGAUGAGUCAAGUUUCAGUUCAAGUCAAUCAAAAAUUUUAGCUUCUUCAAGUAAUGUAGUCUGGAAGCCUACUGCUAUGUCAGUGUCUAAUCAUUCAGCAGAUGUAAAUUUGCUUCAGCAAAGACUAGGACAUCCAGCCAUACAUAUUCUCAAAACUGUAAUGAAGCAUUGUAAUACAUUUGCUGAUCUUAAUAAAACUUCAAAUUUGCUUUUUUGUACUGCCUGUCAACUUGGUAAAAACCAUCUUCAAUAUUUUGGUUCUGUAAAAACCAAAACCACAGCACCAUUGCAACUCAUAUAUGCAGACCUCUGGGGACCCUCUCAUAUAACAUCUACUCAAGGUUACAAUUAUUACUUAUCCAUACUAGAUGACUUUAGCAGAUUUACUUGGUUAUUUCCCUUAAAAGCCAAGUCUGAUGCAUUACAAGUUUUUACAAUGUUCAAAACUUUUAUUGAACAACACCUUGACAGGAAAAUCAAAAUUGUUCAAACUGAUUGGGGGGGCGAAUUCAGAUCUUUUUCUUCCUUAUUAGCUGCUUCUGGGAUUCAGUUUAGGCACCCUUGUCCUCAUAUCCAUCAUCAAAAUGGAAGGAUAGAGAGGAAAUAUAGACACAUUGUAGAUGUUGGUUUGACUUUGCUAGCUCAAUCCAAAUUACCCUUGCAUUUUUGGUGGAACGCAUUCCACACAGCUGUGUUUCUUAUAAACAGAUUACCUACACCUGUUCUAAACAAUGUAUCACCUUUCUUCAAACUUUUUCAGCAGCAUCCAGAUUACUCAAUUUUAAGAGUUUUUGGAUGUGCAUGUUAUCCCUAUCUUAGACCCUAUAAUAGACAUAAACUUGAGUUCAGGUCUAGCAGAUGCAUAUUCAUAGGUUACAGCCCACAUUAUAAAGGCUAUCAGUGUCUUCAUUCAUCUGGGAGAGUGUAUGUUUCAAACCAUGUAAUUUUUGAUGAAAAAUCAUUUCCAUAUCAGUCAGGUGUUGAUUUUUCUUUAGCCACAAAUUCAAGUCUGUCAAAUUCUGAUACAACAUCCUCAUCUUCCUCAAUACAAGUCUUUCCAGUACAUUUUUCAGCAACUGAAUUCCAAGAACCUCUACCUCAAGGUUCUCAUCAAAUUUCAUCUCCUUCAUCCAUUAAUGUUUCACCUAUAUCUUCUUCAAGUAAUCAAGUCCCUGUCACAACAGAACCUAAUACAUCCUCUUCAUCUCAACCUCCUCAUCAAUUACCAGCAUCACAGCCCUCUGGUCAUCCUAUGAUCACUAGGUCUAAAGCUGGUAUUUUCAAACCAAAAACAUAUCUUACUACUCUUCUAUCAAAACCCUCUUAACCAACCUCUGUAGCACAAGCUUUAACAUAUCCUAAAUGGUUUGAAGCCAUGAAAGAAGAAUUUAAUGCUCUUCAAGCAAAUCAAACCUGGAUUCUUGUUAAACCUACAAUACCUGUCAAAGUAGUUGGUAAUAAGUGGGUAUUUAGAAUCAAGUAUAACUCAGAUGGAUCAGUAUCUAAAUACAAAGCAAGACUUGUUGCUAAAGGGUUUCAUCAGACAUAUGGUGUUGACUAUAGUGAAACUUUCAGCCCAGUUGUUAAGUCAUCUACAGUAAGAAUUGUGCUUAGUCUGGCAGUGAUGAAUGGAUGGUUAAUAAGACAGGUUGAUGUCAAUAAUGCCUUCUUAAAUGGCAUCCUUGCUGAAGAUGUAUAUAUGGAACAACCAGAAGGAUUUGUUGACCCUUCUAAGCCUCAUCACAUUUGCAAACUUAAAAAGGCUCUCUAUGGAUUAAAACAAGCUCCAAGGGCUUGGUUUGAUAGAUUCAAAUUUGCCAUGAUUACACAGUGGAACUUUGUUAAUUGUAAAUCAGAUUCAUCUUUAUUUUACAAGUGGGAUAAAGGUCACAUUUUGCUGGUUCUGGUGUAUGUAGAUGACAUAAUCAUCACAGGUUCUAAUUCACUUAGUGUGCUGCAAGUAAUUUCUGAUAUGCAGGCCACCUUUGCUCUUAAAGAUUUAGGAGAGCUUAGUUACUUUCUUGGUGUUGAAGUAACAAAAACCAAAGAAGGUAUUCAUCUUUCACAAAGCAAAUAUAUUGCUGAUUUGCUGGCAAAACAAGGUAUGGAUAGCUGCAGUCCAGUACCUACACUAAUGGCUACUUCUCAUCAGCUCACAAACACUCGGGCCCUGAAAUUGACAUUCCUAUCAGUAUAGAAGUGNNNNNNNNNNNNNNNNNNNNNNNNNNNNNNNNNNNNNNNNNNNNNNNNNNNNNNNNNNNNNNNNNNNNNNNNNNNNNNNNNNNNNNNNNNNNNNNNNNNNGUGAACAAACUAAGCCAAUUUCUAGCAGCUCCUACAAUAGAACAUUGGCAAGCAUGCAAGAGGCUGCUGAGGUAUCUUAAAGGUACAAUCCACUUUGGUCUCCAGCUAUACCACAGUGGCAAUUUACAAAUAACUUGCUUCAGUGACUCUGAUUGGGCGUGUGACAGAGAUGACAGAAGGUCUGUAGCAAGUUAUGCAGUGUAUCUUGGCUCAAAUUUGGUGUCAUGGUCUUCAAAGAAGCAGCAUGUAGUAUCUAGAUCUAGCACAGAAUCAGAGUACAGAGCUCUGGCACUGGUACAACUAAGGUUUUGUGGCUUCAAGCCUUACUUACUGAAUUAAAGUUUAAAACAGAAACAACUCCAGUUAUGUGGUGUGACAAUCAGAGUGCUAUAUCCUUAGCUACUAAUCCAGUUUACCAUGCAAAGACCAAACACAUUGAGCUUGAUAUUCAUUUUAUUAGGGAGAAAAUUGCGGCAAAACAAAUUUCAAUCAGCUUUGUUCCCAGUGAGGAUCAAACAACUGAUGUUCUUACUAAAGCUCUGACAUAUGGCCAAUUUCAGUAUCUUAGAUCCAAGCUGAAUGUUCUUCCUGGACCAUUCAGCUUGAGGGGGGAUGUCAGCAUAUGUGCUGAAACAGAGCUAUAGCGUGGGCUUACUGGAAGCAACUAGAUGCACACACAACAGAUACUUCCUCAUGCUGAGCUGGCAGAAUUCUAGUAGCUUCAAUUAAUUAUUCCAGCUGCUAUAUAAACUGUAGUGAACAUUCAUUUCGUGUGUGUAACAAUAAUAAAAGAUCCAGAUUCUUCUUCAAACUUUCCUCUCGUUUUCUUGUUAUUUUCUUACUUAACAAACACAUUCUUUUACAUUUUCUCACAAGUGUAACAAUAAAAAAUGCCCAUUAUUACUUGCAUGGUAACAAUAAAAAGAUGCCCAAUAUUAGGACUUUUCCCUCAACUUCUUGAAAGCAGCCUAAAGAUUUGAGUCCUCUUGCAAACUAACUUCACUUGUUUCCCACAGCAGCGUGACUUUAAACGUGACUUCUUCAGCUUGUCUAAUUGGGCUGUCAAAAUAUAUAUUGUUGAUAUCUCCCCCAAGUCUUGUGAGGCUGUACUGUUAUGGAAUUAUUGAGCCUACUCUGAAUACUUCUCCAUCAACCACUACCUUUAUAUCCUUAUAAAUACGGCUGUAAAACGACAAACAUAGCCAUUAAGUGAAAGCAAAAUAUAAGACACCUAUUUUCUAUGUAAUUAAUACUCGCAAUUACGAAGAGAUAGGGCAUAAAUUCAACACUCAGCUCAAGCAGUACACAUAUUCUCAUAGUUAUUAUUUUAUCAACCUAAAAACAGUGAACGCCAUUUAUAAAUAACAGUUAAAUGAAGUCAAACAUUAACAACGACACUGACUUCUUUAAUAUUAGUGUAACAUUCAUUUUAGAGACAAUACAUGCAUUAGUUUUUACUACAUAAAGUACAUAAAAUGAAGCUCAAUCUCUAAAUUCCAGCACCAGAUCAACAUUAUCAACUCAGCACUCCACACACUGACCGAUUACUCACAAAAACAUAACAUCAAGUGCGCAAUUUAUAAGCUGAAAUAAAUCCAUACAGCUUUAAACUCAAACAGUGAACAUACUCUUUAUAAUAAGUACUUAGUCAACCUAAUAAUUGAAGCGGCAUUUAUAAACAAAACUUAACUUAAGUUAGGCAUUCAAUACUAGUAUUGUCAUCUUUAAAAUCAUUGCAAAAAUCAUUUUUGGAGAUAAUUUUGACAUUAGUUUUACUUUGUUAAGUUUAUAAAAACAAAUAUCAAACUCCCAAUUCCAGCCACAGACCAACAUGAUCAUGCCCAGCACUAUGCACACUAAGCAAUUUCUAACAAAAACAGAACCUCGAGUGCACGCUUUGCAAGUUUAAAUAAAUCCAUGUAAUUUCACAUUAGUUCUCUAACUCUUGCCUCAAAUAUCCUUCUUCAACAAGAUAUCAACCAACUAAAUAGUUGUUUAUGUCAUGAAGAUUCAUAAUAUAGAGAACAAAUAAAAAUAACUGAUUUCUGAAACAAAGUUAUAUUGCUUUAUUAAUCAUUGUACAGUGGAGUCUUUUAUAUAGAUACAAGGCGUGCAAAUUGCUCUUAUCUUAUGAUUGUGUUUAUCAUAUAAAGCUAUAAACUUUUAAAGAUAUUACAAUUAUCAACUCUUAUCGGAUAAAGCACCCAAGUGGAGACUUUGUACAGCACACGUGACAUAUACCAUGAAGUACAUGAGGAAGGAUGCCAUAUGAGAUACGUUUAACAUAUGUUAACCAAGUGUUGUGUUAUUAUGCCCCCACAAAAUAGGCGUUCCAUCGUGAACACCUAGCUUGAACGCGAAGCAACAAACGGAGCACGGGGAAGAGCUUUGGUGAGUGUGUCGGCGAGCUAUUUUUCGGAUGGUAUGUGGACAAUGUUCAACGGCCCGUAGUGCAAUCUCGUCACGAAUGAAAUAAAAGUCAAUUUCGACGUGCUUCAUCUUCGAAUGGUAGACAAGAUUGGUGCAAACAAAAGUAGCUCUAAGAUUGUCACUUUAGAGAACAAGUUUAUAAAUUUGGACACCAAGUUCAGAUAAUAAACUUCGUAACCAGUAAAUUUCAAACACAGUGCUUCCAAUUGACCGAAAUUCAGCUUCAGUAGAUGACCUUGCAAUGGAGCGUUGUUUCUUAGAGGACCAUGAUACUGGAUUUCCAUAAAGGAAUAUGACAUAUGCACUGGUGGAAUUGCGGUCAUCUAAGUUGCCACCCUAGUCAUAGUCGGUGUAUGCUGUGAGUAAAGUAUUGGAGUGUUAGUGAAAUUGGAGGCCAAAGAAAAUAGUAUCCUUGAGAUAACGCAAGAGUCAUUUAGCGACAUGCUAAUGGAGUUGUAUAGGUUACUGAAGAAACUGACUGAGCUUGUUCACGGCAAAGCAUACGUCCAGACGUGUGAGAGUAACGUACUGAAGAGCACCAAUAAGUUGUCUGAACAACAAAGCAUCCACGAAGUCUGAACCAUCAUUAUUCUUUACGAAGUUGAAGAAGACAAGGGUGUUGAGACAAGUUUAGCAUCAAACAUGUUAAAUCAUUGUAACAAAUUACAAAUGUAAAGCUGUUGUGUGAGAAAAAGCCCGUCACUCUUUCGGAUUAACUCAACUCCUAGAAAGUAGUGGAAAUUUCUGAGAUCUUUGAGUGAAAAUGUGUCACUAAGGGCACUGAUGAACUUGGCAAGGGCGAGAUUGUUAUUGCCCGUGUGAAUGAUUUCAUCCACAUAGGUUAGGAAUAUAAGACAAACCUCGUUGUGAUGGAAGAUGAAUAGCAACGCUUUUGAGCAGCUUUGUUGAAAACCAAUGUUUGUCAAGAAUUUACGCAAGGCUGAGAACCAAGCACGUGGGGCCUGCUUGAGUCCAUAUAUUGACUUCUUUAGCUUGCGCACAAAAUUUCGACGGUGAGGAUCAACAAAACUAGGAGGCUGUUUUAUAAAGAUCUCCUCAUCAAGAUUAAGAAGGCAUUGUUUAUAUCGAGUUGUCGCAAGGACCAACCAUGUUGUAAGGCCAAGCAAAGAAUGACCCGAAUGGUGGUGUGUUUUACAACAGGACUAAAAGUGUCAUGAAAAUCUAUGCCAGCCCGUUGAUGAAAUCCUUUAGCUACUAAGCAAGCUUUAAAUCGAUUAAUUUUUUCAUCUGGCUGUCGUUUGACACGAAAUACCCACUUACAGCCAACUAAAUUUUGAUUAGGUGAUGGAGGGACCAACUCCCAUAUACCAUUGGUUAUAAGUGCUUGGUAUUCCUUUUUCAUGGCGUCAAGCCAAUGAGGAUCUUUUAGAGCUUCAGUUAUAGUAUGGGGUUCAACAAAAGGUGGUAGGGGGUGAAAGUUAUAUGACUUUGUCACGGGUUGAAAAGUGGUAGAGUAUUGAUGCUUGGGUUUGUAUAUAUUGUUUUGAGAGUGGGUGAUCAUGUGGUGGGUACGGGUAGGCGGUGGUGCAAGUGUAGGAGAAUUAUUUGGCUCGGGUGCAGGAGGAUUUGGAGAUGAGGUAAUUUCGUGAGCUAUAGAUAUGGAGGUAGGCUCAUUUGUAGUAGUAGGCGUAUUUAGUAAAGGAGCAGGUACAAUUGUGGUUAAUGGAUGAGAGUUAGAAGUUGGAGAUAUAGGUGAAGUGCAUGAGUCUUGGUUGCCUCCCAAAAAUAUGUGUGGGAACUAAGACUUGACGGACAUGGAUGACUAGGUAGAUGAGGUUGUAGACAUAGAUUUGAAUGGAAAUUCAUACUCAAGAAAAUGAACUUCACGGGAAAUAUAAAUCUUUUCAGUCCCAAGUUCAAGACAAAUGUAAGCACUGUGUUGGGAGCUAUAUCCGAGAAAUAGACAUGGAGAGGACCUAGGUUCUAAUUUAUUGGAUGUAUAAGGCUUAAGCCAAGGAAAGAAAAGAGAACCAAACACACGAAGUUUAUUGUAAUUUGGAAUAUCAUGAAAUAGAAGCUGAAAAAGACAUUUUAUAUGUGUUACUGGAGAAGGCAAUCGAUUUAUUAAAUGAACAGCUGUUUUGAAGGCAUAGGUCCAGAAUUUGGCUGGAAGAGGAGGCUUGAUGGAAAAGAGUAGUACCCAUCUCAACAAUGUGUCGAUGUCAGCGCUCAGCUGUGCCAUUAUGUUGGGGUGUAUAUGGUGGUGUGAGUAAGUGAGAGAUUCUUGUUUGAUUGAAAAAUUAUUUUAAUUUAAUAAAUUCACCACCGCCAUCAGUAUAAGCUGAAGCAAUCUUAGUGUGAAAAAAAAUUUCAACUACAUUUUUAUAUUGAAUAAAUGUUGAGAAAACAUCGGAUUUAGCACGUAAAGGAUAGAGCCAGACAUAUUUAGUAAAAUGAUCAAUAAAAAUAAUGUAAUAUCUGAAACCAUCAAUUGACGUAAUAGGAGCAGGACCUCAUACAUCAGAAUAUAUAAUCUUUAACGGUCUGGAACUCUUAAUGGAUGAUUUUCCAAACGGAAAGUGAUGACUUUUAUUGAUGCAACAAGACAUACAUGCCUCUAAUGGUAAUGUCCUAGUCUUACAUGGCUAAAAUGAUUUGAGUACACUUCUCAAAACUUUAUUUGAAGGAUGACCUAAACGCCUAUGUCAUUGAUUUGGAUCAGGUUUUAUUGUGACGAAAGAGGAAGCGGACAAAGAUUUAUUGGAAGGAAAAGAUUUGGGCCACUCGUAAACCCCUUCUCUAUUCUGGCCUUGCAGCAAAAUCGCCCCCGUGCUCAAGUCCUUCACCUAAAGAAAAGUAGGGAAGAAUUCAAUAGAGGUGUUAUUGGACAUGCAAAAUUGCGAGACAGAGAUUAGAUUUUUGUGCAUGGAUGGAACAUAAAGUAUAUCAUGCAAGGAAAAAGUUUUACUAGGAGAGUCAAGUGAAAGUGAACCAGUGUGAGAAAUGGAAAGACCUACACCAUUGCCAAUCACUACAAUGUCAUUUCCAUGAUAGGGAUGUUUGAUAGAGAGAUUUUGUAGGUCACUGGUAAUGUGAUGAGAUGCUGCACUAUCAACAAGCCAUUGGGAUGAGGGUAAAGGGGAGGUGGUAGUAUGGUGGGCUGUUAGGUUGGUUCGGUGGGAAGUGAAGUUAGUGCAAUCUUUGGCAGUGUGCCCUUUUUGGUUACAAAGCUGGCAACAACCCUUAUACCCUCUACGUUUCCUAGGAAAUUGGUUGAAGGAAUUUCGGGUAAGUUGGUCAUUCGAAUUUGUAUGAUGUCGAUUGGAAGUUUGUGGAGUGAGUGAUGGUGAGCUAGGUUGGCCACGGUUUUGGUGAAUGUUGCGGUUUGGAUAAGAAUUUUUGGUGUAAUUCUUGGUUGUCAUAUUGGCCGUGAUGGCAGGGGUUUGUGCAAGUGUUUCAUCUCUUUUCAGAUACUCUUCAAAGUCAACUAGCUUGUCAUACAAUUCAUCAAAAGCGAUGGAAGUUUCACGGGCUCGGACACCACCUAUGAUAAACUCUUUCCCAAUGUUGUUUAGUAUGUGAACAACUAAAUCAUCAUCUGUAAUAGGGGAAUCAAUGAGAGUUAACUCAUCAGCAAUGGAUCGUAGAUUAUUUAAAUAAUCUGCAACUGGUUGGUUAGCUCCACGAGGGCGAGUCAAGCACUCUUUGAGAGUUAACACUCUACUUUUGCUUCUGCUAGAGUAUAAUCGUUCUAGUUUGUCCCAAGCUUGCUUAGAUGUUGAACAACUGGCAAUUAAAGGUGCCACCCUUUCGGUUGAAGAUGCAAGAAUUGCAUUAAAAAUAAAUUGAUCUUGUCUUUUCCAAAGGGAGUAUUCUAGGUUUAUGUUGGAGGUAGUGCUGCUGCUUGAACUUGAGGUUUGAUAUGGACACGGAAGUGUUCCAUCUAUGUAUUUUAUUAAAUCAUAGCCAUAAGCUAGCGAGGAAACUGGGCUCUCCAAGUAAAAUAAUUGUUGGGUGUUAGUCGAAUUGGAAGCUAAGCAACAACAUUGAUAGAGACGCAUUCCUUGAUUUGAGUUGCUAUCUGUGUGGUUGAAGUUGCUGUGGAAUGUUGGCUGCUGGCCAUUGUGAGGAUUCUUGGUUGUCACAUGUAUAUGUUAACCAAGUAUUGUGUUAUUAAUUUCAACAAACUCAUGCCAAAAAUUCAUUUGAAUAGCAAUCAGACUCCAAAAUCAUUAUCCAAUGAAACAAUAGGCAACUAAAACAACAAUUACUGAUAUGCAUUUUUAUGAUUUGAAGAAAAAAAGUAGAAACAACAACUCUAUAGACCUACAUCGAUCAUUAGUAUUAUACCACCUCAACUUCACUUUCAAAUCAUUUUAACAUCGUAAAAAGGAAAAAACAGUACAACAAAUGUUUCAGUUACCUAGCAUGCGGCUCCAUUAUGAGUGGGUGGAUUCUUGGUUGUCACCUGUAUUCGUUGGGCCAUUGAAUUUGUUCAAUCUCUCGCAUCGGCUCCUGUCAUGGUUGAAUCUAAUUGCUUUGCUGCCAUCUUUUUGUUUGCAGCAACGAACUUCCUCAAUGCAUUUUUUAUGAAUUGUAACGGUGAGUUGAAUUACGGGAUUGAUUUGUGAGAUGAAAGAUAAAAUCUUUUUUUUUUUCUUUUGGUUUUGGUGCAGCAACUAUUGUACAUAAGGCAUGCUUCUAUUAUUACCCAACUAACAUUACAAUGUUUCAGAUAGGGGUGCCAAAACGAAUAAUCGAAUCGAAUUUGAAUCGUAAACGAAUUGAGUCAAAAUUUCACGGAUUCGGAUUCGAUUCGUUUAUGAAACGAAUUGAAAUCUCAGGAUUCGGAUUCGAUUCGUUUAUUAAACGAAUUGAAAUCUCAGGAUUCGGAUUCGAUUCAUUUAUUAAACGAAUAUUCAGUUCGAUUCGUUUAAUUCAUUUAAUAGAAUUGAUAAACGAAUCGAAUCGAAUCCGGAUUCGUUUAUUAUUCGUUUAUCCUAUUACAAAUCCAUAACGAAUCGAAUCGAAUCAGGAUUCGUUUAGGAUUCGUUUAGAAAAAUAUAACUAAUAAAUAAAAUUAAACAAAAUAAAACAUAAAAAAGCCACACAUUUAAUAUCCUACAACAAAAUACAAAUAACCCAAACCAUAUUUUAAAAUUAAAUAUGCAGUCAUCCAAAUAUUAAAUUACAAAUCCUUUUGUUCCGCUGGCCUUAAACUUUUGUCAAUCUCUUCUUCCAUUUCGAUUAUGUCAUUUACAUCAUCAUCUCCAACACUAGAAUCAUUAAUUGUGUUGAAUUACUUUGGCUUGUGUCCAUUCUCCUAAAAACAAAAUAAUUCAAAAUUAUUUAGGCAGAUGAAUUAACAAUUUAACUUAAAUAAUAUAUACAUAUAUAUUAAUUGAAGAAUAAAAUAUUAAGAUUAAUUAAUUAACUAUUUAGGAAGAUGAAUUAACAAUUUAACUUGAAUAAUAUAUACAUAUCUAUUAAUUGAAGAAUAAAAGAUUAAAAUUAAUUAAUUAUUUUUUAAAAAAAAAUUUGUAAUUGAAGAAUAUGCGCAAGAAAUGAAUACGCUAGCAAAUAUAUUAAGCAAAAUCAAGUUUGUACAAACCAACUCUCUUGAUCCGUGUUGUAUAUUUGCUGCCACUAGUUAGCCGCCGCUGUCAGAAAAUUCUUUUGGGAAUUUCGUUUGGAAUGCAAAUGCUUUGUGCAAAGAUCAUGAUGAUGAGGUAGAAUUGGAUGGCUUGGUGAUUGGUGUAGAAGCUAAGGGAAUCAUUUACAAAAGUUGUAAAACGUGUUCAAGGUGAUGGUGAAGGGUAUGGGUGGUGAUUUCCUCGCGGGCCGCGGCUGAGUUCAGUGAGUUGCUAAGGAAAUAAAGGGAUGAGGGGAAAGAGAGUGUGAACUGUAAAGUGUAGCCCAAAUUAGGGAUGGCAAAACGAAUAAACGAAUCGAAUUCAAAUCGAAUCGUAAACAAAUUGGGUCAAGAUUCUAUGGAUUCGGAUUCGAUUCGUUUAUUAAAUGAAUUGAAAUUUCAGGAUUCGGAUUCGAUUCGUUUAUUAAACGAAUAUUUUGUUCAAUUCGUUUAAUUCGUUUAAUAGAAUUGAUAAAUUAAUCGAAUCGAAUCCGGAUUCGUUUAUUAUUCGUUUAUCCUUAACGAAUCGAACCGAAUCGAAUCGAAUCAGGAUUCGUUACAAUUCGUUUAGAGAAAUAUAAUUAAUAAACAAAAUAAGUAAAAUAAAAUAUAAAAAAAAGAGAUGUGAAACUGUGAUAAACUGUAAAAUCAACCCUUGAUUGCUAAGAGAUGAAGGUAAANNNNNNNNNNNNNNNNNNNNNNNNNNNNNNNNNNNNNNNNNNNNNNNNNNNNNNNNNNNNNNNNNNNNNNNNNNNNNNNNNNNNNNNNNNNNNNNNNNNNNNNNNNNNNNNNNNNNNNNNNNNNNNNNNNNNNNNNNNNNNNNNNNNNNNNNNNNNNNNNNNNNNNNNNNNNNNNNNNNNNNNNNNNNNNNNNNNNNNNNNNNNNNNNNNNNNNNNNNNNNNNNNNNNNNNNNNNNNNNNNNNNNNNNNNNNNNNNNNNNNNNNNNNNNNNNNNNNNNNNNNNNNNNNNNNNNNNNNNNNNNNNNNNNNNNNNNNNNNNNNNNNNNNNNNNNNNNNNNNNNNNNNNNNNNNNNNNNNNNNNNNNNNNNNNNNNNNNNNNNNNNNNNNNNNNNNNNNNNNNNNNNNNNNNNNNNNNNNNNNNNNNNNNNNNNNNNNNNNNNNNNNNNNNNNNNNNNNNNNNNNNNNNNNNNNNNNNNNNNNNNNNNNNNNNNNNNNNNNNNNNNNNNNNNNNNNNNNNNNNNNNNNNNNNNNNNNNNNNNNNNNNNNNNNNNNNNNNNNNNNNNNNNNNNNNNNNNNNNNNNNNNNNNNNNNNNNNNNNNNNNNNNNNNNNNNNNNNNNNNNNNNNNNNNNNNNNNNNNNNNNNNNNNNNNNNNNNNNNNNNNNNNNNNNNNNNNNNNNNNNNNNNNNNNNNNNNNNNNNNNNNNNNNNNNNNNNNNNNNNNNNNNNNNNNNNNNNNNNNNNNNNNNNNNNNNNNNNNNNNNNNNNNNNNNNNNNNNNNNNNNNNNNNNNNNNNNNNNNNNNNNNNNNNNNNNNNNNNNNNNNNNNNNNNNNNNNNNNNNNNNNNNNNNNNNNNNNNNNNNNNNNNNNNNNNNNNNNNNNNNNNNNNNNNNNNNNNNNNNNNNNNNNNNNNNNNNNNNNNNNNNNNNNNNNNNNNNNNNNNNNNNNNNNNNNNNNNNNNNNNNNNNNNNNNNNNNNNNNNNNNNNNNNNNNNNNNNNNNNNNNNNNNNNNNNNNNNNNNNNNNNNNNNNNNNNNNNNNNNNNNNNNNNNNNNNNNNNNNNNNNNNNNNNNNNNNNNNNNNNNNNNNNNNNNNNNNNNNNNNNNNNNNNNNNNNNNNNNNNNNNNNNNNNNNNNNNNNNNNNNNNNNNNNNNNNNNNNNNNNNNNNNNNNNNNNNNNNNNNNNNNNNNNNNNNNNNNNNNNNNNNNNNNNNNNNNNNNNNNNNNNNNNNNNNNNNNNNNNNNNNNNNNNNNNNNNNNNNNNNNNNNNNNNNNNNNNNNNNNNNNNNNNNNNNNNNNNNNNNNNNNNNNNNNNNNNNNNNNNNNNNNNNNNNNNNNNNNNNNNNNNNNNNNNNNNNNNNNNNNNNNNNNNNNNNNNNNNNNNNNNNNNNNNUUAUUACCCCAUUUAUUAAACGAAAUCCUAAACGAAUAACAAAUCAAAUCUUUAACCUGUAUUCGAUUCGUUUAAUUAGCGAAAUCGGAUUCAAUUCACUCAUUUUAUUAAACGGAAUCAAUCUUUUCAAAACCCAAACUCAUUUAAAUUCGCCAUCGAAAUUGAAAUCAAAAUAAACGAAAUCCCUGACCCCAUAUUGCCACCCCCUAUAUAUUAUGUUUAAAAAUUACAAAUAUUAGCCCUUCAAAUUUUAAAAAAAAUUUCAAAUAAAUUUAAAAGAUAAAAAAAAGUAAUUUAAUUAAAACGGGAUAAUAAAACGAAUUUGAAAUGAAUCGACCUAUAUUCGAUUCGUUUAUGACCCAUUUAUUAAACGAAUCCUAAACGAAUAAACGAAUCAAAAUCUUCAAAUCCGCAUUCGAUUCGUUUAAUUAGUGAAUCAAAUCUAAUUCACCCGUUUAUUAAAUGAAUCAAUUUUUUCAAAUCCAAACCCAUUUAAAUCACAUCGAAUCGAAUCGAAUAAACGAAUCUUGACCCAUAUUGCCACCCCUAGUUUUAGACAUGUUCCAGUUUCCAAAGUCCUAAAUUUCAAAAUCAUUUUAAUAUUUAAUUAAUUUAGCAUGCAAUUACUUACGUACUGAAUUUUAUAUUAACAGUAAGGGUUGCAAAGUAGAAAUGUUCUUUUACAAUCUAUCUAAUCGAAAGGACCCCAAACCUUAUAGGAUGAAAUUGAAAAUUACUCAUUUAUAUAAAACACAAAUACUCAAUAAAUUUAAUAUUAUAUAAAAAGAUGUUGGCUGAUUACAAAAAGAUACAAGUAGCCAGAAUGGUCGUUGGCGACCUUUUAUUGUUAGAAUUUUUGGCAAUUGUAACAAUCAAUCUCAAGUAGUGAAAUACAUCAUUAGAUUCUAUUUUUCGAAAUAUACAUGAUGGUAGGCAUAGUUUUAGAAAUGAAGCAAUCGAAGCACUGCUCACACGGUGGCGAAAACUCCUCUUCGUCUAGCAGUGGCGAGUUAAAGUGCCAUGCUACCUCCAUCAGAUUAUUGAAGGUUGAGUUGAAUGGAGCUUAUGUGCACCCUAAAUCAUCAUUGACAGAAAGUAGGGUUUGGGCCACCAUGUAGUGACACAAUGUGUGAAAGACUUAAGGCAUUUUUUUAAAUUUUUAGAUUUGAAGUAACUUUUCUCCAUUUAGAUAAGGUUUAAUUUCAUAUUAUCGUCUUGUAAAAUGACAAUCUUUAAAUUAUUUGUUAAACUAUAGUAAACUCAGCUGAUCACUGUUAAAAAUAGAAGAUAACAAAAAUUUCAUAACACACCCUCAUUUUUUCCUUUAUUUUUUAAAUAAAAAAUAGAAUAAGUUGAAGUUUACGAUAAUUUGAGGUGUUUAUCAUUUCAUUUCAUGAAAUGAGGGCAAUCAUUGAAAAUUUACUAUGUGGUCAUAAUUAUAUUUACUAUUUUAUUUUAUUUCUUUUGUAAUGCGGUACAAAUUUAUUUUAGAUUUGAAGUUUAUAAGGUUCACGUAUGCAAAGAUGUGAGAUGGUAGAAGAUCAAUUUAUAUUAAAAUUCAUUAUUGUAUCAAUCGAAAGUAUGGGUUGCAAUUCAUGUCAUUGUCAAAUUCAAGUAAUGCAGGAUUUAGCUGGCUUCCACCUAUGGAAGGUCCCUUGUUUUGUCGUUAUCUGAAAUAACCAUUGGAUAUUUGAUUAGUUAAUGCAACAGCGAGAGCUCCAGUUUCAUAGCUUAAAAUUCAAUUUGAAUUAGCGACUGCAUAAGACGGGUUACUUAGAUAGGCGAGCGUUUAAAAAAUAUUUGUGAAAAAUUAGGGCAGUAAUAAAAUUCAAAACUUUUAUUGACUACAUGGAAGAUCAAAGUGGACUAUUGUGGUUUUGGUAUAUGUGUAGCUGACAUGAAUUUUGCGAACAAUUGUAUUGGAUAAAUUUUGAAUUAUUUUCCUCCUAAAUAGAUUAUCUUUAAAUCACUCAUUUAUUUUCAAAAAUUUUAAAUUACUCUUAUUUUUAAAAUUUAGGGGUGGGUUGAUGGAAUUUUUUUAAAAUCUUCUUAACAAAGUAAAUUGAAAAUUUUAAAAUACAAGAAUAACUUAAAGAUAAUUAAUAAACGAGUAGAAAAUUUAAAAUUAACCAAAUUACAUUUGAUGAUCCCCUUGUCGCGAAUUAAUUUCUUCAACGUUUAAUUUUUAGAACCAGCUCCAAUGAGUUGAGCAUUAGCUUAAUCUUGAAUUAAUUUUAGGUACUGGUUCCAAUGAGUUAAUUAAAGAAAUUAGUCAAAAUCGGAAAAUAUUAUUUCGAAAGUAUAUAUGUACUUCAUGCGAUGCGAAUUCCCAAGAACCAGAAAUUCGAAAGCAAGCGAAAUUAAUUGUUAAUUAAUUAAUAUAUGAUAAGAAUACGAUGCAAAUUCGUUUGUGAUAAUAAAUAGAUUGAGGUAAAUACAACAUGAUAAUUAAUUAAUCAUGUCAAUUUCUAUAACAAACAUGGCGAAAAUUUAUAUAAAAACUUCUAUUACCAACAUUACCACCUAACCAAAAGAACCAAUUAUGAAUUUAUGACGAUCGAAGAAUUUUAAAAUUCAUUAAAGGUAAUACAACUAAUUAAUGUAUGUAUAAUAUGUAUAAUUGAAUUUAAUGUAACAACUAUUUGCAUAAUUAUUUUUUAAAAUAAAUGUACAUAUAUUAUAACAUUAAUUAUUUGUUGUAUAAUUGACAUGAUAUUUCUAAUAUAUUCUAUAAUUUCUCUUCUCUAUGAAGGUCAAAAUUUCACGUAAGAAAAAAACUGAUCAUGAAGAACUAAAUAAUAUUGAUAUGUUAUUAAAUUAUUUUUUAUCGAUAAUAAAUUAAGUUACUUCAUAAGUACACUUGGAGUAUUAUAAUAUUUUAAUUCAUUAAUUUGUUUUGAUUUUUUAAAAAUCAAAUUAAGGUAUCUGAAGGUGUUGGUUAAGCACUAGACCUAAACCUAGUUGACAUUAUAUUACUUCACUUGUUUCCUUUUUUAGCUAGGUAUGUGUUAAUGUUAAUUCGUUAUCUGAAAGUUGAAAAAACAAUAGAAAGAAGAAAAAUCCGACACUCUUUUGAAACAAUUAAUAGAAUCCACCAUCAAAGUCUUAAUUACUACUUAAUUUAAUUGAUAAAUGAUCUUAAUUGCAGCUUUGUUUGAAUGAAGCCCUUUUAUAGGAGGUUACUAUGUUACAGAUUCUGUAACAUACAGCACCAAUGCAUGCACCACAGGUGUCCUGCUUAUGGAGAAAAAAAGCAGCAAAUGCUUUUGUCUGGUAGCUGGUUAAGCAGAAUCUGUAACUUAGCCUGCUCCCUUUUUAUAUGGUUCUAGUGCGUGGAACCAUGAUUUUAUGGGUCGUCAGGGGUUGUAAUCUAAGUAUAAUAUUAUUUAAUUUGAGGUGGCUAAUCAGUAAAUUCACAAAAAAUAGAUAAAAAUUUAGUUUUUCGGCCAGAGCCCAGAGGGUUGGGCCGCCUCGCCAUAAUUCGGCCACAUUAUUUAAUUUGCAAAUACAAUUAUCGCUUCACAAUACCGCAUUUUAAUCGAGAAGGGAGGGUAAUUGUCUUAGUUAAAUUCUUUUAAUUGUGGAGAAUAAAACUAAUUAAUUAAUCUUUUGAGUUACCUUAAUUUUGAUUAAUUAGUCAAUGUUUUACAGACAGCUAAAUUAUGAGUGAUUUUUGAGACUGUAACAUUUUUGAAAUUACGUUUAUCUUGUAUAGUCAUCUCAUAAAAUUGUUACAAGUUUUAUAUACCUUGAGAAAAUGUUGUAACAAAAAUUAUGACAUUAAUGACAUAAUAAACGUAAAUUUUAUAAAUUACACAUAAGACUGGUAGAUUAAUAGAAGACUAUUAAUUAUUAAAAUAAUCAGAUUGAUUUUUACAAAAUUUUAGUGAAAAAUAUUUUAUUUAUUUACUUUAAUUAAAUGAAAAAUCACCCAUGAAUUGAAAAAAAAUAUAUAUUCAAAACAAGUGGAGUAAGUUUUAUUAAAUUGGUUUAACCAUAAAUUCUUAUAGGAUAUUUAUAAACCAUUUUUUUUCAUUUUCUAUAAUAGCAUUUGUUUACUACACAAGUAAUUAAGUGAAUCAUUUAUCUUGAUGUGGAUCAAGGCAAAACAAAAUAUACAAGACUUUGCUAUAUUACUAGUCACUUAUAUGGUAUAACAAUAAAAUUAGAUCUUAUUUUGAGUCAUGUGCAUACUUCAUAUAGUUUUAAACUUUUCUCCUUACUUGUACUCAAGAUCAUUCCGGAUUGCUAUUAAAGGUGUAAAAGGAAGCAAAAUUAGUUCAUUUGACAACUGCUUUGAAAAACAUUAAUAGAAUAGUUUUUUCAAAUUUUAAUUUUGGGAAUAAAUUUUAUCCUUAAUAAAAUGUCACAUGCAUUAUAUAAAACAAAAACUAUCAUUAUUCAAUUUAAAUACAAAAUAAGUAAAUAUAUAAGAUAAUCAAUAUUAUAACUUAAUUGAUGUGAAAAUUUGUUUAAUAUUAUCAAGUGAAUUAUUAAUAAUGAUUAAAACUUAUAAUCAUACUCAAGCACACAUUAGCACGAAAAUUUGUACCAACAUUUGCACUCGAGCCUGAUUCAUUAACCAUAUUUUUUAUGUUAUAUUAAUUAUUGGUUAAUAGACACUGAUCUGCAUGGAACCUCAUGGAUAAGACUCUCGUCAAUGCGCUCUAUAGUUGCACGAAAAAUCCAUGCACAGUUUACAAAAACAAUAGUCAUCAAUUUUAAACGUCACAAUCAUCACCAAAGGAACAUAAAGUUCAACGCAUGAUAAGACUAUCUUGCGAAGUAUAUUAAUUUUAUUAUACGAAAAAGGUCUCGCAUUUGCAAGCAUAAAAGUUGAAAAUUACAAAAGACACACCAGAGAUUCGAUUGACACACACAGCAACAAUCCACAAGCAUGAAAAUGACAAGAACUUUUCUGUUUCUACAUGUGGCUGUUUAUUCUUCAUUAAAAAAAAAAGAUAAAAAAGAAUCAAACGCGGCAACUCGAUCGACCGCUAUCUUGCUCUCAGUAAGCUUAUCAUCAAACCCUUUCUUUAUUCGGAUACCAUUCGCCUCUCCUACAAGAACAAAUUAAUCAGUCUCUUUUAUUUGUCACUUAAUCACUAGGAACACAAUUAAACAGAACACGGUGCUUAAAAUUGAAAUGCUUAAUGUAAUUCUGAACUACUAGUCUUUACAUGUACAGUUUUAAAAAUAAAUGAGAUUACCAUAAAAGCAUGAGCUAUUCAUGGCCGCUUUCUAGUAGUAGUAAGGAGGAGGGGGAGAUGAAUAGACGUAAGGGUGAGGUGACGGUGGUGGUGGGGACUUGUAGACAGGAGGUGGCGGGGAAUAGGAAAUUGGAUUUGGUGCCGGAGCAGGCUCGUAGACUGGUGGAGGAGGUGGCGGGGAGUUGUAGAGCGGGGGUGGUGGUGGAGACUUGUGAGCCGGUGGCGGGGGUGGUGGAGAUUUGUACUGGGGAGGGGGAGGUGGUGGUGGUGGAUAUUUCUUUGGUGGGGGAGGAGAUGUGUAGUAGUAAUUGUUUGCGGAGGCUUCUAAUGGCAAGUAGCUAAGAGAGACUGAUAUUACCAAAAGAGUGGCAAAGAGAUAGCCCGUUUGAGACCCCAUCGUUCAAUACAAAGUGGAGUUUCGCUUGUGCUAUAAACCAAGCUCCUUCCCCUCCUUAUAUAGACUUGGCUUUUUACCUGCUCUACCAAACUUGUCAUAUAUAACCUUGAUGUUAAACAUUAGUAACUAAAUUAUUCUGGUUAUGUAUGAAAACGGUGUCAUCAAGUUGGCACAAAUUUGACUAAAUAUAAAAUUUUAUGAUUUUGUUAGUGGCUAGCUGUUGCCCAAGCAGGGAAUAAAGUAAUUAAAAGUCAAGAUCCUUUUAAUGAUAUGGCAUUUUUUGUAUCAAUGAAAUGAUUUGACCAGGAAGUCUCCGUGAUUUACUUCAAUAUCAUCAUUCUUCAUGAAGAGCUUGAAAACAUGUAUUUUAUUACCUAACCUAUCAUGAAUUUUUUGGCCUUGGGUCCAGGCGGCGAGACUUAUUUUCAACUUCAUAUUCAUUUAUUUAUUUUCACUUCGUAGUUAAUUAAUCGUUUUAAUUUCCCCAAAAAUAAGUAGCUAGCGAUAUAUUUAUCAUAGCUUUAAUUUUACUUUCUUAUGAACUACUUUUAAUUCUCUUAUCUCACGGUGAAAUUAAUUUUCUCCCAAGAAUGUUAACCGAAAGAGCAACGUAGUGGAAGAAAAACACUACAUAUCGUAUAAGUACUUAACAGUUGAAGGUCAGCAUGGAAUGACAUUAUGGAAAUUAUCGGUUGGCCGUUUGAAGUUAACGGGUCACCGUUUACUUCCAGAAUUACAGUUUUAACCAAAUUUUGCAGGGAAUUAUUUUUCAGUUAAAGUUAACGAUUAUCCAUAUUUCAUGAACACAUUUAGAAAGAUUAUACGACUUUUGAGAAAUUGUUUAUUAAUGAAAACUCCAACAUUUUAAUAAAAAACAUUUAAAGUUUGUUAUCAUCAAAAUCAAUAUAAUGAACAUCUACAUGUUAACAGUUAGGCCUUGAUUAUUUUUUAAAUCUUAUAAAAACGAAAUAUCAAAUGGCUAAAGUAAUAAAAUCUUAAAACCCUAAAAUAACGUCCUACAUCAUUAACGGGUAGUGGAAACAACCUAGUCAUUAUGUAUUAACUAAUUAGUUUAAUUUCAUUCGUUGUGGUUGGUAGUUCGUGGAUCUUUGAAUAUAUAUUCAACAUCAAUCAACAUGUUAAGGACCUGUGCAUAUAGUUGAACAAAGUACGAAAUUAUAAAAUUGAUCCAAAAAAAGAGAUCUCGCAUUUGCAUGCACAAAAACUGAAAAUUACAAAAGACACACCAGAGAUUUGAUUGACACACGCAGCAACAAUCCACAAGCAUGAAAAUGACAAGAACUUUUCUGUUUCUACAUGUGGCUGUUUAUUCUUCACUAAAAAAAAAAGAUAAAAAAGAAUCAUACGCGGCAACUCGAUCGACCGCUAUCUUGCUCUCAGUAAGCUUUUCAUCAAGCCCUUUCUUUCUUUAUUCGGAUACCAUUCGCCUCUCCUAAUAGAAGAAAUUAAUCAGUCUCUUUUAUUUGUCACUUAAUCACUAGGAACACAAUUAAACAGAACACGGUGCUUAAAAUUGAAAUGCUUAAUGUAAUUCUGAACUACUAGUCUUUACAUGUACAGUUUUAAAAAUAAAUGAGAUUACCAUAAAAGCAUGAGCUAUUCAUGACCGCUUUGUAUCAAUGAAAUGAUUUGAACAGAAAGUCUCUGUGAUUUACUUCAAUAUCAUCAUUCUUCAUGAAGAGCUUGAAAACAUGUAUUUUAUUACCUAACCUAUCAUGAAUUUUUUGGCCUUGGGUCCAGGCGGCGAGACUUAUUUUCAACUUCAUAUUCAUUUGUUUAUUUAUUUUCACUUUGUAGUUAAUUAAUCGUUUUAAUUUCCCCAAAAAUAAGUAGCUAGCGAUAUAUUUAUCAUAGCUUUAAUUUUACUUUCUUAUGAACUACUUUUAAUUUUCUUAUCUCAUGGUGAAAUUAAUUUUCUCCCAGGAAUGUUAACCGACAGAGCAACGUAGUGGAGAAAAACACUACAUAUCGUAUAAGUACUGAACCAAGGCAACAUGACUAAGUUACGUUCCAAUCGAAGUGUGUUUAGAUCUCAUUUUAAUUCAAAUAACUCAAUGAGAUUUUUAAUACUGCAUUAAGCAAGGUUAGCUGAUGUUCUAAUCUAAACAACUCUACAAGAGAGAUUUUCUAUAUAUAAUAUCAAAGAAAUUUAUGAAAUAGGGGUUUUUAAUUGAAUAAUUGAAGUUGAAGUUAUAAAAACAAUAACAAGACCUCUCUAUUUAUAAUAGAGUAAAUCUACUAACCUGAGUUAACUUAAAAAGGGAAACUACAUCAUAAUUAAAAUAGAAAUAAACAAUUAAGAAAUACACCGUAAUUAAAAAACGAAAUAUCAAAUGGCUAAAGUAAUAAAAUCUUAAAACCCUAAAAUAACGUCCUACAUCAUUAACGAGUAGUGGAAACAACCUAGUAAUUAUGUAUUAACUAAUUAGUUUAAUUUCAUUCGUUGUCGUUGGUAGUUUGUGAAUCUUUGAAUAUUCAACAUCAAUUAACAUGUUAAGGACCUGAGCAUAUAGUCUAUCAAAGUAAGAAAUUAUAAAAUUAACCCAAAAUACGAAAAAAAUUGCAUAUUUUAAAACAAAAAUUCGUAACAUGUAAAACAAUUAAGAUGCAGUAAUUUAUUUACAAAAGAAACAGCAAAAUUACAUUUAUACCGCACUAAGUACCAUACUCAGCAACACAAAGACCUUUUUGCAAUAUAUGCCAAAUUUUUGUGAAUUGUAUAUUUAUAUAAUUCAAGGAUUUUACCUUUUAUUUUUGUUUAAUUGGUUUUGAACAACUAGUAGAUUUUUUUCUCUCUCUUCUACAUCUAUUUUUAAAGCUUUUUGAAGUUUUAAUUAUAAUGUUAUAAAGAUCUAAAUGAUUAUCAAAUUCAUAAAUAUCUGUAAAAAUCUUAAUAUAUUAUAGCACCAACAUUUAUAAUUUCUUGUCUCUCUUGAGACAUAGACCAUAUUUUUUCUUCCAACAUAUCUAUAUAUGUGUCCAAUCUAUUUUCCCAACCAAGGUACAUGCCAUCACAUUACUAGAAAAAUAGUCUUUAUUGACAUUAUAAGUGUCAGUAAUUACUUUUACUAACACUUGUUAAUUGUGUCAGUAAUCUGACAGUCAGAAAAAUAGUGACACUUGUAUUUGGUGUCAAUGAUUACUAUCACUACAGUAUCACCAAUAUUAUAAUACCAUAGUGUUAGUAGUUGCUGAUAUUUUGUUAGUGUCUAUGAUUACUGUUAUCAUGGUAUCACUGUUUAAUUUAUUUAAAAAAAUAAAAAAAAAUGAAUUAGAUCAUUGCAUAUUGAUUUAUUGGCAAAAUUAUAAGGCACCAUAAAGUAACCAAAACAAUCAUUUUAUAUUACGAAAUCUUUCGUUUCAUAUUUAAAGAUUAUUCGUAUAUAUUACAAAUUCCAAAUACUUCAAUAAACAAGAUAUGAGAUAUCCUACUUUCAUUACCGAAUAAUCUAAAUUAUGUAAAUAAAAAUUUCUACAAUCCAAUCAAAUACCUACUAAUUGUGAGUGAAUUUAACAAAUCUACAAGCUAAGUUCAAAAGGUUGGCUGCCUUUCACUCUUUAAACAUAGGUGGUGCAAUUGCGGUAUCACACCAGGAGCUUCUCCAUUCAAUAGACUAGAUGGGUUAAGAUACAAGUGAAGUUGAGGAAGAAACACUUCAAACACAUUGAGCAAAUAUGCAUACAUGGAAAAGGGAGAAAAAAUUAGCUGCCAAUUCCCAACCAUUAGAGAAACAAUGGUUAGUAGAAAUAAAUCUAUUUUGUUCUAAAGAAAAAAUAUUCAUACACUAUUUAUAAGUAAACUCAGUUAUUUCAAAGAAAAAUUAGUGAACAAGGAAGUUGUAGUUUAUUUUCUUAAAAAUACCAAAGAUAUACAGUUUAUUCAACUACAGAUAUAAAUAAGAAAAAAGGGAGUCAAUGAUUAUUCUCUUUUGGUAAGGUUAUUUAUAAUAAGUUAAUGGCUCUAAAUAGAGUAAGAACGAUAACUAGAUAAAAGUACAAUUACUUGUUGAAAAUUAGUCACUAAAUUCCCAGUAACUACAUCAUAAUGUUGAGCAAUUAAUUACUAAGGCAUCAGCCAAGUAGUUAGUGUAGGGAUUGACUUCAUUUAUUCCCUUAGAAGAAAUCCAAUAACCUUGCUGCCUCCUUAUUUAUAUGCAUACUUCCAAUGUUUAAUUAUUUUGCUGCAGAGAAAGAAAGUUAAUAGAAAUGACAAACUGAUAGCGUUUUCGCAAUUUUCAAAUAAUCACACAGAACAUUUCUUUUAUAAAUUAACCGUCUACUUGAUCGAUUAUGCACAUUCUUGUUAAUUUCCUUAAACUCUUCUAUUUUAUUUAAUAACUUAAUUUCAACCUUCAUCACUAGGAAAAAAAUUUAAAAAAUUAAAAAAAAAACUUUUGCAGUGGUGAAGGAGCUGGCUAAAUAUAUGCACAGCAGAAAAAGAAAAAUCUGCCCUGUUGACUUGGAGGGUCGUAUUAAUUUAAUUGGCCUUGCGGGUAGCAGAUAAUUUUUGAGCUAUUAUGCUUAAUUGCUUUAUGACCAUGUAGUUCCUUUAACUUAGUCAAAGCCAGCUGAAAAACGAAGCAAUUAAACAAAGCUUAAUUAAUGACUAAAAAGAUUCCCUAAAGAUUUGUUACGGUGACAUGAAUAGAUAAGACACGAAUAAAAAAAAUUAUCAACUUCUUUUCCUUUUCAUAUUAUUUAAAAUAAAUUAAAGCUGAUAAGAAUUAUUUCUAUGUAAUUUAUAGAGGUGAUUGCUCCCAUUAUUGAAAACCCAAAACGAAAGAGGUAUGUGGGACAAUUAAACUAAGAAAACCAGAUUCCUAAAAUAUAAUUAAGUAGAGAUUUGUGUGUAAGUCAAAAUUGUCUAUGAAAAACUACAGUAGCAAUUGGUACUUAAAUACAUAUUUAUAAAAUUUAAGAUACUUAAUACAUUGGAAUGAUAUUUUCUAGUUUUUAACAACACAUAUGAAUGAACAACAUAUUAAAAUUUGAGGUUAUUUUAAUAUUAUUAUGCUGGUGUUUUGUAAUAUCAUAAGUUAAUAAAUAGUUAUGUCAAAAGAACUUUCAGCUCAUUCAGACAUGUUUAGACUAUUGUUUUGCACCACCAAACAUGAUACAUGAGUAAUUUAUGAAAGAUUGGACAGCAACCAACCAUUUUGAAAAAUCGAUUAAAAAUCAAUUAUAGACCCAAUUCAUUCCAAAAUUUCCAGAAUUGAAACAUACACAUUUAACUUUAAUUAUUUCAAACAUAUGGUAAAGUUUGGACAAAAUAUUUCAAUAAUUUGAGAGUUCAUUCCAAAAUCAUUACUUAUAAACAAGUCUUAUGAUUUUGGCCAUGAAUCAUAUAAAUAUAAAUAAGAAAAAUCAAACAACUGAAGUAGAUAUUGCCUUAUUAUGAACAUAAAUAUAAAUAAGAUAAAUCUAAUAUUGCCUUAGUAAUGAACUGAAGAAACAAAAUUAUGUUUUACCCUGUAAACAAAUCCAUUAAAAAAAUGAUAAAGAUACCUCAUUUCUCAACCUAAGCCACAUACUUCAAACUUUUCCUUUGUAAAAAUAUUUAUUUGAUAGUUUGUAAUAAAUAAUCAUCCAAUGAGACUAUUUAUAGCAAAUUAAAAUUGAAAUAUAUUUGAUAUGAACAAAACUAAAAAAUAACAACCGAAAAAAAAUGAAACGAUUGCUUUUGAAAAAAAAAACUAAUAACACAUGAACAAAUGGUUAAUAAGCAAUAAGUUAUAUCAACAUAGAACCACUAUGAACCAAUAUAAACCAUCAAUUUUAGCAUAAUCAUGCUGCUCUUAAGAAUUCCCAAAUUAGAAAAUUUUAGGGUUUAAGUGUAAAAAAUGUUUCAUGUCGUUCAUCAGCGAAAUAAAGUUAAUCUUAUAGUGACGAUCACCCUAAACACAAUAUUUUCCAAAGUAGAUAUAAUGAAGGCUAUUUGGUGCCAAUAAAAGAAAAGAAAGUAGCAGAGAAAAAAACACAAUAAAAGCUAAAUUUUUACCUUCUUGUUUCUUCCAAGUAGCCAAAGAAACAUUACCUUCUAGUUUCUUCCAAGUAGUAAAAGAAACAUAGAAGCUCUUCUCCAAAUCGCUUAUUUAAACCUAAAAGAACAAUUAAAACAAAAAAAAACUCAAGAUCUAAUGAUAAUAAGAGAGACCCGAAAUCAUAAAAUAAGAAAAGAAAGAAGUUAGGAUUUUGAAGGCAAAUGGUGAACUUGUGCCACCAGUUUGACAGGAUCAUGGCCGAGCACUUUUUGACAAUUGGGAUGUUAGGGAUUUUUCAGAUCUGGGGAGCUUAGGAGGGAACGAAUACUUUGGUAGAGGGAGUUGAAAAGUUAUAUUUUUGGAUAAGAUAAGACUUGUCCAUUUGUUUUGUUUUUAUCCACUCAAAAAGCACUGCUCUAAAAUAAUUAAAAAUAAUUCGUAGCCUAGAGGUCUUUUGAUUCAAUGUAGAAGCUUUAGGUUUAAGAGGUCUUGGGUUUGAAUUCGAACUAAAACAAAAUUAAAAUGAUAAUUUUUAAUUGCUGAUACCUAAGUGUCAUUGAUUGUUAUUACUAAAGCUAUUGAUACUUCAGUAUUAGUAAUUAGUGAUACCUAUCUGUUAAACGUGAAAAAUGGUUCAAAUAUAUGUACAUACUGAUACUUUUAAAUAAAGAGUCAGAAGACAAGUAUCAGUAAAGACCAUUUUUCUAGUAGUGUCAAUACUUUCACAUUGAUAUUAUAAUCUAAAUUCAACAUUCUGAAUUAAAACGUUCACAUGAUUAUUAUUGUUAUUUUCCAUCAAUAGACUUAUUAUGGACGGUUUAGAGCUCUAUUAUUUGUUUUGCAUCUAUCUUGAAUUAUUUCAAGACUGGUUAAAUAGACUCCAUUAAUGCUAUUCUAUUUUCUUCCUCAAAGGUCUCAUAUAUUUCAUUGUUAUCUUGGAAGUUUAUUCUCUUUAUAUCUUUAUACAAGCGUUUACUUGCAAUUAAUUGAGUUUUAACAAUUUCCAUUGUAUAAAUAACUUGAUAUUCUUGACUAAAGUCUAGAUUAUCUAUGGCAUCUAGAAGUUUGUCGACUAAUCUUCAAUUUUUGAUGAAAAUUGAGUUACACUUAUAAGAUCCAAAAGAUAAUCAAUGUCUAACAGGCUUCUAUUUGUGCAAAAUAUAAUAAUAAGAUAAUUCAGUAUACUAACCAAUGUACUAUUCCUCAAAAUUCUGGAAUAAAUUUGCUAAUUCCCUAAGACCAUAGAUUGGCCCAUGGUCAGCACCGCUCUAGCUGCACGCAUCAUGCAAGAUCACUCCCGUAACUGUUCCAUACUGCCUAAUACAACACACUGUAGACUAGCCCAAUUAGAUUUUUCUAAGUGAAUCCCUUGCAAUUGUCUUUGGAAGAGUGCUUAAUACCAUGAAAUCUUCUUCAUUUAACACAAAACUCUUUUUGAGUGAAAUUAUCAUCUUUAUAUAUAUAUAUAUAAAGAUGAUAAUUUCACUCAAAAAGAGUUUUGUUUAUUUCAUUUUUGAACUUAAAGAGAGAAUACAGAUGAGAAUGAGAGUAUAUUUGUGAGUGAUACCUCUAGCAUCUUACAUGACUCUAUUUAUAAACUUACAUGACACAUGUAGAUUUUAGCGAUAAGGUUAUCUCUUUUUACAUAACACUUGUUGCCUAGUAGAUUUCCUAGAGACAAAGUGACCCUUCCUCUUUGCAUUACUGAAGACAGUUGUUGUCUUCUUUUUUUGAUAGUUAACAGUCUUCACAUGGUUAAGGUAUCGAUUCUGAUAAGCCUUAUCCCUUCCCUUGGAUUUUUUAUGAAUUAUUGAUACUUCUAGCUAGCAUCUUUUAUCUUUUUAGUGGUUUCCUGUCACAUGCUAAUUAUAAGCUCUUCAUCUAGCGACAUGUCUUUUCUCGCUAGAUUCUUCUUUUGAUUUUUUAUAGUAAAAGCCACAAUAUGAUUGAUGCUUAAGCACCUUGCAUAUCCCAUGGUGUGUUAGCAAACUAGAUUCCACGAGAUUCUUGUUGAGUGUUAGAAAAUGUAUAUUUAUAAAGGAGAAAAUCGUCAUUUUACUUUUCAAGUCUUACUAACACCCUUACUUUUAUGUAUUUAAGCUUCUUGUGAUUUAAUUAUGUGUGUUUUAUUUUAAUUAAGUAUUUUAUAUAUUUUAGGGGCAUUAUGGUCAUUUCACAAUGAACAAGAGAUCAGACGGCAAAACGGACAUCACUUUUGAACUCAGGACGGUCGAAAACCUUAAGAGGAGCAUAAAAGGAAAAAUGACACUGUUCACAUGUACGGUACUGUCUACAUUACUGUUCACGACACUGUUCACAUAGACGGAUUGAUGAUAUGGCAUGACCGAUGAUGUGAUGUUGACUGAUGAGAUGUCACGAUCCUAUUGGACUAAAAUUCUUAUGCACUGUUGAUUGGUGACGUGGCAGCAUGUUAGUGGACCAAAAAUUGUGCGUGCGGUACAUGCAUAUACACAGAAUUAUUUUCCACCACACCGCGUUACUGUUCAAACCGGGUCAAACCGUGUCACUGUUCAAACCGCGUACUGUUGACUGAUGACGUGGCACAAUCCUGAGCGUCCAAACUGUUGUUAAUUUGAUGACCAUGAUUUACUCAAUAUAUCUAUAAAAAGGGGGCCUCCCCCUAAUUUGACAUCUCUGAAUCCAUUUUUUGGCUCCAUUUUUUUGUAAUUCCUUCUCUAUCUUGUAUUUUUUACGUAUUUUAAUAAAUUUCCAUUUUGCCCCUAGUUGAAUUAUGAGUAGCUAAUUUUCUUUCAAGUUGGGGUUGAAUGUGAAGUUUCAACAUGUGUCAUGGGCUUUAAUUGGUAAAUUUACUUUCUGUUCCCCUCUAGUUUUGUGGAUGUUUUGACUUCUCAUCGACAAAUAAUAAUAAUCUUGUCUAGAUACCGCCAUGGUUUCACCGGCACCCUAGUACAAGAUUAUUAUUAUUUGGCACGAUAAGCCCUUAGUACCAUAUUGAUUAGAGUGUGGUUCAUGGAGUGGGGAUUCCCCCCUCAUGAUUUAAUUGGCACUAAUAAGGAAUAUUUAGCCCAUGGUGUAUAUUGAUACGGAUCCAGAUAUCCAAGUGUUUCAUUUCAAUAGAUUUCUCUUCAAUUUAUUCUCGCCAUUUCAAUUCCAAUUUUAAGAUAAUCUAAGUCACUUUCACCACAAAUCUAACCACCCAUUUAGAAAAUUAAUUCUACACACAAUUAAAAUCUACCUCCUCGUGGGAUCGACACUCGUCACCAUUAAUCUAUACUACAAUAGAUUCGUGCACUUGCGAGUUCAAUAAAAUUUGCACAACAAGUUUUUGGAGUCGUUACUGGGGAGGUAAGUUAUUUUAAUUCGUAGAAUUAAUUUUUGUAAAUAAUUUCUUUUAAUUAUUUUCUUGUAAUUUUUUUCUUAUUUAAAAAAAAAGUGAAUCUCCAUUUAGAGGUUAGUAUUUCUUUUCUUUUUCUCUUCUUUAAAAUUAUGUAAUUUAAUUUUCAAGUUAUUUUUUCCUCUUUGUAAUUUUUAUUUAUCUUACUAAUUUAUUUUUAGUUAAUUUAUUUCACGUAUUUUUUUUUGUGUAUUUUUAUAGUAAGGUUGUAAUAGCGCGAUAAGGUUAAUAUCGUAAUUUCUCCUUCUUCUUUGUUUUUAUUCGUUUUGUUCCUAUUUAUUUUUGUGUUCUUUGCAUGCAUGGUCGAAGGUCAUUAUUACCUAAUUUUGAACCUAUAGACCUUGAACUAGAAAAAACACUGCGCACACACAACACACGUUAAAAAUAAAAGUGAAAUGGAUUUGCAACAAUAACAAGCACCACAGGAGAGGCCAUUUAAGGACUAUUUUAGUCCCUUAGCUAAUUUGAGCACAUCAUGCAUAAGAUACCCAAAUGUAGCUGCUAGGAGUUUUGAGUUAAAACCUAGUGUGCUAAAUUGUCUCCCAACAUUCUAUGGCCUAGAAAAUGAGGACCCAUAUAAUCAUUUGAAUGAUUUUCAUACUAUUUGUCAAACUUUUAAAUAUGAGAAUUUUUCAGACGAUGAUAAACUUAGAUUAUUCCCAUUUUCUUUAAAGGAUAGAGCUCGUUCAUGGUUAAAUACUUUGCCUGCUAAUAGCAUUACAUCAUGGGAACAAAUGGUAACAAAAUUUUUGAAUAAAUAUUUCUCAGUGCAUAAAACCAAUGCUAUUCGCAGGGAAAUUUCAAAGUUUACCCAGAGAGAAGACAAGCAGUUUUUUGAAACAUAGGAGCGAUUCAAUGGGCUACUCUUGAAGUGUCCACAUCAUGGGUACGAGAAAUGGCACCAAUGCCAAUACUUUUUUGAGGAAUUAUUGCCGAAUGUACAAGAAUGGCUAAUGGCAACAAGUGGAGGAGAGCUAAUGUCAAAAAGUGCAUCAGAGAUUUGGGAAUUCUUCCAGCGACAAGCGAAUAAUUCCCAACAACGGGGUCGAUUGCUCAGGAACACUAAAAGAAUUAAGGGAAUAAAUGAGGUUCACAUUGGCGAGUCAAGUUCAGAAAUUAAUUGAAGGUCUCUCUCGAAAAAUAGCAUCGUUAUCGACUGCUAAAUCAACAGAGCUACAUGACCAUGACUUAUACUCAGAUCAGGCCAAUGCCAUAGGUGUAAUGAGAAAACCACCCCAAUUUUUCAUGGUUUCAAGGAUUCCAACAGAAUGGACUGGCAGCUCCAGCUCCACCAAUGCAACAAAUUCCUCAAGUUCCUCAAGCCUCUCAGCCCCCAUUUAGACCAUUCAAUCAGAACCAGAACUACUCUCAACCCAGACCAUGGGAGGAUGCAUUCCAGAAUUUCAAGAAUGUUACUCACUCUACGAUUGAGCAAUAAAACCGCACCAUUGAUGGACUAUGAAAUCAGAUGAGAGCAGGCUUUAACUCACAAGCCCAAUCAGUUUCAAGCCUCAAGAAGAUGGUGGGACAACUUGCUUCUUCAGUUCAGACCUUGGCAAUUACUAUUGAGAAAGACAAGUUCCCAAGUCAACCAGUGCCUAAUCCUAAAAGAGUGCAUGAAGUAAGUACCAAUUCACCAUAGCAGCAUAGAGAGGUCAAAGUAGUCAUGACUUUGCAGAAAGGAAAAGAAGUCGACAACAAAGUGAAGAUGCCAGUGACAAAAGAAAAUCAAAUUGUUCCUCCCUGUGAAUGUUGAGAACUUACCAUCGGAAGAGAAAGAAGAAACCAACCCACGAGAAUAUGUUUCUAAAGCUCCAUUUCCUCAGAGGUUAGCUAAAUGAGAGAAGGGAAAAUCCACAGGUGAGAUUCUUGAAAUCUUCAAAUAAGUAAGUGUUAACAUCCCUUUACUUGAUGCUAUAAAACAAGUUCCAUCUUAUACCGAGUUUCUUAAAGACAUUUGUACUAAAAAGAGAAACAUUCACGUUCAAAAGAAGGCAUUUUUAACAGAAAACGUUAGUUCUAUACUCCAAUAUAAAAUCCCUCUAAAAUGCAAAGACCUAGGCUCCCUCACUAUCUCAUGUAGUAUAGGGAACCACACAAUUGAGAAUGCUUUGUUGGAUUUAGGAGCUAGUGUAAAUCUAUUGCAUUCUUCAGUAUUUGUGAAACUUGGACUUGGAGAAUUACACCCAACUCCAGUGGUGUUACAACUUGCAGAUCGAUCCACGAAAGUACCUCGUGGUAUUGUGGAGGACGUGCUUAUCCAGGUAGACAAGUUUUAUUUUCUUAUUGAUUUCAUUGCAAUUGACAUUCAACCAAUAAAUGAUUCAAGGAAGCACAUCCCCAUUAUCCUAGGCGGACCUUUCUUGGCAACUGUGGAUGCUCACAUUCAAUGCAGGAAUAGAAAUAUGCAGUUGUCCUUCGGCAACAUGACUAUGGAGCUAAACAUCUUCAACAUUGCCAAACAACCUUAUAAUGGAGAUGAUGAAAUUGUUGAUGUGGAUUUAAUCGAAGCAUUAGUUGAUGACACUUUUCUUUCAAACCAUAAUGAUGACCCUUUACAAACAUGUUUAACUCACUUUGGUUUGGAUUUUGAUAUUGACAGAUCAGUCGAUGAGGUUAAUGCCCUACUUGACUCAGCACCAUCCAUGGAUACUAAUAAAUGGAAGUCAAGAGUUGAACAAUUAGCACCAUCAGAGAAAAAACUCAUCCCAUCAUCAGAAUCACCACCGAAACUCGAGCUGAAACCAUUACUCAACACAUUGGAAUAUGCAUUUUUGGGAGAAGAAAGUACUCUACCUGUAAUCAUCUCAUCAUCCCUCAAUGACGAACAAAAAGGAAAGUUGUUGGAUAUUUUAAAAGAGCACAAAGGAGCAUUAGGAUGGACCAUAGCAAAUAUCAAAGGUAUAAACUUAGUAGAUUGCAUGCAUUACAUUCACCUUGAUGAAAAUACUAAACCUACUAGGGAAAUGCAACGUCGGUUAAAUCCUAACAUGAAAGAAAUUGUUAGAACUGAAGUCCUUAAGCUAUUAGACGCAGGUAUCAUUUACCCAAUUUCUGAUAGUUCAUGGGUCAGUCCUGUACAAGUUGUCCCUAAAAAGUCAGGAGUCACAGUAGUUACCAAUACUGAUAAUGAAUUAAUACCAACUAGAGUAACUACAGGAUAAUGUGUAUGCUUUGAUUAUAGAAAGUUGACUUCUGUCAUACGUAAAGACCAUUUUCCUUUACCAUUUAUCGAUUAAAUGCUUGAUAGAUUAGCAGGCCAUGAAUUUUAUUGCUUUCUAGAUGGCUACUCAGGAUACAAUUAGAUCCCCAUAGCACCAAAAGAUCAAGAGAAUACUACUUUCACUUGCCCUUUUGGUACUUUUGCAUAUAGGAGGAUGCCAUUUGGAUUAUGUAAUGCACCUGCUACAUUUCAACGAUGCAUGUUGAGCAUUUUUUCUGAUAUGGUUGAACGAUUCCUUGAAGUCUUUAUGGAUGACUUUUCUGUCUUUGAUGAUUCAUUUGAUUAAUGUUUACAUCAUCUAACACUAGUUUUGCAGAGAUGUACCGAGAAGAACUUAGUCUUGAAUUGGGAGAAGUGUCAUUUUAUGGUAAAACAAGGUAUUAUUCUCGAUCACAUCAUUUCAAGUAAAGGUAUUGAGGUUGACAAAGGCAAGGUGAAUCUCAUUUCUAAUCUUCCUUCAUCCAAAAUAGUCAGGAAAGUAAGAUCUUUCGUUGGGCAUGCUGGUUUUGAUAGUCAUUUUAUUAAAGAUUUUAGCAAAGUUUCUAGACUCUUAUGCAAUCUACUUACUAAAGAUGUACCUUUUAUCUUUGAUGAUUCAUGUCUUGUGGCAUUUAAAAAAUUAAAGCAGUUGUUGACAUCAUCACUCAUCAUUCAGCCCCCAAACUGGAGCUUACCAUUUGAACUCAUGUGUGAUGCAUAUGAUUAUACAGCAGGAGCAGUAUUAAGACAAAGAGUUGAUCAAAUUUCCCAUGUUAUUUACUAUGCUAGUAUGACAUUGAAUGAUGCACAGUUGAACUAUUCAACUACUAAAAAAGAAAUAUUAGCAGUAGUGUUUGCAUUGGAAAAAUUUCGAUCUUAUCUCAUUGGUUGUAAAAUAAUUGUAUUCACAGAUCAUGAUGCUCUUAAAUAUAUUCUCACAAAGAGAGAUGCAAAAGCUAGACUAAUUCGUUGGGUGUUACUUUUGCAGGAAUUCGACUUGGAAUUUAAAGAUAAGAAAGGCACAGAAAAUGUUGUGGCAUACCAUAUCUCUCGUUUUCAUUUUGACACAAUUACAGAACCAUUAACAUUGAAUGAGUCAUGCUCAGAUGAACAAUUCAUGAGUGUAGAAGUAUUACCAUGGUAUGCUGACAUCGUGAAUUAUCUUGUUACAGGUCAACUUCCAGAGCAUUAGACCAAGCAAGACAAGGCCAAUUUUUUUGCAGAAAUAAAGAAUUUCUCUUGGGAUGCCCCGCAUUUGUUCAAGUAUUGUGCAGAUCAAAUUGUUAGACGAUGUGUCCCAGAAAAUAAAAUUCAGAAUAUCCUUUCAUUCUGCCAUGAACAAGCUUGUGGAGGCCAUUUCAGUGCUAAGAAAACAACAACUAAAGUUUUACAAUGUGGUUUUUAUUGGCCAACUAUAUUUCGAGAUGCUUACACUUUCUGUUCUUCACGUGAUAGGUGUCAACAAAUGGGGAGCAUUACGCGAAGGAAUAUGAUGCCAUUAAAUUUAAUUUUAGUGGUUGAGAUUUUUUAUGUAUAGGUAUCGACUUCAUAGGACCUUUUCUCCCUUCUUUUGGCCAUCAAUACAUAUUGGUUGCUAUUGACUACGUAUCGAAAUGGGUAAAAGCAAUUCCAUGUAGAACUAAUUAUCACAAGGUGGUGAUAGAAUUUUUGAAAAGCAACAUUGUUUCAUAGUUUGGAUUCCCUCGAGUAAUGAUCAGUAAUGGUGGUGCCCACUUUUGUAACAAAGCAUUCAAAGCUCUUUUGACAAAGUAUUCCAUCACUCACAAAGUGGUGACCCCAUAUCAUCCUCAAACCAAUGGCCAAGUUGAGAUCUCCAAUCGAGAAAUAAAGCACAUAUUAGAAAAGACGGUGAGGUCAGACAGAAAAGAUUGGUCAUUAAGAAUUGAUGAUGCAUUAUGGGCAUAUAGAACGGCUUUCAAGACCCCAAUUGGGAUGUCACCCUACAGGCUGGUGUAUGAAAAAACUUGCCACCUACCUGUGGAACUCGAGCAUCGUGCAUAUUGGGCCAUCAAGAAAUUCAACUUUGACAUGCAGCAAACUAGCUCAGAAAGAUGAUUACAACUAGCAGAACUUGAAGAAAUUCGCAAUGACGCAUACGAAAAUGCCAAGAUUUACAAGCAGCGAAUGAAAGUCUUUCAUUAUGAGAAAAUCUUUCACUCUAGGUCAGAAAGUUCUUUUAUUCAAUUCUCGUUUGCACCUAUUCCCAGGUAAGUUACGCUCUCGAUGGUCUGGCCCCUUUAUUGUUCACACUGUUUUUCCACACAAGGCAAUUGAAAUUAAGGACCCAAAGAACAGUGUCACGUUUAAAGUUAAUGGUCAAAGAUUAAAGCCAUAUCUAGAGUACUAACCACAUGGAGAGGACACUGAAAUAAAUUUGAGUGACCCACCAGAUUUGAAUUGAGUUUUUUUUCUUUCUUUUCGGUGAUUUGAUUUUUUUUCUCCUUUCUUUUUAUUAUUCUUUUGCUAAUUGAAAUUAUUUUUGCAUAAGUGUGUUUGUUUAACCAUUAAGUUUUCUCUUAUCAUUGUUAAUAAUGAGUGCCAUAGCCAAACAGUUCCUCCUGGACAUUCUUAAACCACUUCAACAUGUAAAAUCUCAUCUCAAAAGGCAGAUUUGAUUUUGUAAAACACAUCGUAUUUGGGCUCUGCAACCACCAGAGUUAGUAUCAUAUGUUGAGGAUUUAGAAAGCCAACUCAGAGAUAUUGAGAGAAGUGUCUACAACAUCCAGUUGGAGCUUGAAGUAAAUUCAAUAAGAGAACGAUUGUAAUUUUCUUUAUGUGUUUUAGUUUAUUUUCUUUGUUUGUGUGCUUUAGUUUAUUACCGCAGUGAAGUGGCGGAUAACGGUACUCCGUGACAAUCAAGUCGAUUACUUUAGUUUCCCAUAAUAACUGAUAUUCUGAGGCGAAGGUAUGGACAUAAAUGAGAUUCUAGAAAAGCUUCAUAAUCGAUUCCCUUCACUUCCUUAGAAUGCCCUCUUUACAAUCUAUAAAGCUCGGUCCGAACAUAUGCGAUUGCUCAUGAGGAAUAACAUACCUGCUGACAUCCGUUGGUUAAUCGAGGCUAAAGUACGAUUGGCAGGUAUGUUACUUCCAAAAUUUAUUGCAUACAUGCCUGGUUGUGACAAAGGAAAUUAUGCAAGAAAACGAAGAGCUCAAAGAAUUUCUGUUGCUUGUCAUAAGUGUGCCAGAAUGAGUUGCGAUAAAAAAUCAUGUUCUUUAAGAAUGGUGUCUAAUAAUAGGGAAGAUUCAAUUCAUUAGGGAUGGCUUGAAUAAGGAGUCAUUGGAUGAUAUCUUUUUAUUUAUUGAAACGCAUCCUAGUGGAUAUGUGCAAGGAGCGAUUCUCCAGUUAUAACCAUUAUUCCAGAAAGAGCAUACACGAUAUAGUCUCGGGAAUCUGACUAUAAACGACAUUGUUUACCAGUUUAUAAGAAAACUAGAUGGGAAGCCUAUCCUCGACCCAUAGAGGGCGUUCAAGCCGUUUCUGGACGUAAAAUCAGAGGAAGAUGUGAGCUACAGUCGCAAUUACCUGUAAAUAUCAUUUUACUUCAGUGUUAUUUUAUUUCACUGUUGUUUUAUCAUUUGCAUUAUUGUCUUUAAUAAUUUUAUUUUAUCAUUUUUUUAAUGUUUGCUUUUUGACUCUCGAGCCAUGUGCUUUACGCGUUAUUUGACACUGACAUGCUACCUCAUACACAGCUGUGACCCACUGUCAUCAAGAUUCUUAAAUAUGAUUUUUUGUCAAGUACUCACAAAUUAUUUUUGAGAAGUAUCCUAAUGCCAGCUACUCCCAAUAGACAAUUCAAGAACAUUUGUGUCAAGAACAUUUCUGGAUUUAACUAUGGCAAGCAUAAAGAGUUCGUUGAGGCAGCCAUAGAUCUUGGUCGAAGCAUAGUAAAGAGAAAAUUACACUUGGUGUAUGGAGGAGGUAACUGAGGGUUAUCAAAAUUGGUCUCAGAAGCUGCUUUUGUUAGAAGAAGCCAAGUGUUAGGCAUCAUCCCAAGAGCCCUAAAACCUUUGGGCAGUUUGUCUGACUCACCGACUGGAGAAGAGUUAGUCGUCUCAGGUAUGCAAGAAAGAAUAACUGAAAUGCUUAAUCAUACUGAUGUUUUUAUUUUCCUACCAGGAGAUCUUGCAACUCUAGAGGCACUUAUCACAUUAGCAUCUUGGGCCCAUCUGCACAUUCACCAGACACCCAUCGGUUUGUUAAAUGUCAAUAACUUUUAUGAUGACUUUAUCAUAUUUCUUAACCAUGCAAUAAAAAACUAUUUCAUUCCUUCCAAUGCGAAAAAGCUUUUUAUUUAUGCUCACACUGCUAAUGAGCUACUUGAUAUGUUACAAGCUUAUAGACCGGAGCCAGACCCAUGGACCUUUGUGUUGGAGCGUCCAAAUAAUGAUGGUAAUAGUAGCCGCAGUAAGAAGUACAAAUUAGAUUUAACUCUUCGCUUAUAAAUAUUUUCUUCUAUGUUGCACCACCCAGGUAAUGUCUUCUAAACUCUACUUCUUUCCUUUAAAAUAUUAAAGACAAUAUUUCGUUCUGGUUGGGGGGAGGGAAUAGUCGACAAUUAUAGAAUAUUGGUUAAGUUUUUACUAAUUUUUUGUUAUAGAAACUAACUGUUGCUAACUUUGUGUGUUGAAGAUGGCUGAAUAUGGAGUGUAGUGACUCUAGAAACGCAUCUUCAUCGUUUGAAAAAAAAAAGCAAAAAAAAAUUAAUUCAAACAUUUUCUUUUUCUUUAUUAAGCUUUGAUAUUUAUUUUUCUUCCUCUUUUUAAUUUCUCCUUUAUAAAUAUACAUUUUAAAUUUUUGAGUCGAAGAUGGCGGAAUAUGGAGUGUAGUGCCUCUAGAAACGCAUCUUCUUAGUUAAACAAAAAAAAAAACCGUUUUCUUUUUCUAUCAUUUUAAGUGUAACUUUUCUAAUUAGUUUUUCUGCAUCAUUUUCACAUUUCUGCAUGCAUAUUUUCCUUUCAUGUUUAGAAUAGGUUGGGGGGUAGGAUGUUGUUUGAAAAAAAAAGUUGUGUGAUUUGUUUUAACAUUGGAUGACAUGAUUAAUUUCAAAUUUUAGUAUUUGUAUUAUCUUUGGUCUUAAGUGAUGUUACGCUAUGUUUGCUACUCUGCAUGUUGAUGUCGGAGACAAAUAUGAGUUGCUUGAAGGAAUGAACAUGUCAUAAUAAGUACCAAGUGAGUUUUUGAGCUUAUCAUUUUUCUUGGAGAGUAACCUUUUUGCCCAUUCUUUAUACAGUUUUGCAGUUUAUUAUUUUAUACACGAUCUCUAGAUUUCUUUUGAGUUUACCCUUAAAAAAAUGUAAAAUAAAAAAAAGAAAAAGAAAAAGAAAAAGAAAAAAUGUGUGUUGUUACAUUUGGAGGCCCAUCUAACUAGUAGAUAUGGAAGAUUAUUUAGAGCCCUAAAAGACGAUGGAAAGGAUAUCUUUGAUCCGUUUGAGUCUUUCUAGCCAUCCCUUUUAUGAAAUAUCCAUAGUUAACCCUUUUGAGCCUUUUUUAAAAAAUAUUUUCUUUGUCAAACUUAUCAUCUUGACCCACUCCGAUUUGGAGUAUUACCCGAUAUCUUACAAGUUCCGUCACCUAUUUAUGUUUGAGAAAAAUGUAAAUAAUUAUUUUGUUCAGUGAAGUUAUGCUAAAAAAAAUUGUUGUUUCAAAAAUAAAAAUAACAAUAAUAGGUGAAAUCCACCUUGCAACUUAAAAAAAAAAAAUCUUUACAUUUUUCUCAAACAUACACUUUGUUUUCCUUAUUUCUCCUCCUUUGUUAGCCAUGUCCCUAGCCUAUGUUAUGUUCUAAUAAAAGUCCUUCUUGAUUUUAAGGAACUAUAAUAUGAAGUAGAAGCUAGUUAUAUGGGCUAAAAAGAUGUAGUGGUGCAUAAAAAAAAUAAAUAAAUUGGGUUAACUAGCAUUUUUAUUUGACUUGAGAUCGUAUUAUUUCUAAGCUGAGGGCAUAUUUCUUUCAUCUUGGUGAGAGCAUGUGAUAUCACUUCUUUAUUAUUUUCUCUCAAAUACCAUUAAUUGGAGUGACUAUUUUUAUUGGGUUUAUUUUCUUUGUGAGAGUGUCACUAUUUCUAGUGAGAUUUUGGGGUUUAACAUGUCAUUUUUGAAAGUAGCUGCCACAAAGUCUACUGGGUUGAUUCAUGUGGAUGGUUGAUGUGGGUGUGAUGUUUCUUUAGACUGGAGAUAAUGCUUAUACUUUUAUUUUAUUAUUAUCAUUAGUCUGAUUGAAUAAACAUGAUUGUUAAAAAAAAUUGGAUUUGAAUUUUGUUUUCGCUUUAUUUGCUAGGGACUAGCAAUAAGCUGGUUGGGGGGUGUGUUGAGUGUUAGAAAAUGUAUAUUUAUAAAGGAGAAAAUCGUCAUUUUACUUUUCAAGUCUUACUAACACCCUUACUUUUAUAUAUUUAAGCUUAUUGUGAUUUAAUUACGUGUUUUUUUAUUUUAAUUAAGUAUUUUAUAUAUUUUAGGGGCAUUAUGGUCAUUUCAUAAUGAACGAGAGAUCAAACGGUAAAACAGACAUCACUUUUGAACUCAGGACAUUCGAAAACCUUAGGAGGAGCAUAAAAGGAAAAAUGACACUGUUCACAUGUACGGUACUGUCUAUGUUACUGUUCACGACACGUUUACAUAGACGGAUCGAUGACGUGGCAUUGACCGAUGAUGUGGCAUUGACUGAUGAGGUGUCACGAUCCUGUUGGACUAAAAUUCUUAUGCACUGUUGAUUGGUGACGUGGCAACAUGUUAGUGGACUAAAAAUUACACGUACAGUACAUGCAUAUACACAGAAUUAUUUUCAACCAAACCGCGUUACUGUUCAAACCGGGUUAAACCGUGUCACUCUUCAAACCGCGUACUGUUGACUGAUGACCUGGUGCAAUCCUGAGCAUCCAAACUGUUUUUAAUCCGAUGGCCAUAAUUUACCCAUUGUAUCUAUAAAAAGGGGGCCUCCCCCCUAAUUUGGCAUCUCUGAAUCCAUUUUUGGGCUCCAUUUUCUGUAAUUCCUUCUCUAUCUUGUAUUUUCUAUAUAUUUUAAUAAAUUCACAUUUUGCCCCUAGUUCAAUUAUGAGUAGCUAAUUUUCUUUCAAGCUUGGGUUGAAGGUAAAGUUUCAACAUGUGUCAUGGGCUUUAAUUGGUAAAUUUACUUUCUAUUCCCUCUAGUUUUUGUGGAUGUUUUGACUUCUCGUCGACAAAUAAUAAUAGUCUUGUCUAGAUACCGUCCUGGUUUCACCGGCUCCCUAGUACAAUGUUAUUAUUAUUUGGCACGAUAAGCCCUUAGCACCAUAUUGAUUAGAGUGUGGUUCACGAGGUGUGGAUUUCUCCCUUAUGAUUUAAUUGGCACUAAUAAGAAAUAUUUAGCCCAUGGUGCAUGUUGAUACGGAUCCAGAUACCCAAGUGUUUCAUUUUAAUAGAUUUCUCUUCAAUUUAUUCUCGCCAUUUCAAUUCCAAUUUUAAGAUAAUCUAAGUCACUUUUAGCACAAAUCCUGUUAACAUAUAUGUUUCCAUGAUAUUGAUUUUGAUGAUAACAAACAAGAUUAAGAAUGAUUAAUCUUUUAAGCCCAAAUUAUUUAAUAUUCUUUUUAAAUAAAAUCAUUAUUUUUACAUUAUAAAGGUUUUAUAUUUAAUGGAAAAAUGAUUUUAUGAAAUUGAUUGUUUUUAUUCUUUUUAAAUAAAUCAUUAUUUUUGCAUUAUAAAUGUUUCAUAUUUAAUGGAAAAAUGAUUUUAUGAAAUUGUUUGUUUUUCAAAGUUUAUGGUUUCAUUGAAAGAAUUUUGAAAACUUUGAAAUAAACAAGUAUUGCUUGAAAUUUUGGUAAAGGACUUAUUUGAAAAGUGUCAUAGUAUUUUUGACUAUAUCAUAAUUUCAAAAAGUUUUGGGAUUAACAAAGAAUUAUUUAGAAAUUCUGAAAUUGGACUUAUUUGUAAUAUUUCAUAACGUUUUGGGCCAUACUACAAUUUUAUAAAGUUUUGGGGUCAAACGGUAAAUUUUGGGAAAUAUUUUACUGUAGCAGUUACUGUAGCAAGCAGCUUACCGGAUGCUGAUAAACGGCAACCUGGAUACGGGGCAGUAAGCACCAGAACGAAAGCGGCUUACCGGAUAUGGUUAAACGGCAAGCCGGUUACGACAAAAAAUGUGCAUAAUGGCUAGUAACGGCUAGUUUUUGAGUUCAAACUAUAUAAACUCAAAACCAAUUCAUUUUUGGCAACUCAAGCAAGCACAAACAAGUGCACACAACAUAUAUUGAGCUUCCAUUUCGUAAAUCAUCAUUUGUUGAAUCAUCAUUGAGCUAUAAUUUGUAUAUCCACUCUUAAAGAGAGAUUCAUUGUUGUAUUUAUCAUUUCUCAUCAAAUUGUGAGAGUACAAGUGUGAGAGACACUUGGGGUGAAGAGAUUGGAGAGAUAAUCUCUUGUUGUAAAGGUUCAUUGACACCUUGAAGUCAACUGUAAUCGUUUGAAGCCUUGGAAAGGCUUGGAUAGUGAAAUCCUCAAGCUCGGUGUGCUUGGAGGCGUGGACGUAGGCGGGGAUUGCCGAACCACGUAAAAAUCCUUGAGUUAGCUUUCUCUUCCCUUACUCAUUUAUUAUUGUGCUUUUAUUGAAUUUAUUGUUUUCGAAUUUAUUAAGGCAUUAGAUUGAAUUGUUGUGUGGUUUGCCUAGAAUAAUUUUAAAAACCCAAUUCACCCCCCCUCUUGGGUUGCCUAGCUAGUAUUUCAUUUGGUAUCAGAGCGAGGUGCUCUUGUGUAGACUUAACCGUCUAGAGUUAAAGAUUAAUAUCAACCCAAAUUAGUUCAACUUUCAUGGAAGGCCAAUCCACCACUAGACCUCCAUUCUUUGAUGGUAAUGACUAUCCUUAUUGGAAAACUAGGAUGAGAGUGUUUUUACAAGCCUUAGAUUAUGAACUAUGGGAAAUAGUUUGUGAUGGUUCAUUCAUUCCUAGGAAGAAUGUUUUAAGUGAAUUGGAUAAGAAAAACAUGACUUUAAAUUCCAAGACUAUGAAUGCUUUAUUUUGUGCCUUAGAUAAAAAUGAAUUUCAUAGAGUUUCAAAUUGUUCUAAUGCUUAUGAAAUUUGGAGAAAACUUGAAAUUGUGUAUGAGGAGACUACAAACAAGGAGGAAUUUCAUGAAGUGUCGAAUUUGGCACUUAUGACAAUUGGAGAUGAAUCGGAUGAUGAACUUGAUGAGGUAAGUGAUCCAACCUAUGAUGAAUUGUAUGAUGCUUUUAAAGAAUUGCAUGAUAAUUGGAUAAAAAUUGGUAAAAAGAAUGCAUGUUUUAAAAAGAAAAUGGUAGAGCUCACAAAUGAAAAUGAAUCUCUAUGUGCAAAGAUUACAUGCCUAGAAUUAGAGAAUAAAACAUUGCAUGAUAGAGUUGCAUUAUCAAAUGAGAAAUCUAGCACUUCACACAAGCAUCUAGAAUCACAUGUAAAUGACUUGAAAAAUGAAAAUGAUUCUUACAAAAAUGCAAUGGUUCAUUAAAUGAAAAGAUUAAAGGACUAGAGUUAGAUAAUAAAAUUUUGCAUGAUAGAAUUGCAUCAUUUAAAUGCAAACAAAGUACUUCAUAUGAGCAUGAAAAAUCACAUGUUGGUGAAUUGAUGAAAGAAAAUGAAGUGCUUAAGAAAAAGAGUAAUGAGCUCAACGAAAUUGUGUUAAAAUUCACAAAUGGUCAAAAGAACUUAGAAAAAUUACUAAGCACUCAAAAAUGUGUGUUUGAUAAAGGAGGACUUGGGUAUAAGCCUUACUUGAAACAAAAAUAUUAUAAGAAUUAUUUUUUUAAGGCUACCUCCACAAGUGAUCAUAAGAUUAUUUGUCAUUAUUGUAAUGGAAAUGGUCAUAUGAGUUUUAGAUGUCCAGUUAAGAGAAAUGCGUAUUAUGGAGCAAAAUGUAUUUGGGUUCCAAAAGAAAUUAAAUCUAACGUUCAAGGACCCAAGAGUAUUUGGGUACCAAAGCACACAACUUGAAUUUGUUUUGUAGGUACCACAAUCAAGGAAUGGUGGAGAAGUUCCUUGAUGGAAGCUUGUGAGGAUAAUCAUUUGAGCAUGAUCUAAGAAAAAAAGAUGAGGCAAGAUGAUUUAAUUAUUUUGGUAACAAUUCUUGCCAUAUUAAUUUUGUUGAAUGAAUCAUGAUAAAUAAAAUUGCGAAAGUAUGCUUGUAUGUUUACAUGAUGGAAUUAUCAUUGUGUGUAAUAUUGAGUGAUUUAUCAUGAUGGAUUUAUUUGAUGUUAAUGUUUAUGAAGUGUUUAAGCAUGAUAGUUAAGUGGUGUGUUUAAUUUAUUCACUUUUGAAUGUUUAUAUGUUUAAUUAUUGUGAAAAUCUCUAGUCUGCACAAGUUGUAAUGAAUUGGUCAUAACUCCUUCUAGAGAACUCCAAAUCCAGCUCUGUAAAAUUUAUUGGAAAGCUAACUUAAUUAUCUUUCCAACGGUAUAUUGCUUGCACAUUACUUUUUGCCUCAAAUUGGACUACCGGUUAGCAAAACCGGAAAGCCGGAUUCGCAAGGAACGCUUGCUGGACCAAACUGGAUUUCCGGUUCUGUCAAUUCGGAAUUCCGAAUUCGAGCUGCAUUUUGGCAAAUCGGCAAGCUGAUUCUCUCUUGCUAUCUUCUGGAUCCAACCGGCAAGCCGGUUCGUGUUAUCCGGAAAACCGGAUUUGCGUGAAACAUUUGCUGGAACCAACCGGAUUUCCGGUUAAGCUCAUUCGGCAAUCCGGUUUCGGGUGCUAUUCAACUAUUCAUCUUCUCCCUCUCUUUCGGCUUUCUGUUUCUCUCUUUCUCACUAAAAGCCGAUUACUCCUCACUUGAUUUGAUUCCAAAAUCCAUCAUUCUCAUUCGUUUUCAAUCCAAAUUGAUUCAUAUAAAUUAUUCUCAUCCAUUCUUGUGUCUAAAAUCAUCUCUAAAAUCGUUUUAAUUGAUUCAAACUUACACUUUUUACUCAAUAUCUUAAAAAAUUCGAAUUUGUGCAUUUUGAGUAUUUCAAAUUACCACUUCCAUAGUGUGCUCUCCUUAUGGAUUUUACCAUAGUUUUCUAUUAUAUUAUGCACCUACAUUUUCAUAUGCAUUGUUGCUUUCAUUGUGGAUUGAUGAUGAUUAUUAUUUGAUAUUUGGAUGCAAAUGUUUUAUUUUGAGCACAAAAGAUAAUCUUGGCAAAUUUGAUCCAAAAUUUGAUGUUGGUAUUUCUCUUGGCUAUUCAAACACAAGCAAAACUUAUAGAGUGUAUAUCAAAAGAACUUUGAUUGUGAAAGAAUUUAUACAUGUUAUAUUUGAUGAGUCUAAUUCUUCCUCUAUGGAGAAAGUUGUUGUUGAUGAUAAUGUAGAUGAAAAGCUACAAGAAGAUUAUCAAAUGAUAGCCAAAAGAAUGCACCACUUGAAAAUCAAAAGGAGCAACAUGAAGAAACAAAUGCGGAGUAAGAUGAAGGUACUUCUCAAGCACUCCCUAAAGAGUGAAGGUAUAUUUCUUCUCACCUUAAGAAUUUAAUUUUGAAGAUCCAUCACAAGGUGUAACUACUAGAUCAUCACUUAAAAAUAUAUGUGAGCAUUUGUAAUAAUGGAUUUGAUCACUUGUUCUUUAGCUCAUAAUGAUGGCUUUUUAGCUAUGUUGAUUUUGAUGAUCUAUAAUGGCAUAUGUUGAUUUUGAUUAUCUAUAUAUUGCUAUUAUAUACUUAUGCUUUGAUGACAAAGAAUGUGCUUUGAUGAUUCCAUUGUAGUUGAUGAAAUUUGAUCUUAUGGAAUCUAUGAUUGGUGAAUGGAUACAUUUUUUUGUAUGCCUUCUUGACGUAUUGUUAAAUAUCCAUUACUUGCUUUAAAUAAUAUCGAAAGGGGGAGAAAUACAUUAUCCUUGAGAUCUUGGCGCAUAUGAGAGUGUAAAUUAUAUUAAAAUGUCACAUUAGAUCUUUGAUGAGUUUAGUUGUCUUGAUUUCUAAAAUGUGAUUAGUAAUUAUAUGUUUUUUGAACUGUUGACAUUAUGCUCUUAUGACUUUUGCAUUCCCUUGCUUAGCUUAUUACUUGUUCUAUUUUGGAUAAUAUGCUUUUUGAACAUUUUUAUUGUCCAAAGGGGGAGACAAAGUAAUAAAUCAUUUUAAUGAUAUAAAUUGGGGGAAAUAAUAUGCAUUUUGAGCAUUCUUUUAAUGGUUGAUAUAUGAUUAUGGAAUCCUCGGAUUUAAUUGUUACAAGUGUUUGAGGAAUUCAUAUUGAUUUUGAUGAUUAAUGAUUAUAUGUGCAUUGCUUGAUGAAUGGAUGGAGUUGUUGAUUUAUUAUAAUUGUUUAAGCUUAUAUGGAAGUAUUUUUAACCAUGUUGUGUAUUUAAGGAUUUGUUCAUUUUUAAAGGGGAGACUUUGCCGAAAUUUUUUCUCGCACAAAAUGGGUAAUAUCUUUAUUGAAUUAUUUUUAAUGAUUUUGUUUCAAUUGCAUCUAUCUAUCUUUUCUUUUUUUAUGAUGAAAGGGGAGAUAAAUAUGAUAUUUUUUUUUGGAUAAAAUCAUUUUGGUUAAAUUUUUAAUUGGCUAUAUAUUUAGGGGGAGCAUAUAAUAUGUUUUUGAAUAAUAUGCAUUUUGAGUAAUUGUUUUGAUAAUUGAUAUUUGAUUCUUUUGAUGAUUUUGAUGAUAUGUGAUUAUGGUGAGGACUUGAUGAUUUUGAGAUAUGAUGAUAAUUUGUGAGUAAUAUCACUAAUCUUGUAUUUGAGGUGGUGCUUGUUGUUAGGGGGAGAUUUUGUUGAAAUUUCUAUUCGGACAACAUUGGUAACAAAUUUGCUACUCUUAUUCUUUUCCUUUACGUUUUUUUUUAUGAUGAAGGGGGAGAAGAAUAAAUGUUUUCAAAUUUAUAAAAAUUUGCUAUUUUUUUUGCCAAUUGAGUUUUUUCUUUUUGAUGAUGAGGGGGAGAAAAAUCCAUGUAUUUAAAUAUGUUAAUUUAGAUAAUUGGCAAAUUGUAAAAGAAGAUUAUAUUUAGGGAGAGCAAUUUGUGUAAUCAUUCUUUAAAUACAUGAAAUGUUUGUCAUCAUCAAAAAGGGGGAGAUUGUUAACAUAUAUGUUUCCAUGAUAUUGAUUUUGAUGAUAACAAACAAGAUUAAGAAUGAUUAAUCUUUUAAGCCCAAAUUAUUUAAUAUUCUUUUUAAAUAAAAUCAUUAUUUUUACAUUAUAAAGGUUUUAUAUUUAAUGAAAAAAUGAUUUUAUGAAAUUGAUUGUUUUUAUUCUUUUUAAAUAAAUCAUUAUUUUUACAUUAUAAAUGUUUCAUAUUUAAUAGAAAAAUGAUUUUAUGAAAUUGGUUGUUUUUCAAAGUUUAUGGUUUCAUUGAAAGAAUUUUGAAAACUUUGAAAUAAACAAGUAUUGCUUGAAAUUUUGGUAAAGGACUUAUUUGAAAGUGUCAUAGUAUUUUUGGCUAUAUCAUAAUUUCAGAAAGUUUUGGGAUUAACAAAGAAUUAUUUAGAAAUUCUGAAAUUGGACUUAUUUAUAACGUUUCAUAACGUUUUGGGCCAUACUAUAAUUUUAUAAAGUUUUGGGGUCAAACGGUAAAUUUUGGGAAAUAUUUUACUGUAGCAGUUACUGUAGCAAGCAGCUUACCGGAUGCUGAUAAACGGCAAGCCGGAUACGGGGCAGUAAGCACCAGAACGAAAGCGGCUUACCGGAUAUGGUUAAACGGCAAGCCGGUUACGACAAAAAAUGUGCAUAACGGCUAGUAACAGCUAGUUUUUGAGUUCAAACUAUAUAAACUCAAAACCAAUUCAUUUUUGGCAACUCAAGCAAGCAUAAACAAGUGCACACAACAUAUAUUGAGCUUCCAUUUCGUAAAUCAUCAUUUGUUGAAUCAUCAUUGAGCUAGAAUUUGUAUAUCCACUCUUAAAGAGAGAUUCAUUGUUGUAUUUAUCAUUUCUCAUCAAAUUGUGAGAGUACAAGUGUGAGAGACACUUGGGGUGAAGAGAUUGGAGAGAUAAUCUCUUGUUGUAAAGGUUCAUUGACACCUUGAAGUCAACUGUAAUCGUUUGAAGCCUUGGAAAGGCUUGGAUAGUGAAAUCCUCAAGCCCGGUGUGCUUGGAGGCGUGGACGUAGGCGGGGAUUGCCGAACCACGUAAAAAUCCUUGAGUUAGCUUUCUCUUCCCUUACUCAUUUAUUAUUGUACUUUUAUUGAAUUUAUUGUUUUCGAAUUUAUUAAGGCAUUAGAUUGAAUUGUUGUGUGGUUUGCCUAGAAUAAUUUUAAAAACCCAAUUCCCCCCCCCUCUUGGGUUGCCUAGCUAGUAUUUCAAAUCCAACCACCCAUUUAGAAAAUUAAUUCUACACACAAUUAAAAUCCACCUCCUCGUGGGAUCGACACUCGUCACCAUUGAUCUAUAUUACAAUAGAUUCGUGCACUUGCGAGUUCAAUAAAAUUUGCACAACAAUUCUCAUAUAUUGCCUUCUUCUUUUUCAAGAUGGCUUACUUGGCUAAAAUAUUUUCUUUUCUACUUAAUGAAGAGAUUAUAUUUUCUAUUGUGACUUGGUGAAGCCAUAUUUUUUUUUUCUUUACUUAUCCGUUCAAGUUGUUUAUAGAAAACUUUCAUCCCAAUUGCCCAUUUGUUGGUAAGAGCUUUAGGCUCAAAUAAUUCAAGAUUAUAGUCAUUAUAGAUUUGAGUUAAAUCAAUGGUUUGAUUAACCUUUUGCUGCUGAUUCUAACUUGUAUCAUAUGUUAUGCCAAGUACCAUUUAUUAUUACAGUACUUAGGACAAUCAAUAAGGAAUUUGACGAAAAUGAUUUCUUAUGUCUUGUUUACUCUUUUGAGGUUGAUAACAACUUCUUUAAUAUUUUCUAGAAGCAGAUAUAACUUUCUACAAUUUUCACUAACAUAAAUAAGGUUAAUAAAAGCAUGUUCAAACAUGUCGUUUAUUAUUUCUGGAUCAGCUCCUGGAACGAAGUUAAUUCUUGGGUAUAACCCUGAAUGAUCUAGUAUUAUAACUUGGCUAGGACAAAUCCCAUGGGCUAACCUACCAACUCUUUUAUGUUCAAAGUGUGGUCACUUUUUAAUGGAAUUUAAUAAUUGAAUUGGACUAUUUGCUUUUGUUAUAUUGAGACCUUAAGCUAAAUGAAGAGUCUUGGCAUCUUUCUUCCUUCAUGUAUUGAUCGUUGAGAUCAUUAAUUAUAGAAACCUUCUCUGGAUUGUGGCUUUUGAAUUCUGAGAUGAAUUUUGCAUAAUCUACCCUACAUUAAGUCCUUGAAAUUGAUCAUUUUUAAUAUAUUGCUCAUGUUUUGUUCUGAAGGUUGAACUUUUGGAUGACUUUUCAAACUUUUGUCUGGACAUAGUUUACUUAAUUCUUCUUGGGCGUCAUCAAUCAUGGCAAGUCCAUCAUGAGUUAUUUCAUUGCCUUUAAGUAGCAAUGCUUGACCUUUAGAACACAUUGUUAUGUCGUUUAUUAUUUUGUAAAGACUCUUCUCCAUUGUAUUCUCGACUAAGGAAUUUGUAAUGCAAUUGUUAAAUCCUUUAAUAUAUUCGAUCUCAAAUCAUAUUCUGCAAAAAAUCGUUACCAUCUAAUUAAUCUCUUAUACUGAGAUAAAUUAGGCAAUUUAUUAAAUAUAAAUCCUUUGACCUCAAUGUUAUCAGAUCUUACCUUAAAAUUUCUUUGGUAACAAAAAGAAAGUAAAUGUAAAUAUUUCAUUUUUAAUAGCCAAUAAUUAUUUUUCAUUGCUAUGAUAAUUCUUUUCUACAAAUUUAAAAGUUCUACUUGUACAUUCACAAAUAUUUUCUUGAUCUGUUUUUAGAACUGCACCUUAGUGAUUUUCCGAAGCAUUAGUUUCAAGAAUUAAAUUAUCAUUAGUGGUAGGAAAUCCUAAUCUUGGUAGAUUUUUAUAUUUUUCUAUUAGUUUCUUUACCAUCUUGGUAUGGAGAUCUUCCCAAGACUUUCUAUUAUUCUUUUUUAAUAAUCCUUGUAAGGGUUGUAUUUCUUUUGCUAAGUUUUCAAUGAAACCUUUAAUGUAAUUAAGACAUCCUAAAAAUAUUUGAAUCUGUUACUUUAGAUUCUAACUUAUUUAGAAAUAAAUAUAUUUUUUUAGAAGUAUGAGGUUGCAUCUUUAUUCCCAUUUCAUCUAUUAUCAACCCUAGAAACUUUAUUCUAGGUUUCAUUAUCUCGCCACUUAGCAAGGUCAGGGCAACUUGAAUUCCCACAAAAGUAUUGUAGGGGUAAUUCCUUCCUCAAUUAUAUUGUAUAAUUGAGUGGAGAUGGUCGUCUCCUUUACUAAAUAUGAGAUCUCCUUUAUGAAAUAUGAGAGGAGUAGAUAUCAUUCGAAUAUUAAUGAGGGUAAAAAUAUUGGCAAUACUUCUUAAGAUUUAAUGUAAACCAAUCUAGUAAUCGUCUGAUUGUAAAUAUCAAUAAUACUCUCAUGUAAUAUAAGUUGUAUUCUUAAAAAUAAUCUCAUGUACUUAAAAAAAGGGUUUCAUUAUCUCAGCUUUCUUUCUAGAAAGUAGUAUUCCAUGUUUCUUGAACUUUUCUGUAAAAGAAACUAGACGAUUAAUAUGACCAGCUUCAUUAUUUGAAAAUAUUAAUAUAUAAUCCAUAUAAACAAUGCAAAAUUCAUGAAAUUCUUAGACAACUUUAUCCAUUCUUCUUUGAAAUAUUUGCGGUGCAUUUUUCAAUCCAAUCUAUUCAUACUACCCUUGAGGUAUAAUAAAGACUAUAAGUGAUAUACAUUCUUCUUCAAGUUUGAUUUGACAAAAACCUGAUUUGCAAUCAAAGUUGCUAUAUAUCUUUUUAUUAAGAGUGGGACCAGUGGCACCCUUAUAAAUAUCUAUUGACACCCAUUUUCUUAAUUACCCCAUUAAAAUAUUUUAAAAAUUUAUUAAAAUUCUUUUAACACAUUUAUCAAUGAAAAAAAUACUCUUAAUUAAAACUUAUGAGUGUAAACCCCAAUCUCUAAUUUUAUUUACUUAUAUUAUUAAACCCCAUUUGAACAUAAGGGAUUCUUCCAUUCAAAAAAAAAAAAAACAACGGGUUUUCAUUUUGUCCAUUGCAGCCACUGGUGGUAAACUUGUCACUCUGAAAAUUUGAGAAAACGUAAGUUUUUUAAUUUAUAAAAUGUUAGAUUUUUUGAAGGAAAAAAUUUGUUGACUUUUGAGUGGGGGUUUUAAUUUGAAAUUGUCCUAUUAUGUAAUUUCAAUAAAGGUUAAAAUUGUAAAAUAAUUAAAGGAAUUUUAAUAGGUAUUUGGAGGGGUGCCAAUAGUCUCACUCUUUUAUUAAUUAUAGCAGUAAAUAAUGUAUCUUUAUGAGGUAAAAAGUACCCAUCGAAUUUGGUAUACUUAUUUAAUUCUUUAUAAUUAAAAAUCAUACGAGCUUUUCCUCCUUUAAUUUCUGCAUGAUUCCUAGCCAUAAAGGUUAGGCUACUAUGUGAACUCUUAGGUUCUUGAAUAAUCUUGAGUUCCAAUAACCCUUUAGUUUGUUUAUCAAUCUCUAAUAUAUCUUCUUGCUCAUAUCUUAUAGGCUCAACUCUUAUGAUAACAUUUGAAUUUUUUUAUUCAAUUUUGGCAUAAGUUUUAUCAAAUUCCCAUGAACUAGGUUUUCACCUAAAUUUUUAUCUAACUUUUCUAAAAAAUUUUCGUAAUCAGAUAUGAUUUAAUUAAUUUUUCAAUUGAAAUCACCAUGUUGGUUGCUUUAAAGAUAAAAAUUUUUAGUUGUUCACCUAUCAUGGUUACAAAUCGUAGGUGCAAUAAGGGAAUGGUUAUAUGGCGUUUUAAGAGGAAUUGUUUUGUUCGUUAUUAUAUAAAUGAACUGAAGAAUGAAAUUAACUCCUAAAUUAUAUUUGCACCCAUAUGAUCGUAUGACCACAGCAUUGUUGUACUUAGAAUAUAGUUCUCAACUUGUAUCAAAGUUUUAAUUCUACAUGUUGCUAAGGUGAUUUGUUCACCAUUUAUUCCUUGUCCUAUUAAGGGCUUAAAAUAUUUACAAUAAGAUUUUGGAUAAAUCUUAGGACUAGCUAAACUAAUUCCUAAACCAGUAUCAGUUAAAGCAUGGAACUAUUCUGGCUUAUGGUUAUAAUAUGGUAUGAUCACUUUUAUAUAUAUUAUAAAAGGAUUAAACAUAUCUUGAUAUGGUUUGUUUGAUUCCAUCAAUUGUUAUAGAUAUUUCUCUAUCUCCUAUGCGAUAAGGGAGAAAUUUUACAAAAAUUUCAUUCCUUAUAACGAAAGACUUAUUACUGUUUCAUAUUUAGGUUCAAUGAAAAAAAAGAAAGAUAAACUCUAUUCCUUUUAAUCCUUAAUGGUAUUUAUAAUUCUGACUUAGCAUAUUUCUUUCUCCAUUAUAUCCUACAUAUAUAUGAAUGUGGUUAUAUUAGAAUUUUUCUUUUUAAGUAUUUAAUCAUUUUGGCAUCAACAUAGGAUUUUGCAGCUCCUAUGUCUUGGAUAGCAAAAGUCUCAUGCCAUAACUUCCUAUUGUUAUAAUCAAUCUUGAUUUUUAAAUUUUGAUUAUUUCUUUUAAUUGCUGCCUAUAUUUUAUUUGAUGGUGGUAUUAUUUGUGGGUAUAUCUAGUAAAAUUUUGUGUUCCAUGUAAUUCUAGUUCUUUUUUAGGUACAGAAAAUAAUCUCCUAUUUCCUACAAUGAUUUUUCCCUCUAGAGUAUAUUAUAUAGUUUUAGUAGUACUCCCCCUAGUCAAAGUAGGUUGACUGCUCAAAUCCAUUUUCCAUUCUUCUGGUAAAUUUAUUUCUCUCAAAAUCUUGAAAGACUGUGUUUUUCAAAAGUUAUCAAAAAGGUCAUCUAUUUCUAUAAAUUCUUUAUCGGCAAAUAUUUCAUUAUUAAUUGAAUUUGUCAAUGCAUAUUCUAUCGCAUAUGUUAUGCUAUAUGGAUAAGAUCCAUCAUGCAUUAUAUCAAAGUAUUUAAAAUCGUGACUUAAAGUUAAAGUCUUGUUUAUAUUUUUGUCUCUAACACUUAUAGAAUAUUUGGGGUAUAUCUUAAAUGUUAAUUUUUUAUAACUAAUAUUUCCUUGUAUUAUUCCGAGGAGUGCAUAUUUUCUGUCUUUUAAUCUAUUAUCUAGUAUAGCGCAAUUUACUAGGCUAUCUAUUCCUUCUAAAAAAAAUGAGCUUUUAUCAUAAUUUGAAUUCCUUCUAUAUGAAUAUAUCCAAUCUUAGCUAUAUUACUAGAUCUUAUUCUAUUGAUUUAUCUUCUAUAUCUGAUUUUAGCAGUCAGAGUAUAUUUGUAAUUCUUCUAGCAUGACUUAUUUCAAUUGGUUCUUCUCUUAUAGUGGUACUGAAAUACAAUAUAUUUUUUCUCUUGAUCAUGUUAGCAAUUACUUAUGCUAAUUUAUUGAAUAAUGUCAUAGAUGUUUAUAAUCUCUUUUUAUUAAUCUUAAUGUUAAGUCUAUUAUUUAUAGAGUUGGCAUCUUAUGGCAAGUUUAGUUAAAUUGGACUUUUAUUUAUUGCAUAUCUUGGGAUAGGGAUUAAUCUAUUAAUUCCCUAAUUUAGUGAGAUUCUAAUUUAUUAGGAGUAUUUGUUUCCUAAUUUAAUUAGAUGUCUAAUUUAGCAAGUCAAUUAAUGAUGAGAUUCAAUAAUUGGUGCAUGUGAUCUAUUUAGAGCAAAAAGUUGGUUCAAACAGGAAGUUCAUUAAAUGCUCUAGAUAUUUCUUGGGAGACAAGUAAGGCGAGAAAAUUAGAUUUAUUCCUAUUCAGAUUCAUAGGAAUUAUAAGAGGAAAGAAAUUCUUAUUUGGAAAGAAUUCAAGUCUUUUAAGACUUAUUAUUUUUGUGAAACCCUAGUGCCUAUAUAAAGAGAGGUAUUUUACAAUUGAAGGCACACAACACAGAGCAUAAAUCAGAGAAGAAAAAUUUGGUCUUUUCCCUAGAGAAUCCGAAUUUGGCACACGAUGUUGUGCUGAUUUGUUUUCUUAUCUUCUUUUCAUCUUUUGUGGAGAGUUUAUGUGGAUCUUGGAUCACUAGACAUUGAAGAAUUGAAGAAUUGCUAUUGAUCACUUUGCGAAGUGCCUUGAUGAUCAUGGAUCAAGAGGGGUAGUAAUUAUUCAAGAGAAGCUGAUUUAGUCUAAGGUUGUGUAAAUUAUAUAGUGAUAAACUGUAAGUGAGAAUCUUAAGUUUGGUAAAUCCAUAGGUUGUAAUAUCUCAACUUAGUGAAUUGCUUUUCAUCUGGGUGUGACCUUGCGGAUGUAGGAUUGACUAAUCCCAACCACGUAAAAAUCUCCGUGUCAUUUAUUUUUUGCAAUUCAUUAUGUUUUUGGAAAAGUAAUAUUUUUUAUGCGGAUGAACAAUAAUCAUGAACAGUAACGGUGACUAGUAUUUCGAAAAUUAAUUAAGUUGCUAAUUUUAGGUUUCUGAUUGCCUACAUCUAUUUGCAAUAGAUCUAAAUUCCUUUCACUUAAGGUAUUGCUUUUUGUCAAAGACUAAUUCUCUAUUAAAAACCUCAUUCUUCUAAUUCUUUAUCGUAAUAUAUAUUUUUAUUAUCUGUAUACUCUAUACUCAUUUUGAAUCUGAGUUACUUAGAGUCUCAUUAGAUAGAGAAUAUAUGCUAUCAUUUCCACUAAUAUCUUCAUAGUCAAUGAUUAAUUCUAUUUCAUUAAAAUCUCCAAACGUUUUAAUGUUUGCUUUCUUUUUCUUUGGACAUUCGUUUGCAUAAUGCCCUUCUUCAUUACAUAACCAACAUUUACACUUUUUGAGUGUGUUUGUUUAAGAUUUUCCUUUGCAUUUAUUUUUCUUGAAAAUUUUUCUUUUAUAUUUAAUUUUUCUAAUAUUUUUUAUUGGUUUUAAAGAAUUUCUUCUUUUUGAACUUUUCCUAUGUUUAUAGGUUUUACUUGAACAUCCAAAUCUUGGAGGUUCUUCUAAUUUAGAACAACAUACUCCUCGAUUUUCCUUUUUCAUUAAUCUUUUAUCUUUUAUUUCAGUACACCACAAAUUUAUCCUAUUUCAUGCAAACCUAAUUCUAUAUCCAAGUGUACCAAUGUCUAUAUUAUAUCUUUAUUUUCUUGUUUCAGUCCCAUGUGCCAUUGUGCAACUAUUUUUAUAAGCAAAGUUUUAAAAAUUCUAUAUUGUUUUGUCUAUCUAGAUUGCGAAAUACAAGAGCAAUUUUCAUAGAUUUAACCUAAGGGAUUAAUAUUAUUUUAUCUGUAUCCUUAAAGCAAUCUAAAUCCAACCAUAUGCCAUCAUGGCUGAUUGGUGUUUCUCUUACUCUCCUGGAGUUUUAAAUUCCUUUUUAGGUUUGUUAGACCUAUAAUAUUGACUCUAUGGUCCUUCAUAAGUUGAUAUCUCUUCUCUAGCAUAAGGUGAUGUAUUGCUAGAUUCACCUUGUUCAUAAAUUAUGGGCUUUGCCUCAUUCAUCUUUAGAUGUUCUAUUCUAUUUUUGAUAUCUUGUAAAUUAAUGAAUACAUCUUCAUUUUCAUCUGUUUUAGAUUCUUCAUCUCUAUCCGAUAGCUCUUUUAAUCCAUUGUUUGGAUUUUCACUUAUCACUUUUAAGCUUAUUAAUUUUUUGUUUCCUUCAUUUUUUUUUAAUAUUGGUCUUGAUAUAGACUGGAUUUCAUUAUUUUUCUUUUCAUUAAACUAUUGUAUCAUGUAGGAUUUUAUUUUGAUCUUGAAUUAUAAUGAAUAAUCCUUCAUAUUAUUUUUUAUUUUCUGUACUUUAAUUUUCUUGAAGUUUUCCACGUAUGUUUAUAGCAAACUUAUUUACUAGUUGCUCAAAACAUGACUCUAUUGUUACUUUUUUUUUCUAAUUUAAAUCUUUGGAUCUCAUCUCUUAUUUUUCUUAUUGCAUCUAGAAGUUUUGGGGUUGAUAUUUCGAAUUGUAAUGAGAAAUUAUGAUGUGUUGUUGAUGUAUGUUAAUUGAAUUUUAAAUAACUUUAUAAAUUAAUAAAUUAUUAACUUAUCGAUUAUUUAAUUUCUCUUUAAAUUAAUAUAUAUUAUAUGAUCCCAGCGCUAUUAAUUUAUAGAUAUUCUAAUUUCCAUAUUUUUUUAAGGUAAUCUCAAGUAAAAAAAAGUAAUAAUAUUGAUAAUAAAAAUAACAAUAAAUCAAAACGCAAACAUCACACACCUGAUGGUGGUGAUCACCUCGAGAAUCCAAAUUGCACAAGAGCUACUUGGAACAUAUUAGAACAAGAAAGUUUUUGGUGAAAAUUAUCACUUAUAAAUUAGGAAUUUUUAUGUUUUAUCACUAAUAAUCAAUAACAAAUUUUGCGGAAGCGUAUUCAUAACGUUGAAUUGCUCUAUAGAGUUGUGUGGUUGGUCUUCUAGAUCAACACGUUCUCCUAGAUAAUCCUUUAAUUUUUCCUACUCUCUCUCUCUCUCUCUCCAGACCAUAACCACUUAUAUAAAUAACUUUUUCCUGUUGUCAUUAGAUAUUCUUAAUUUUACCCAUCAUAGAAUUAUAAUACCAUUAGCUCUCUGCACAUUAAAGGUCCACAUCCUAUCAGAUACAAUAAAAUUCAAAUUAUUGAAAACCUUAAUGGAUCACUUUUAAUUUGGCUUAACUUUAUAUGACAGUCCAUAACAUAUAAUUAUUCACAUAUAAUACCAACAUUGUAUUAAGGAUCCAACAAUCUCCCACUUGGGCUAUAUGCAUAACCUUAUAAUUAUACUUUGUAAAAAUUAACCUAUGAGCUCAACCUUACUAUCAUUAUCGAAAUGUAUCUAUUACCAAUCUGGUCCAUCAAUCAUAUCAACAUAGAAUCAAAGCGGCCUUCAUUACAACUAUCGUAACUCAACCCAUCAAUAGUCAUUAUGCCAAUGCAACUUAAUAACAUGGAUCAUAAUGUGGACAUGUAGCAUGAAAAUUUCAUGCAAUGUGAUAUUAACAUGCUUAUUUCUAACUAGUCCACAUUAAACCUUAGUGAGAUCAAACCAUACUAAAAUCAGAGUGUGAAUAAACCAAAAAUUUAUUUAUGUAGAAAAUAACCCAAAAUAUCCAUAAAUUGAAAUAACUGAAAAAUGUCUAAAUUAUAAGAGCAUCUAAAGUCACAAAAUCCCACUAAAACUAAAUAUCCUUUAAUGACGAGAUGCCCAUAUGAGUAGUGUGCUCAUCAAACAUCUUGGGUGGCAAUCCCUUCGUAAGUGGAUCUACAAUCAUGGAGUCUGUGCUGAUGCGCUCUAUAGAUAAUUGUCCAUUCUGAUCCUUUUCUUUAACAACUAGUAACUUGAUGUCUAUGUACUUUGACUUCGUUGAGCUCCUAUUGUUAUUGGAAUACAAAACUGCUGACUUAUUAUCACAAAAUAAUUUGAGUGGUCUAUCAACACUAUCUACAAUACGUUGUCCCGUGACAAAGUUCUGUAGCCAUAUUUCAUAAUUGGAUGCCUCGUAAUAUUUUAUGAACUCUGCUGCCAUCGUAUAAGAGGCAAUAAGAAACUGUUUAACACUCUUCCAGGAGAUAGUACCCCCAAAUAGUAGAUAGAUGUAACCCGAAGUGGAUUUCAUACUAUAUUGGCAUCCAACAAAAUCAUAGUCAAUAUACUCAAUGAUCUCAACCUGAUUUGACCUUCGAUAUGUGACCAUGUAGUCUUUUGCUCUUUGUGAGUACUGCAAGACUCGGUUGUUGCCUCUCAGAUAAUGCUGAAAUCUUAUUUUCUUGGAACAUUUUUGUAAAAUGAUUGUCAAUGCUUCUCAAGAUAAUGCUAGCAGCAUAAAAGUCUUCAUUUUGUUUUUAAUUUAUUAAAUCUCUCAUUUUCUACUCAAAGCCUUUACUUUUAAACUCUUCUAUUCAAUAUUCUUCCAUACGAUGCAGGCAUUUUGACUGUAAGAAGUUUUUCUUUUAUGCAAGUAUUUUUGGGACUUUUUAUCCCAAAAAUGAAAAUUGGCGAAGGACCUAGUGCUGGAUACAACGUUAAUGUCUCAUGGGAGAAUGUGAUGUGUGAAAAUGGGGACUAUCUUAUAGUUUGGGAUCAUACUUUACUUUCUAUUACCAUGGAAAUUGAUCCUAAUAUAAUUUCAGUAUCUGCUAGAUUUGAUGCAGGUUCAGUGGUUUAUUUCUAAUUGUGAGGCUCUAUUAGGAUGCCUUACUGUUUCCAUUCCAAAUUUUAAAAUGUAUAUUAAUAAAGUGCCAUCAUAGAAAUCUAAUCUUGGCGGCAAUUUCAAUGGUCAAUGUAUAUUUCAUAAAGAACUAUUAUGCAUGAUAUUUUGACUACCAAUCCAAGAUUCUUACUGCUCAAGAUUCUCAAUCCAAUUCGAAAAGUAAAUGCUACCUUAAGUAUCUUACUCAUUAAAUAAAAUUUUACAAUUAUUGUUUUUGUGUAUAUUUAACAGAGUCGGCGUAGUAGAAACGAAAUUGAUAGGGUAGGAAAUACUAAAUAUCAUUCUAGUACCCGAUUUAGCCCAAACAAUUAGUUUAUGCUUUAACUGAAUCAUGACUAGAUCUCGUUCUAAUCCAAACGAUUCAAUGAGAUUUUAAUAAUGCACAAAGCGAGAUCAGAUGACCCUCUAAUCUAAACUACUCUGCAAGAGAAAUUUUGAUCCCUAAUCCCCUUGAGAAUUAUAAAAGAGGGGUUUUAUUGAAUAAUUGAAUCUAAAGUUACGAUAAUAAGACAUCUAUUUAUAAUAAAGUAAAUCUACUUCCUUAAGUUAACUGAAAAGGGAAACUAAAUAACAAUUAUUAUGGAAAUCAAAGAUUAAGACACGUACCAUAAUUUACUCUAACUAAAAUAGAAAAUCCUAUAAUAAUAAAAGUCUAUAAUCCUAAAAUAAUGUCCUACAUCAUUCUCUACCUCUUAAAAGAAACUCGUCCUCGAGUUUGAAUACAAUUUGGAGGGUGAAACUUGUAAUGCAAGACCAAAUCAUCUUGUAAUUCGAACUUUUAGUCUUUCUCAUCAAUCUUUCUCGAAAUUUUGAGGAAUCCAUAAUUCCUUGGCUUAUACAUUCUUGUAGAUGAUGAAGACUUCUAACAAUGAACAACGAUCAAAUAACUCUUACCUUUCCCUAAUCGUCGCUCAAUGCGCUCUUAAACAAAUUUCACUUUUUCAAUCAAAUCUUCUUCAAGCACAACCUUCUUCUCUUCAAUGUGAAUAGGCAGGACCAUUUCAAUCAUUUCACCUUCUUCAACUUGAUUUUGCUGCACUACCUCAAACGUACUAUUAGACUUAAUGAGGAAAUCAAGAAUACUUUGUUUUUCUUUAAAAAUCUAAGAUAAAUCAAUAACCUCAUCGUCUUUAAUGCUUGUCUUGUCCUCCAAGGAACCUCAUGCAUAUUCUCAUAGAUUGUCAAAGCAACAUCCUACAUCAACAUUGAAGAUUCAAUAAAGCAUUUGAUGAAAGUACUAGCUCACUAGAUAGAUACUUAGAAAGUGUGGUAUACUCCAUCUAACUCUUUUUGUUUGUCUUGGGAAGUUUAGCUAAUUUUAUGAUAGUGUACUCAUGAAUAACAAUUGAAGUUGAAAAAAAAAUGAUUGUUGGCCAAAUUCGGUUAAUGUGGAAAGCAAAUUUUAUCUAGCUAAUAAUUACAAUGCAAAGAACUCAAAUUAUUGUUCGCUUCAGAAGAUUGUCGAUAUCCUUUGAAAUCAUUUUGCUAGCUUCUUUUGGUUAACAAUGAAAAGUUGCUUAAAACAAAUGUGACCUUGAAAUGUCUCCUUCGUUAUUGUACAUUUCUGAGCUUUGACAGCAAUGUUUUAUUAUGUCAUGUAAUAAGGAAUAUAUUUAUUUAUUUAACAUUAGUUCAAGCAUUUUUUUUUAAAUUCUGGUUCUCAAUAUAUCUAAUAUUAUCAAAAUCGACAGCGGUUGGAAAAUUCAUGCUUGAGCAGGUUUUAAACCUUGUUGCUUAUGAUUGAAAAUAAUAAAAUCCAGAAAAGUUCUCAUGGCCCUUUUAUUAAUUGACAUACAUUGGGAUUUUACUUAGCAAGAUAUUAAAUUCAGCUUUUUUAGUAUGCUUGCAAGAAUUUUUUUUUUCUUCUCCAUAGAUUUUCCUUAUUGUAAACUUACCAUGAGUUGCUUUCUUUGUAUCGAAUAGAGUAAUGUUGCAAUUUUAGAGUGAAAUGGCAAGUGCCUUGUUGAAACCAAAUCAAUCACCAAGAUCAACUUGGAACCCCCAAGACCCACUAUAUGAAACUUGAUCUUGCUCUGGAACUAACACUAAAUUGAGCUUUAACAGGAAUUACGUUUGGUAACUGAAAUCAAACACACAAUUAAAGAAAAAUAGAUCACACACUUGCACCAAGGAUUAUAGUGGUUCGGCCAAUUUCUGGCCUACAUCCACUGUGAAAAGAGAAACAAGUUUUUACUGACUUCCAAAGAACAAGCUACAAAUAUGAAGAGUACAUGCAACUCAAUCAAUACUCUUAGUAACAGAUCCUAGGACCUUUUAUACUCCACUCAGAACAAUAUGAAAGAACCCCAAGAAGUCAGCUCACGCUCUUGGGUUUCCAGCCAAGAAGAUCUCCAGCUGCCUCCCGCGUAAUCUAACCGAAAAAACCACUGCUUGAAUUUGUUCUGGGACACUUUUCAAUUGGUCACGCAAUCUACUAACUAAAACACAUAUGUGGCUGCUAUUUAAAUUAGUGGAACAUGUGACGCAUCACGUGCAUUACUAACGCAUCCAGCCGACAUAACGUUUAUAUCAUUCAGCUGCUCUGAACUCCAAUGCUCGACAUGUCGUUAUUCUUCCUGACAAACAAGCGACGUGUCAUACAUAUCCCUAAGUUCAUAUUUGAGCUUCAUAACUCCAACAUUCUCCACCUUGAACUCAAAUCAGUUACUCCUAAGCUUCAGCCUUCUACUUCAUCCUUGCAGUUUUAUAGCCUGCAGAUUCCAGCUGAGUUCAUGCAGAACUCCAGCUUGGCUGCUGGUACAACCUUUGUCAACAUAUCAGUAAUGUUAUCAUCAGUAUGUAUCUUUAACAGCUUCACCACACCUCUGGACACCUCCAACCUGACAAAGUGCAGUUUAAUGUCAAUGUGCUUUGUUUUUUUAUGAUGCACCUGGUUCUUGCUUAGGCAAAUUGCACUUUGACUGUCACAAUGAACAAUCACCUGUUUUUGUUCAUUUCCCAAUUCUGUAACCAUUCCUCUGAGCUAUAUUACCUCUUUAAAGGCUUCUGUAGCUGCAGUAUACUCAGCUUCUGUUGUUGACAGAGCAACAACACUUUGUAGUGAAGCUUUCUAAUUUAUGGUACAUUUACUGAGUGUAAAUAGAUAGCCUGUCAGAGAUCAUCUUUUAUCUAGAUCCCCUGUAUAGUCAGCAUCGGCAUAGCCUUUAACAUCAACUUUUGUACCUCUUUUGGCUCUAUAGAUGAGGCCAUAAUCAGUAGUCCCACUGAGAUAUCUUAAGAUCCAUUUUACAGCCCUCCAGUGCUUCUUUCCAGGAUUAGCCAUAUACAUGGAAACUACACUUACUGCAUAGGAGAUAUCUGGCCUUGUUAGGACCAUGGCAUACAUUAGGCACCCCACAACACUUGAAUAUGGAAUUGUGCUCAUUUCAGCUUUUUCAUCUUCAGUUCUUGGACAUUGGUUACAAGACAACCUAAAAUGAGCUGACAGUGGAGUUUGAAUUAGUUUUGAGUUCACCAUUUCAAAUCUCUCAAGUACUUCUUGAUAUAACAAUGUUGUGACAACUUUAGUAUCCAUUUCUUACUAUCUCUUAGUAACUCUACUCCAAGAAUCUUCUUGGCAGCUCCAAGAUCCUUCAUCUCAAAUGCAUUCUUUAACUGCUUCUUUAGCUCAUCUAUCUGAUCCAUAUGUUUACAUGCUAUAAGCAUGUCAUCAACAUAUAGCAACAAAUAGAUCUUACUACCAUCUCUCAAAUCUUUAUAGUAUACACAACAAUCAUAAGAUCACCUUUGAAAACUGUUCUCAGCCAUGAACUUAUCAAAUCUCAAGUACCAUUGUCUCGGGGAUUGCUUUAAUCCAUAUAGAGACUUCUUCAAAAGACACACAUAAUCAGCUUUAUAUGGAUUCUCAUAACCUCUUGGUUGUGCCAUUACAAUAAUUUCUUCCAAUUCACCAUGAAGAAAUGCAGUCUUGACAUCCAUCUGUUCUAGGUGCAUGUCAUUCACUGCAACAAGUGUUAAUAGGAUCCUCAAGGAAGAGUGUCUCACCACUGGGGAAAAAACCUCAUUGAAAUCAAUCACUUCCUUUUGUGUGAAGCCUUUGGCAACCAGCCUGGCUUUGAAUCUAAGUGGUUCAACUCUUGGUAUACCCUCUUUGAUCUUAUAGAUCCACUUGUAGCCAACUACUUUCUUCUUUGCUGGUUUUGGAAUCAGAUCCCAGGUGUGGUUCUUGAUCAAUGAUCUUAUUUCUUCAUCCAUAGCUGCAAUCCACUUCUUUGAGUCCUUACUACUGACAGCUUCAGUGUAAGUUUUUGGUUCAUCCACUUCUAUUCCCUGUGCUGCUGAUAGUGCAAAUACAAUCAAGUCUGCAUAUGCAUACCUCUUAGGUGGCUUUGAUUCUCUUUUCUUUCUAUCUCUUACCAGCUGAUAAUCUCUGAGGUCAUCAUCACCUUCUGAUUCUUCUUCUUGUUCAGAAAAAUCUCUUCUAGGUGCAUUUUCAGGCCUUGUUAUUGUAUCAGCUUCUGUGCUUGAGCUUAAAAGCUCCACCUCAAAGGAAGUCUUCUUGUCACACCCUGAAUCUCUUUCAAUGGUUUGCUUCACAGUAGCUGAGUUUUGAAAUAUUUCAUGUUCAUUAAACACCACAUCUUUACUGAUUAUUGUCCUUGGUGCCUUCAUAUAUGUACACCACAGCUUGUAUCCCUUCACACCAGCAGGAUAUCUUACGAACACACAUUUAAAGGCCCUAGGCUCUAACUUCCCUUAUUUAACAUAAGCAUAGGCUGGGCAGCCAAAUAUUCUCAGAUGAGAAUAGUCUGCUAGUUUGCCAGCCCAUAGCUCAUAUGGUGUUAUGAAAUUAAUUCCAAAAGAGGGGCUCAUGUUUACUAGGUAGCAUGCAGUACAUAGAGCUUCAGCCCACAGACUCAUGGGUAGCUUAGAGUGGAUAAGCAUACACCUAACUUUAUCUAUUAAGGUUCUAUUCAUUCUUUCAGCUAAUCCAUUUUACUGUGGUGUAUGUCUUACAGUUUUGUGUCUAACAAUGCCAUGUUUUGUGCAGAAAUCAUCAAAGUCCUUAUUGCAGAACUCUAAACCAUUAUCUGUCCUCAAUCUUCUCAUAUUUCUAUUUUUAUGUGUUUCAACUAGUGUUUUCCAGUUCUUAAACUGAUCAAACACUUUAUCUUUACUCUUUAACACAAACACCCAAACCAUUCUUGAGAAAUCAUCAAUAAGAGAUAAAAAGUACCUAGCCCCACCUAGAGAAGCUGUCUGUGCAGGCCUUCACAGAUCAGCACGAAUGUAGUCUAGAGUUCCCUUUGAGUUAUAAACACUAGUACUGAAUUUCACUCUUAAAGAUUUUCCUAAGACACAAUCUUCAUAGAACUUCAAAGACUCUAUCUUAUUUACUCCUAAGACCCCUUAUUUUGAUAGUUUCUUUAAGUCUCUUUCAUUCAUGUGGCCUAACCUCAGAUGCCAUAACAUGGUUUUGUUUAGGUUCUGGUUUGACACAGCAACAUCCCCUGUGACAGCUGAGCCCUGUAGCACAUACAGGCCAUUGCUCACGUUCCCUUUCAUCACAACCAUUGACCCCUUCAUUACCUUUAAAGUGCCUGACUCAAGUUUAACUAGGCACUCUAUUUUAUCCAGCAUUCCUAGAGAGAUAAGGUUUUUUUUGAGAUCAGGCACAUGUCUGACAUCCCUUAGUUCCCUAAUCAUGCCAUCAAACAUUUUCAACCUAAUUAAACCUCUGCCAACCACUCUACAACUUGAAUCAUUACCCAUUACCACUAUUCCACCAUCACAAGUUUCAUAGUUUGUGAAUAAGUUUUUAUUAGGGCACAUGUGGAAGGAACAACCAGAAUCUAAAACCCAAUUACCUUUUGUUUGAGCAUCAGUUGCUAUUAGAACUCCAGCUGAGUCAUAGCCAUCAGAUUCUUCAAAUUCUGAUGCAGCAACAACAUCUCCACUCUUCACCUUUGUAUUUUUUUUCUUGUUUUUCAUCUCAGGGCAAUCUUUCUUGAAAUGACCUUCCUUAUGGCAGUGGAAGCAUUUCAAGUUCUUUGGCCUGGAUUUGAUCUUUUCUUUUUGUUCUUUCUAGUUUCUCUCUUUUCAGUUCUUCCCCUUGCUGUUAGACUUUCUCCAUCCAUACUUUAUUUCUUAAUUGCAGCCUUGGAACUCAGAGCUUCCUUUACAUCUCCCACAUCGAGAGUAUGUCUCCCAUACAUCAAUGUAUCCACAAGAUUCUCAUAGGAACUCGGCAGAGAGCAGAGCAGGAUCAUGGCUUUGUUUUCAUCAUCAAUUUUCACAUUGAUGUCUUCAGGAUCCAAGAUGAUCUUGUUAAAAGCAUCGAUGUGAUCAAUUAUUGAUGAUCCUUCUUCCAUCUGCAAAGUGUAAAGCUUCUUCUUUAUGGUUAGUCUUUUAGCCAUUGACUUCUUUGUGUAUAAGUCUUCAAGCUUCUUCCACAAUCUUGCUGCUGUUUUUUCUCCACCAACUUCUUUGAGUACACCAUCCCCAAGACUUAUAAUUAUUGCACUGUGUGCCCUAUCAAGCACUUCAGAUAAUUCUUCUUCAAUCACCUUCAUUGGCUUCUUGGAUGAUGACUCAUCAUCAAGUGCAACAUCCAACCUUUGAUGCACCAGUAAGGCUCUUAUCUUGAGCCUCCAUAGGUGAAAAUCAUUUUUCCCUGUAAACUUCUCCACCUCAAGUUUAGUCGAUGCCAUUCAAAGACCAAGAAACCAGAGAUAGGCUCUGAUACCAAUUUGUUGAAACCAAAUCAAUCUCCAAGAUCAACUUGGAACCCCUAUGACCCACUCUAUGAAACUUGAUCUUGUUCUGGAACUAACACUAAACUGAGUUUUAACAGGAAUUACAUUUAGUAACUAAAAUCAAACACACAAUUAAAGAAAAACAGAUCACACACUUGCACCAAGGAUUAUAGUGGUUCGGCCAAUUUCUUGCCUACAUCCACUGUGAAAAGAGAAACAAGUUUUUACUGACUUCCAGAGAACAAAUUACAAAUAUGAAGAGUACAUGCAACUCAACCAAUACUUUUAGUAACAGAUCCUAGGACCUUUUAUACUCCACUCAGAACAAUAUGAAAGAACCCUAAGAAGUCAGCUCACGCUCCUGGGUUUCCAGCCAAGAAGAUCUCCAGCUGCCUCCCGCGUGAUCUAACCGAAAAAACCACUUCUUGAAUUUGCUUUGGGACACUUGUCAAUUGUUCACGCAAGCUGCUAACUAAAACGCAGAUGUGGCUGCCGUUUGAAUUAGUGGAACAUGUGACCCAUCACGUGCAUUACUAACGCAUCCAGUCGACAUAACGUUUAUAUCAUUCAGCUGCUCUGAACUCCAAAGCUCGACAUGUCGUUAUUCUUCCGGACAAACAAGCGACGUGUCAUACAUAUCCCUAAGUUCAUAUUUGAGCUUCAUAACUCCAACAUGCCUACUUUCUCUCUUUUUGAAUCUUUUUUUCUGAUAAAUCUUUCCAACACAAUGCUUGGAACAGCCAAUGGUGAUUCUUUAGGGGACUGUUGGGGCACACCAUAUGGAUACUCAAAUAUAUUAAAAAAGAGUAGCAUUCAAAUUUUAUCUUCCAUUUACUCUAAUAUUUUGGCAUUUUUAUAUUGAUGUUUCAAAUUGUAGAACACAGAAUGGAGGGAAUGCUAAAUUUCCAAGGCUGACAACAAGAUGAUAUGGUUUAAUAUUUGUAUUUUGUUGUAUUUAUCUUGUGGCUUUUCUUGCAAGCUACUGAUUUUGGGUUGACUUUCGAAUCUUUGGCGCAUUCCACGUCUGUAAUUCUUUCUCCAGUUGAUGGAUUUUGCUAAAGGCAAGAUUGUUUUGGCAUUGGAAGGAGGCUACAAUCUUGGCUUUACGUCAAAUUCAGUGCUUGAAUGCAUGGAAGUUUUGCUGGAAAGCAAGCAGGUCACUAGAUCUUCAAAGGCCUAUCCUUUUGAGUUAGUUAUCCUACAAAAGGUAACAUUAUUAUCUUCUAUGUCUUAUUCGCUUGCUGAAUUAGUUAUUUCCUCUCCCUGCCACCUCUCUUCUUUAUAAGUGGUGUGUUAUAUUAUUUUUUAACCUUUCUUCUAGGUUCGUCAUGAAUUAAGUGCUUUCUGGUCGAUGCUAGUAGAUGAAAUUAUCAACAACAUUAACUAACCAUGAUGAGUUCUUCUUUCUCUGGGGUUACUCGGAUGAUACACUUUUUCCUGAAAAAUGCAUGAAGAUUUCUCCUUUGGAUCAUCUUUCUUCGAGGAGAAAAUUUAAGAUAAGGGAAAGUGAUUUCUUUGAUUUUGACACUGCUGAUUGAGUCAUUGACAAAGCUACUUUUCAAUCAAGGAAACAUUUGAGGAUGAAUUUCUGACUGGUCCUACUGCUAAAAAUGACACUCAGACGGUUUCGGUUAGUGACUCAAUCAAAGACAAGCUAAGAAUGUUGCACUUGACAAUCCUGCCUUUGUUGCUCCGGCUAAUCUUCGCCAAGAGCAACCAUCUGAAGCCUAACACUAUCAUAGUUCUAGUCCCACUCCCAAGACUACUUAAGAUCGCCCUUAUGAGGUCCAAUGCAUUUAUAAUCCAUCUAUCGCUCCUGAAGUCGUGCCAUUUGUACCCUAAUCAUCCCUGGAACCAACAAUUGAUUAAGGUCGGUCACUUCUUUAGGUUUUGUAUUUCCUAAAAACAUCCCAACUCCAGGGCAAUCUUCCCAUCGUAGACAUCGAGACUACUGCCCUACCGAUAGUCCUGAAAGAGUGAACAGAAAUAACUUGUGAAGUGUUGUUUAGGAGACAGAGUAAUGGAGCUCCGAUGCUGAUUGGAGAUGUGUUGCGUGAUGAUCCUCAAGCUUGCCUUACUUUAUUAUUUGGUCUCCAGACAAAGGGAGAUUUGGACUAAUUUGGUAGUGGUAGCAAUAAAAGGCUUUUGGAAUCCGUUACACAAGGAUUAGUUAAGGUAAUAACUCCAUUCCAUUUUAAAAUGUCAUUAGUAUCUGUGUGCGGUGUUUAACUCCUAUUCUAAUUUGUAGGGACUUUGGAUAUGUUACAUGCAUUUCAACCUUAUAAAUUAGGGUAUAUUCAUAAUUUUAUUAAUAAUUUAUGGGUAAAAUGGCAAGUUAAUAUAUUGACUUGUAUGUUUUAGGGAGAUAAUAGUAAUCAUAAGUUGAAAAAAAAACUAUGUUAAAAUUAACAGAAUUUAUUAACAAUUUGGGGUUUAAGUGUCUUUUUUAAAAUGUUAGGGACUUUCAUGUCCCUUUCCUUAAACAUUUGGUGUGUGUUAGUCAUUUUCCCUAUGAAACCAAAAUUACAUUAUUCAAUUUAAAUACAAAAUCAGUAAAUAUAUAAGGUAAUCAAUAUUAUAACUUAAUUGAUGUGAAAAUUUGUUUAAUAUUAUCAAGUGAAUUAUUUUUUUCGGUGUAUUAAACCAUCUGGUAUCCAAAGACCACAUUGGGUCCCGACUAAUUCAGAUUCGAGCCGGGUAGGACCACUAGGGCGAUAAAGCACCAUCUGGUAUCCGAAGACCACAUUGGGCCCCAACUAAUUCAGAUUCGAGCGGGGUAGGACCACUAGGGCGAUAAAGCUCUCCCAACAAGUAUUUAACGCAGCUGCAUUCCCAAGUCUCGAACCAAGGACAUUGGUUAAGUUAAAACAACUCCAUGCCAGUUGAUCUACGCGCUUGUUGGUUAAAUUAUUAAUAAUGAUUAAAACUUAUAAUCAUACUCAAAGUACACAUUGGCACGAAAUUUUGUACCAACAUUUACAGUCGAGCAUGACUAAUUAACUAUAUUUUUUAAGUUAUAUUAAUUAUUGGUUAAUAGACACUGAUCUGCAUGGACCCUCAUGGAUAAGACUCUCGUCAAUGCGCUCUAUAGUUGCACGAAAAAUCCAUGCACAGUUUACAAAAACAAUAGUCAUCAAUUUUAAACGUCACAAUCAUCACCAAAGGAACAUAAAGUUCAACGCAUGAUAAGACCAUCUUGCGAAGUAUAUUAAUUUUAUUAUACGAAAAAGGUCUCGCAUUUGCAAGCAUAAAAGUUGAAAAUUACAAAAGACACACCAGAGAUUCGAUUGACACACACAGCAACAAUCCACAAGCAUGAAAAUGACAAGAACUUUUCUGUUUCUAGAUGUGGUUGUUUAUUCUUCAUUAAAAAAAAAAAGAUAAAAAAGAAUCAAACGCGGCAACUCGGUCGACCGCUAUCUUGCUCUCAGUAAGUUUUUCAUCAAACCCUUUCUUUAUUCGGAUACCAUUCGCCUCUCCUACAAGAACAAAUUCAUCAGUCUCUUUUAUUUGUCACUUAAUCACUAGGAACACAAUUAAACAGAACACGGUGCUUAAAAUUGAAAUGCUUAAUGUAAUUCUGAACUACUAGUCUUUACAUGUACAGUUUUAAAAAUAAAUGAGAUUAUCAUAAAAGCAUAAGCUAUUCAUGGCCGCUUUCUAGUAGUAGUAAGGAGGAGGGGGAGAUGCAUAGACGUAAGGGUGAGGCGGUGGUGGCGAGAACUUGGGGACAGGAGGUGGCGGAGAAGGGAAAAUUGGAGUUGGUGGCGGAGCAGGCUCGCAGGCUGGUGGAGGAGGUGGCGGGGACUUGUAAUCCGGGGGUGGUGGUGGAGACUUGUGAACCGGUGGCGGGGGUGGUGGAGAAUUGUGAUCCGGUGGUGGAGGUGGUGGAGAUUUGUACUGGGGAGGGGGAGGUGGUGGUGGUGGAUAUUUCUUUGGUGGGGGAGGAGAUGUGUAGUAGUAAUUGUUUGCGGAGGCUUCUAAUGGCAAGUGGCUAAGAGAGACUGAUAUUACCAAAAGAGUGGCAAAGAUAUAGCCCGUUUGAGACCCCAUCGUUCAAUACAAAGUGGAGUUUCGGUUGUGCUAUAAACCAAGCUCCUUCCCCUCCUUAUAUAGACUUAGGCUUUUCACCUGCUCUACCAAACUUGUCAUAUACAACCUUGAUGUUAAACAUUAGUAACCAAAUGAUGAAAACGGUGUCAUCAGGUUGGCACAAAUUUGACUAAACAUAAAAUUUUAUGUUUUUCUUUAAUGGCUAGCUGUUGCCCAAACAGGGAAUAAAGUAAUUAAAAGUCACGAUCCUUUUAAUGAUAUGGCAUUUUUUGUAUCAAUGUAAUGAUUUGAACAGCAAGUCUCUGUGAUUUACUUCAAUAUCAUCAUUCUUCAUGAAGAGAUUGAAAACAUGUAGCUUGAAACAUGUAUUUAAUUACCUAACUUAUCAUGAAUGUUUUGGCCUUGGGUCCAGGCGGCGAGACUUUUUUUCAACUUCAUAUUCAUUUAUUUAUUUAUUUUCACUUCGUAGUUAAUUAAUCGUUUCAAUUUCCUGAAAAAUAAGUAGCUAGCGAUAUAUUUAACAUAGCAUUAAUUUUACUUUCUUAUGAACUGUUUUUAAUGCUCUUAUCUCACCGUGAAAUUAAUUUUCCCCCAGAAAUGUUAACCGACGGAGCAACGUAGCGGAAGAGAAACACUACACAUCGUUUAAGUACUGAAUCAAGACAACACAACUAAGUUACGUUCUAAUCGAAGUGUGAUUAGAUCUCGUUCUAAUUCAAAUAACUAAAUGGGAUUUUUAAUAUUGCAUUACGCAAAGUUAGAUGAUGUUAUAAUCUAAACAACUCUACAAGAGAGAUUUUUAACAUAUAAUAUCAAAGGAAAUUAUGAAAUAGGGGUUUUUAAUUGAGGAUGCGUUUGGGAUUGAGAUUGGGCAGCUGUAGCUUAAAAGCUACAGCACUAAAGUGUUUGGUAAACACUAGCUGCUGUAGCUUUUAAACUAUGUUAAUAUGAUUUUUCACUUGUAUAAUAUAAAAUUUAUUAUAUCUUUAAUAAUUUUAUCAAAAUUAUUAUUUAAAAUUUAUAUUUACAAUAUAUUAUUAACUUUUGUUUCAUAAUUACAGUUUUUUUUUCACAGCAGCUGUAGCUUAAAAGCUACAGCACCUCAAUUCCAAACGCACCCUGAAUAAUUGAAGUUGAAGUUAUAAAAAUAAUUACAAGACCUCUGUAUUUAUAAUAGAGUAAAUCUACUAACCUAAUUUAACUUAAAAAGGGAAACUACAUCAUAAUUAUAAUAGAAAUAAAAAAAUUAAGACACGCACUUUAAUUAAAAAAAGAAAUAUCAAAUGGUUAAAGUAAUAAAAUCUUAAAAUAACGUCCUACAUCAUUAACGAGUAGUAGAAACAACCCAAUCAUGAUGUAUUAACUAUUUAGUUUAAUUUCUUUUGUUGUCAUUGGUAGUUUGUGGAUCUUUGAAUAUAUAUUCAACAUCAAUCAAAAUGUUAAGGACCUGUGCAUAUAGUCGAACAAAGUACGAAAUUAUAAAAUUAACCCAAAAUACGAAAACAAAAUUGAGUAUUUUAAACGAAAAAUUCAAAACAUGUAACAAAACUAAGAUGCAAUAAUUUAUUUAGAAAAGAAAAAGCAAAAUUAGCAUUUAUACCGCACUGAGUACCCAUACUAAGCACCAGAAGCACAAUUUUUUGUGAAAUUAUAUAAUUUAUAUAAUUCAAGGAUUUCACAUUUUAUUUUUGUUUAAUUGGUUUUGAACAACUAGACGAUUUUUUUUUCCAAUCUCUUCUACAUCUAUUUUUAAAGCUUUUUGAAGUUUUAAUUAUAAUGUUAUAAAGAUCUAAAUGAUUAUCAAAUUCAUAAAAAUCAUAAUAUAUUAUAGCACCGGCAUUCAUCAUUUCUUGUCUCUCUUGAGACAUAAACUAAAUUUUUUCUUCCAACAAAUCUAUAGAUAUGUCCAAUCUAUUUUCCCAACCAAGGUACAUGCCAUCAAUCCUUUCACAUUGAUAUUGUAAUCUAAAUUCAGCAUUCCCAAUCAAAAAGUUCACAUCAUUAUUAUUGUUAUUAUCCAUCAAUAGACUUAUUAUGGAUGGUUUAGAGUUCUGUUAUUUGUUUUACAUCUGUCUUAAAUUUUUUCAAGAUUGGUUCGAUAGAUUCUAUUAAUGUUAUUCUAUUUUCUUCCUAAAAGGUCUCAUAUAUUUCAUUGUUAUCUUCAAAGUUUAUUUUCUUUAUGUCUUUAUACAAGCGUUUGCUUGCAAUUAAUCAAGUUUUAACAAUUUCCAUUGCAUAAAUAACUUAAAUUCCUAACUAAAGUCUAGAUUAUCUGUGGCAUCUAGAAGUUUCUUGACUUAUCAUUCAACGUUUUAUGAAAAUUAAGUUACACUUAUCACUUUAUAUCUUGUAAGAUCUAAAAGAUAAUCUAGGUCUAACAUGCUUCUGUUUGUCCAAAAUAUAAUAAGAUAAUUCCAUGUACUAGCCAAUGUACUAUUCCUCAAAAUUCGGGAAUAAAUUCGCUAAUUCCUCGAGACCAUAGAUUGGCCCAUGGUCAACAUCGCUCUAGCUGCACGCAUCAUGCAAGAUCACUUCUGUAACUGUUCUAGACGGCCUAAUGCAACACACUACAGACUUGCCCAAUAAGAUCUAUCUAUGUGAAUCCCUUGCAAUUGCCUUUAGAAGAGUGCUUAAUAACAUGAAAUCUUUUUCAUUUAACACAAGUGUUGGCAUGUAAGAUUCUUGAUUUUUGUUUCUCAAGUCUAAAUAAGAUAGAUAUAAAGAUGAUAAUUUCACUCAAAAAGAGUUUUUUUUCAAUUUAUUUAUGAAUUUAAAGAGAGAAUAAAGAUGAGAAUAAUAGUAUAUUCGUGAGUGAUCAUCUCCUAUCUUACAUGACCCUAUUUAUAGACUUGAACAGAUAACAUAAUCCCUUCUUACAUGACACAUAUAGAUUUUAGAGAUGAGAUUAUCUCUUUUUACAUAGCACUUGUUACAUGGUAGACUUCCUAGAGACAAGCUAACCCUUCCCCUUGCAUUAUUGAAGACAACUAUUGUCUUCUUUUUGUUUUAUGGUUAACAGUCUUCAUAUGGUUGAGGUAAGGAUUCUGAUAAGCCUUAUCCUUUCCCUUGGAUUCUCUAUGAAUUAUUGAUGCUUUUAGCUAGCAUCUUUUAUCUUUUUAGUGGUCUCAUGUCACAUACUAAGUACAAGCUCUUCAUCUAAAGACAAGUCUUUUCUCGCUAGAUUCUUCUUUUGAUUUUUUAUAGCAAAAGCCACAAUGCUUAAGCACCUUGCAUAUCCCAUGGUGUGUUAGUAAGCUAGAUUCCACAAGAUUCUCAUAUAUUGCCUUCUUCUUUUUCAAGAUGGCUUGUUUGGCUAAAAUGUUUUCUUUUUUGCUUAUAUUUUCUGUCAUGACUUGGUGAAGCCAUAUUUUAUUCUUUACUUAUUUGUUCAAGUUGUUUAUAGAGGACUUUCAUCUCAAUUGCCCAUUUGCUGGUAAGAGCUUUAGGCUCAAAUAAUUCAAGAUUAUAGUCAUUAUAGACUCGAUUUAAAUCAAUGGUUUGAUUAACCCUUUUGUUGUUAAUUCUAACUUGUAUCAUAUGUUAUGCUGAGUACCAUUUAUUAUUACAGUACUUAGUACAAGCAGUGAGGAAUUUGACAUAAAACAAAGAAGCAAAAUUCGGUCUCCUCCCUAGAAAAUUCAAAUUUGGUGCAUAAUGUUGUGUUGAUUUAUUUUCUGAUCUUCUUUUCAUCUUUAUAAAGAGUCUAUGUGGAUCUUGGAUCACUGGACAUUGAAAAAUUGUUAUUGAUCACUUUGCAAAGUGUCUUGAGGAUCGUGGAUCAAAAGGGGUAGUAAUUAUUCAAGAGAAGCAUAUUCACUCUAAAGUUGAGUAAACUGUAUGGUGAUAAACUGUAAGUGAGAGUUUUAAGUUUGAUAAAUCUAUAGGUUAUAACAUCUCAACUUAAUGAAUUACUUUUCACUUGGGCGUAACCCUGUGGAUGUAGGAUUGAUUAAUCUGAACCACGUAAAAAUCUCCGCGUCAUUUAAUUUCUAAAAUUUAUUGUGUUUUUGGAAACUUAUAUUCUUGAUGCAGAUGAACAAUGCCAAAGAACAGUAACGGUAAACAGUAACGAUGAACAAUAUUUACGAAAAUUAAUUAAGUUGUUAAUUCUAGUUUUUUUGAUUGCCUACAUCUAUUUACAAUAAAUCUAAAUUUCUUUCAACUUCAACCAGAGUGCUUUUAUUAAUUUGUAUAAAAACACAAAGAUUUAUGCACAUGUAUUUGAAUCUAAUGCCAAACUAAGCGAUGCUUUAUUUUUUUAUAAUACUCUAACAGGUGUGCAUUUAUAGCACUACACAUGCAACCUAAAUUUUGUGAUAGUGUAAUUUUAUUUAUUUAUUUUUCCAUAAACUGUUGUGGUUAAUUUUGUUGGAUCAUAAACUUGAUCCAAGAUUAAAAAAAACAUUAAAAAAAAUUAAUAAGCCCAACCCAUGGAAGGUUCUAUGAGUAGGUAUGGUUGGUGAGGUUUGAAUUAUUUUUUUUAGGUGUGGUAGGUUUAGUAGGUAAAAAUGAAUGGUUAUUAAUUUUUUGUAAUUUCUUAUUUGAAUAGUUUAGAUUUCUUCUCAUAUACUAUAAAUACCCCCUUGUGUCAUUUGAUUAUGCAUCAAGUCAAGUAACAAAUUCUCUAAGUUGUAGAGAGUGAAAAAUAAGAGUUGUAGUUGAGGAGUGUUGUUGAAGAAAUAAAAUAGUGUGUUUUUUUAGUGUUUAAUUUGUUGAUUCUCCAACAAAGUGGUAUCAGAGCUAGUGAUCAAUGUUAUAUAUAGUCAAAUAGCAUAUCUAAUCGAAUAUCUCGACAAGAGGAACGCGAUGCCACAAAACUCAGCCCGAUAAGAGAUCAGACGCACCUGUACUAGCCACUGGAAGUUUUCUGUUCUGAAGCUAAGUCGACUCAAUGAGUUAAACCAAGCUAAACCAAACCGAACCAAGUUGAGCUGAGCCAAACUAAAUCAAGUCGAAACAAGCCAACUUGAACCGAACCACGCUGGACCGAACCAAGUCAACUAAGCCGACGUUGACCGUUGACUGACGUAGAUCGUUGAUCGAUGUUGACCAUUGACUGAAAGUUGACUCGAGUCCCUUCCAAGGUUUUUCGACAUGCCGGAUCCAUCCGUCCACUCAGAAUCUCCAAAUUCUUAGUCAAUUUGUGAGUUAUGGCAAAUAGUAGUAUGAUGUCAUUUUAAGUUCCACAAUUAAAGGGGAGUAAGUUUGACAAUUGGAGUAUUAAAAUUAAGGCUCUAUUGGGUGCACAUGAUGUAUAAGAUGUUAUGAAGAAAGACUUUAUUCUACCAGAAAAUGAAGCCACUUUAACUGCAGCACAGAAGGAGAAUUUAAAAAACUUGAAGAAGAAAGAGAAUAAAACAAAGUAUCUCAUCUUUCAAUCAUUAGAUGAAGAUAGAUUGCAAGUGCAAUCUCUUAAAAAGAAGCAUGAGAGAAGUUAGAGAUCUCUUAUAAAGAAGUGGAGCAAGUUAAGAAGGUUCAUCUCCAAACAUUACGAGGAGAAUUUAAGUCUUUUCACAUGAAGGCAUCAGAGUCAAUUUUUUACUACUUUACUCAGGUUAUGACUGUUUCCAAUGAAUUAAAAAAAAUAGCGAGGAGUUUGACCAUAUUAUUAUGACAAUUGAGGAAACAAAAAAUCUGGAAGAUAUAACAAUCAAGCAACUUUAAGGAAGGUUGCAAGCUUAUGAAGAAAAAUUAGAAAAAAAGUAAGGAAUCAAAGAACAACUUCUCAAGAUGGAAGUCAAUCCAAAGAAAAUAGAAGAAAGCUCCGACAAUGAGAGAAGGCAUUAUGUCUGAGGUAGAGGUCGAGGACGAAGUAGAGGUCGUGGUCAUGAAUGAGAUUGGAAUUUUAACAACAACAACUCCAAUUAUGCCAAAGGAGAAAGCUCAACCAAAGGAUGAGGCAGAGGCAAUCCAAGAUCAAGGUAUGACAAAUCUCAAGUAUAAUUCUAUAAUUGUCAAAAGUUUGGGCAUUAUGCUUCAGAAUGUAGAGCUGCAACUACCAGAAUUGAUGAGAGAGUGAAUUGUGUUGAAGAGAAAAAUGGUGAAGAUGAAACCCUUUUACUAGCACGCAAUGACACAAGUGGAGGUUAAGAAAAUACAUGGUAUCUUGACACAAGUGCUAGCAAUCAUAUGAGUGGAAACAGAAGCAUGUUCGUGGAACUAAAUGAAUCUAUAAAUGACAAUGUCUCUUUUGAAGAUGAUUCAAAAGUACCAGUAAAGGGUAGAGGUAACAUUCUAUUUUGUGCAAAAGAUAGUAGCCACCAAAUAAUUUUGAAUGUUUAUUAUAUGCCCAAUAUGAAAAGCAACAUCUUUAGUUUGGGUCAACUCUUAGAAAAAGGUUAUGACAUUCACUUAAAAGAUUGUAGUCUUUUCCUAAGAGAUGACAAAGGAAAUCUAAUUACAAAGGUGAAAAUGUCGAAGAAUAGAAUGUUUCCUUUAAAUAUUCAAAAUGAUGUUGCAAAAUGUUUCAAAACUUGUCACAAAGAUCUAUCCUGGAUUUGGCAUCUACAAUAUGGGCAUCUCAACUUUGGAGGACUGGAGCUAUUAUCCAAGAAGAAUAUGAUGAAAGGCUUACCAUACAUCAAUCACCCUGAUCAACUUUAUGAAGGAUGUUUACUUAGCAAGCAGUUCAGAAAGCGCUUUCCAAAGGAGUCAAAUUCAAGAGCUCAGAAGCCACUUGAGCUCAUUUAUAUUGAUGUGUGCGGUCCAUUCAAGCCAAGCUCCCUUGGUAAAAGUAACUACUUCCUUCUAUUCAUAGAUGAUUUUUUAGGAAAACUUAGGUAUUUUUUUUUAAAUCAGAAGUUUUUAAAGCUUUCAAGAAGUUUAAAGCAGUAGCAGAAAAAGAAAGUAGAUACCAGAUUAAAGCCAUGAGGUAUGAUUAAGGUGGAGAGUUCACUUUCAAAGAAUUUGUAGAGUUUUUUGAAAUAAAUGGAAUUCGACGCCCUUGGACAGUUCCAAGAUCCCCCUAACAAAAUGGUGUUGCAGAAAGGAAUAACAGAACCAUCCUCGACAUUGCAAGAAGCAUGCUCAAGAGUAAGAGGCUACCUAAAGAAUUUUGGGCUGAAAUUGUUGCAUGUGCAGUCUACUUGUCCAAUCAAUCUCCAACAAGAAGUGUAUGGGGCAAGACGCCACAAGAAGCUUAGAGUGAAAGAAAGCCCGGCAUCACCCAUCUAAGAGUUUUGGAAGCAUUGCCCAUGUACAUAUACCAGACGAAGGAAGAGCUAAGCUGGAUGACAAAAGUGAGAAGUUCAUCUACAUCAGCUAUGACAACAACUCCAAAGGAUACAAGCUUUACAAUCCAAACAACAGAAAGAUGGUGAUUAGUCGAGAUGUAAUUUUUAAUGAAGAAAGAGAAUGGGAUUUUGGUUCUGGUGUGGAUGACUUCAACUUCUUUCCCAUUGAAGAAGAUGAUCAUACACAGAUAAAACAAGUAGAAGAACAACAAGAGCCAACUACUCCACUUAUGUCACCAGUAUCAACCACACGUAGAGAUUCACCACCAUCUUUCUUAAAUGAAAGAACCAAAGAACUUACAAGGAGUCUUCAAGAUCUCUAUAAAGUAACUGAAAGACUUGAUAAUCUCACUCUCUUUUGCCUCUUUGCUGAUUGUGAGCCAGUCAGCUUCUAAAAAGCUACAGUAGAUGAGAAGUGGAAAAUUGCAAUGGAUGAAGAAAUCAAAGCCAUUGUGAAGAAUAAUAAUUGGGAGCUUCUCUUCUUAAAGGUCACAAGGUGAUCGGUGUCAAAUGGGUGUACAAAACGAAAAAAAAUGCGAAAUGAGAAAUUGAAAGGUACAAGGCAAAACUAGUUGCAAAAGAUUAUAGUCAAAAGGCUGGCAUAUACUACGAUGAGGUAUUUGCUCUUGUAGCCUAACUUGAAACUAUUAGACUUAUUAUUUCUUUGGCUACCCAUAACAAAUGGAGGAUUUUUCAAAUGGAUGUGAAGUCUGUUUUCUUGAAUGGAUUCCUUGAAGAAGAAGUUUACAUCGAACAACCAUUAGGCUAUAUGGUGAAAGGACAUGAAGAUAAAGUUUUAAGAUUAAAGAAAACUCUUUAUAAGUUAAAGCAAGCACCAAGAGCAUGGAAUAGUAUAAUUGACAAGUAUUUUCAAGAGAACGACUUCACUAAAUGGCUAUAUGAACAUGCUCUCUACGUCAAAGAAAACGAUGGAGACAUUUUGAUUGUGUGUCUAUAUGUGGAUGAUCUCAUCUUCACUGGAAGUGAUCCAAGCUUGUUUGAAGAGUUUAAGAGAGUAAUGAUCAAAGAGUUGGAGAUGACUGACAUCGGACUGAUGGCAUAUUACCUCGGCAUUGAAGUUAAGCAAAAGGAAGAAGACAUAUUUAUCUCCCAAGAAAGCUAUGCAAAGGAGAUUCUCAAGAAAUUCAAGUUAUCCAUACAUGAUGAAGGCUAAGAUAUAGAUCCAACAAUCUUUAAAAGUUUGGUCAGAAACCUACGUUAUUUGACAUGCACAAGAUCAGGUAUCCUUUAUAUUGUUGGACUUGUGAGUCGAUAUAUAAAGAAUCCAAAGACCACCCAUUUUAAAGCUGCAAAAAGAAUCCUUUGCUACAUCAAAUGUACAAUUAAGUUCGGCUUAUUAUACUCAUUUUCUAAUGACUACAAGCUUGUUGGAUAUAACGAUAACGAUUGGGGUAGAGAUGUAGAUGAUCGAAAGAGGACCACAGGAUUUGUGUUCUUCAUGGGAGAUACUGCUUUCACAUGGAUGUCAAAGAAGCAACCGAUUGUCACACUUUCCACCUGUGAAGCUGAGUACGUAGUUGCUACAUCAAGUGUUUGCCAUGCAAUUUGGCUAAAACAUUUGCUGAAGGAGUUGGGCUUGCCACAAGAAAAGCUGUUGGUGCAUAAAUACUAAUGUUAUCGGUGUCAAUGUGCAAGUGUACACAACAAGUAAUAAAGUGAUGAGUAUUCAAGAUCGUCUCCACAGGGAUUAAUGUUAUCAGAUUUGCUACAGCAAUCUUAACAAUGCAGAUUUUGUGCUAAAUUAAAAUAAAACAAUUAAUGAAACUAAUGUACUAAUUAAAAUAAAAAGGCAAUAAAUAAAAUGCAACAAAGUAGAUUAUAACGUCAAACUCAAGGAUAAAACUAAUGGGAAUAUAUAGUAGUUGAGUGAAUAAACUCUCUUAAUGGUCUUGACUAUUUUCUAAUGUUUUCCUCGGUUGCUGCAGCACUGCUACAGCACUGGGCAGAAUCCUUAUAUAUCCUCAGCCGUCGCCUGUUGGAUAUCUUAUAUCUAUAUGCAACCUAACAGUGAUCAGUUGUUAUGCCAACAUAAGAUAUAACAUUACACGCUUAGGUUCUAUUUACCCUACAAGGUGAAUCCAUAUGUCUAGUUCAUCACUAAUCUUAAAUCAAGCAUGACCCUUUUGGGACUCAAGUAAAACUCAAUUUAAGAUCAAAUAUUGUUCUGAUAUAUUCCACUAAGAUAUGCCCUUUUGCGGCUCUUCAUUCGCUAGUAUCAUUAAAUGGGUGAUCAACCGAAAUAAUGAAUAAAAUAAAUAAUAUCAAAACAAACUGCUACAGCAAACAUGAUAAUUCAUUUUUACGAAUUUAAAUAUUUCAUUUUUAAUAGCCAAUAAUUACUUUUCAUUGCUAUGAUAAUUCUUUUCUACGAAUUUAAAAGUUCUACUUGUACAUUCACAAAUAUUUUCUUGAUUUGUUUUUAGAAUUGCACAUCAAGGAUUAUCCAAAGCAUUAGUUUCAAGAAUUAAAUUAUCAUUAGUGGUAGGAAAUCCUAAUCUUGGUAGAUUUUUAUAUUUUUCUCUUAGUUUCUUUACCAUCUUGGUAUGGAGAUCUUCCCAAGACUUUCUAUUAUUCUUUUUUAAUAAUCCUUGUAAGGGUUGUCUUUCUUUUGCUAAGUUUUCUAUGAAACCUUUAAUGUAAUUAAGACAUCCUAAAAAUAUUUGAAUCUGUUACUUUAUAUUCUAACUUAUUUAGAAAUAAAUAUAUUUUUUUAGAAGUAUGAGGUUGCAUCUCUAUUCCCAUUACAUCUAUUAUUAACCCUAGAAACUCUAUUCUAGGUUUCAUUAUCUUGCCACUUAACCUUGGUUAGGGCAAUUUGAAUUCCCACAAAAGUAUUGUAGGGGUAAUUCCUUUCUCAAUUAUACUGUAUAAUUAAGUGGAGAUGGUAUUCUCCUUUACAAAAUAUGAGUUCUCUUUUAUGAAAUAUGAGAGGAGUAGAUAUCUCUCGAAUAUUAGUGAAGGUAAAAAUAUUGGCAAUACUUCUUAAGAUUUAAUGUAAACCGAUCUAGUAAUCGUUUGUUUGUAAAUAUCAGUAAUAAUCUCAUGUAAUUAAAAAAAAUGGUUUCAUUAUCUCAGCUUUCUUUCUAGAAAGUAGUAUUCCAUGUUUCUUGCACAUUUCUGUAAAAGAAACUAGACAAUUAAUAUGACCAGCUUCAUUAUUUGAAAAUAUUAAUAGAUAAUCCAUAUAGACAAUGCAAACUUCAUGAAAUUCUUUGAGAAUUUUAUCCAUUCUUCUUUGAAAUAUUUGCGGUGCAUUUUUCAAUCCAAUCCAUUCAUACUACCCUUGAGGUAUAAUAAAGACUAUAAGUGGUAUACAUUCUUCUUCAAGUUUGAUUUGCCAAAAACUUGAUUUGCAAUCAAAGUUGUUAUAUAUCUUUUUAUUAAGAGUGGGACCAGUGGCACCCUUCUAAAUAUCUCUUGACACCCAUUUUCUUAAUUACCCGAUUAAAAUAUUUUUAAAAUUUAUUAAAAUUCUUUUAACACCUUUAUCAAUGAAAAAAAUAAACCCCAAUCUCUAAUUUUAUUUAUUUAUAUUAUUGAACCCCAUUUGAAUAUCGGGGUUUCUUCCAUUCAAAAAAAAAAAAAAGGGUUUUCAUUCUGUCUGCUGCAGCCACUGGUGGUAAACUCGUCACUCCAAAAAUUAGAGAAAAAUGUGACUUUUUUAAUUUAUAAAAUGUUAGAUUUUUUUAAGGAAAAAUUUUUUUGACUUUUGAGUGGGGAGUUUAAUUUGAAAUUGUCCUAUUAUGUAAUUUCAAUAAAGGUUAAAAUUGUAAAAUAAUUAAAGGGUUUUAAGAGGUAUUUGGAGGGGUGUCAAUAGUCUCACUCUUUUAUUAAUUAUAGAAGUAAAUAAUGUAUCUUUAUGAGGUAAAAAGUACCCAUUAAAUUUGGUAUACUUAUUUAAUUAUUUAUAAUUAAAAAUCAUACGAGCUUUUCCUCCUUUAAUUUCUACAUGAUUCCUAGCCAUAAAGGUUAGGCUACUAUGUGGACUUUUAGAUUCUUGAAUAAUCUUGAGUUCCAAUAACCCUUUAGCCUGUUUAUCAAUCUCGAAUAUAUCUUCUUGCUCAUAUCUUAUAGGCUCAACUCUUAUGACAACAUUUGGAUUUUUUUAUUCAAUUCGGCAUAAGUUUUAUCAAAUUCCCAUCAACUGGGUUUUAACCCAAAUUUUUAUCUAACUUUUCUAAAAUUUUUCGUAAUAAGAUAUGAUUUAAUUAAUUUUUCAAUUGAAAUCAACAUGUUGGCUGCUUCAAAGAUGAAAUUUUUGAGUUGUUCACCUUAUAGGGUUACAAAUCGUAUGUGCAAUGAUGGAAUUGUUAUACGGCGUUUUAAGAGAAUUGUUUUGUUUGUUAUUAUAUAAAUGAAUUGAAGAACAAUUGUUUUGUUCAUUAUUAUAUAAAUGAACUGAAGAACGAAAUUAACUUCUAAAGCAUAUCUGCACCCAUAUGAUCGUAUGACCACAGUAUUGGUAUGCUUAGAAUAUAGUUCUCAACUUGUAUCAAAGUUUAAUUCUACAUGUUGCUAAGGUGAUUUGUUCACCAUUUAUUCCUUGUCCUAUUAAGGGCUUAUAAUAUUUACAAUAAGAUUUUUGAUAAAUCCUAAGACUAGCUAAACUAAUUCCUAAACCAGUAUCAGUUAAAGCAUGGAACUAUUCUAGCUUAUGGUUAUAAUAUGGUAUGAUCACUUAUAUAUAUAUAUUAUAAAAGGUUUAGACAUAUCUUGAUAUUGUUUGUUUGAUUUCAUCAAUUGUUAUAGAUAUUUCUCUAUCUCCUAUGAAAUAAGGGCGAAAGUUUAAAAAAAAAUUCAUUCCUUAUAACAAGGACUUAUUACUGUUUUGUAUUUAGGUUCAAUGAAAAAAAGAAAGAUAAACUCUAUUCCUUUUAAUCCUUAAUGGUAUUUAUAAUCCCGACUUAGCAUCUUCUUUCUCCAUUAUAUCCCACAUAUCUAUGAAUGUGGUUCUAUUAGAAUUUUUCUUUCUAAGUAUUUAAUCAUUUUGGCAUCAACAUAAGAUUUUGCAGCUCCUAUAUCUGGGAUAGCAAAAGUCUCAUGCCAUAACUUCCUAUUGUUAUAAUCAAUCUUGAUUUUUAAAUUUUGAUUAUUUCUUCUAAUUGUUGCCAAUAUUUCAUUUGAUAGUGGUAUUAUUAGUUGGGUAUAUCUAGUAAAAUUUUGUAUUCCAUGUAAUUCUAGUUCCUUUUUGGGUACAGAAAAUAAUCUUCUAUUUCCUAGAAUGAUUUUUCCCUCUGGAGUAUAUUCUAUAGUUUUAGGAGUACUCCCCCUAGUCAAAGUAGGUUGAUUGCUCAAAUCCAUUUCCCAUUCUUCUGGUAAAUUUAUUUCUCUCAAAAUCUUGAAAGAUAGUGUUUUUCCAAAGUUAUCGAAAAGGUCAUCUAUUUCUCUAAAUUCUUUAUCGGCAAACAUUUCAUUAUUAAUUGAAUUUGUCAAUGCAUAUUCUAUCGUAUAUGUUAUGCUAUGUGGAUAAGAUCCAUCAUGUAUUAUAUCAAAGUAUUGAAAAUCACGACUUAAAGUUAAAGUCUUGUUUAUAUUUUUGUCUCUAAGACUUAUAGAAUAUUUGGGGCAUAUCUUAAAUAUUAAUUUAUAACUAAUAUUUCCUUGUAUUAUUCUGAGGAGUUCAUAUUUUCGAUCUUUUAAUCUAUCAUCUAGUAUAGCGCAAUUUACUGGGCUAUCUAUUCCUUCUAAAAAAAUGAGCUUUUAUCAUAAUUUGAAUUCCUUGCAUAUGAAUAUAUCCAAUCUUAGCUGUAUUACUAUAUCUUAUUCUAUUGAUUUGUCUUCUAUAACUGAUUUUAGCAGUCAGAGUAUAUUUGUAUUUCUUCUGGCAUGCCUUAUUUCAAUUGGUUCUUCUCUUAUAGUGGCACUAAAAUAAAAUAUAUUUUUUCUCUUGAUCAUGUUAGCAAUUUCUUGUGCUAAUUUAUUAACUGAUGUCAUAGAUGUUUCUAAUCUCUUUUUAUUAAUCUUAAUGUUAAGUCUAUUAUUUAUAGAGUUGGCAUCUUAUUGCAAGUCUAGUUAAAAUAGAAUUUUAUUUAUUGCAUAUCUUGUAAUAGGGAUUAAUUUAUUAAUUUCCUAAUUUAGUGACAUUCGAAUUUAUUAGGAAUAUUUGUUUUCUAAUUUAAUUAGAUGUCUAAUUUAGCAAGUCAAUUGAUGAUGAGAUUCGAUAAUUGGCGCAUGAGAUCUAUGUAGAGUAAGAAGUUGGUUCAAACAGGAAGUUCAUUAAAUGCUCUAGAUAUUUAUUGGGAGACAAGUAAGGAAAGAAGAUCAGAUUUAUUCCUAUUCAGAUUCAUAGGGAUUAUAAGAGGAAAUAAAUUCUUAUUUGGAAAGAAUUCAAGUUUUUUAAGACUUGCUAUUUUUGUGAAACCCUAGAGUAUAUAUAAAUAGAGGUAUUUCACAAUUGAAGGCACACAACACAAAGUAUAAAGUAGAGAAGAAAAACUCGGCCUCUUCCCUAAAGAAUCUGGAUUUGGCACACGAUGUUGUGUUGAUUUGUUUUUCUCCUUGGAGAGUUUAUGUGGAUCUUGGAUCACUAGACAUUGAAGAAUUGAACAAUUGUUAUUGAUCACUUUGCGAAGUGCCUUGAUGAUCGUGGAUUAAGAGGGGUAGCAAUUAUUCAAAGAUUCAGUCUAAGGUUGAGUAAAUUGUAUCGUGAUAAACUGUAAGUGAGAAUCUUAAGUUUGGUAAAUCCAUAGGUUGUAACAUCUCAACUUAGUGAAUUGCUUUUCAUCUGGGCAUGACCUUGUGGAUGUAGGAUUGAUUAAUCCGAACCAUGUAAAAAUCUAUGUGUCAUUUAUUUUCUGCAAUUCAUUAUUUUUUUUAAAGUAAUAUUUUUUAUGCGCAUGAACAAUAACCGUGAACAGUAACGGUGAACGGUAUUUUCAAAAAUUAAUUAAGGUUCUAAUUUUAGGUUUCUGAUUGCCUACAUCUAUUUGCAAUAGAUCUAAAUUCCUUUCACUUAAGGUAUUGUUUUUUGUCAAAGACUAAUUCUCUAUUAAAAAAAUAUUGUUCUUUUAAUUCUUUAUCCUAAUAUAGAUUUUUAUUAUCUGUCUGCUCUAUACUCAUUUUGAAUAUGAGUUACUUAGAGUCUCAUUAGAUAGAUAAUAUAUGCUAUCAUUUCCACUAAUAUUUUCACAGUCAGUUAUUAAUUCUAUUUCAUUAAAAUCUCCAAAAAUUUUAAUGUUUGCUUUCUGUUUCUUUGGACAUUCGUUUGCAUAAUGCCCUUCUUCAUUACAUAACCAACAUUUACACUUUUCGAGUGUGCUUGUUUUAGAUUUUCCAUUGCAUUUAUUUUUCUUGAAAAUUUUUCUUUUAUAUUUAUUUUUUUAAUAUUUUUUAUUGGUUUUAAAGAAUUUCUUCUUUUUGAACUUUUCCUAUGUUUAUAGGUUUUAUUUGAACAUCCAAAUCUUAGAGGUUCUUCUAAUUUAGAACAACAUAGUCCUCGAUUUUGCAUUUUCAUUAAUCUUUUAUCUUUUAUUUUAGUACACGAAAAAUUUAUCCUAUUUCAUGCAAACCUAAUUCUAUAUCCAAGUGUAUUAGUGUCUAUACUAUAUCUAUAUUCUUGGUUAUAUUCUAGCAUAAUCUUUUUACCUCAUGGAUAUGGUAUUCUCAUAAAAUAUAGAUCAUUAUAAUAUCCUGCUGUAUUUUCAUCAAUUUCAAAUUCACAUUUAUACUAUAGUUUUUCAAAGCUACAAGCGUAUGCUUCUAAGUGACACAACUUAAAAAUGUUUGAUUUACUCCAAAGUAUAAGAGUAUCUUGUUAUAUUAUAACUCGGUGAGUCUGAGGUCGAUCCAUAGAGAAAGGAUUUAAUUUGUUUACUUAAGUUUAUCCAAAUAAAAAUAAAAUUUAAAAAUAUGUAAUUUAUUUAAGAAAAAGUAUAAAAUUGAAUUAGUUAGGGUUAUGGAUCUACUCUUAGUAAUAAAUACAAUUUAACAAAUUCUUUUUAUUUUUAUUUUAUUUCUCAAAAGAUUAAUUAUAUAAAUUAAAAUUAUUUUCCCAUUUAUUUUAUUGUGGAUUAAGAAUUUAAUGUGCCAAAACUUAAUUUGUCUACACUAAAUCAAAAUACCAUUUUUCCAUAUUUUAUACAAAGAUAUUAAGAAUUUAUUGUGCCAAAUUCCUAUUUUUGUCUACACUAAAUCAAAAUUUCAAAAUAUAAAAUAUGGAUAAAAUUAAAUAGAAAAUAAUUUAAUUUAUAAAAUUAAAAAUACAAUUUGAUUAAACCAUAUUUUUUUACUAAGAGUUUCACCUUCCCCUAACUAUGAAUAUUUAGUUAAACAUAAAGGAAAUUAUUAAAAUUGAAAAACACAUAAUUAAAAAAAUUGGAAUAAAACUAAUUUUAUUGAUUGAAAAUAUAUUACAAAGAGAUAUGAGAAGAAGAAUUUGGGGGAAAAGAAGAGAAGAGAAUGUGUGAAGAGGUGUGUUCACCCCCUCUCUAUUUAUACUAAUACAUGGUAAAUCCACACCACACAAAUAAAAAAAUCUAAUUGCAUCUUAACCUUACAUUUGUCCUACUAAUAAUCCCACUAAUAAAACAUAAACCUAGCUUAAUCCACUUAAGUAUAUCCAACACAUUUCACUAACAAUUACCAUACAUAACAUGAUAAAAACUUAUAAUUUUACAAUUACCACAUUUACCGUGGUAAAAACGUAAAAAUUUACAACAAAAGUCUCGGCUCCUCCUCGAAAAUGACAUAAUUUCUCGGACUUCCUGAAUCCAAAUUUGACAUUCGUACAUUUUUUUAAAACUUCAAAUUGCGUGAAAUUAUUAUUUUUGCCUAAUAAACACACAAAAAUACACAAAAUCAAAUACUUAGAAAAAUAAUUAGAAAUUCACAAUAUGUUAUACAAUUACAAAUAUAAAUUACAUUAAUAGCACAAAAUAACAUUUUUACCCCUUAAUAAACAUACAAUUUUUAACACUAAUCACUAAGUAACAUAUAUCACAUAUUGCAAGUCUAAUUAGCUUCAUUACAUUUUAUGUUCUUUUUCUCUUCAUUUCUUGUUGAAAAUUAGCUUUCUCCUAAGAAUUCUUUUCUUAUUUCACUUUUAAAUCCACAUGAAAUUUGUUCUUAAAGUUCAUUUAGCCUAGGAUUUUCUACACAUAAUAUUUUAUCUUUAUUUUCUUGUUUGAGUCCCAUGUGCCAUUGUGCAACUAUUUUUAUAAACAAAGUUUUAAAAAUUCUAUACUAUCUUUUCUAUCUAGAUUGCGAAAUGCAAGAGCAAUUUUCAUAGAUUUAACCUAAGGGAUUAAUAUUAUUUUAUCUGUAUUCUUAGAGCAAUCUAAAUCCAACCAUACGCCAUCACGGCUGAUUAGUGUUUCUCUAUACUCUCCUGGAGUUUUAUAUUCCUUUUUAGGUUUGUUAGACCUAAAAUAUCGACUCUAUGGUCCUCCAUAAGUUGAUAUCUCUUCUCUAGCAUAAGGUGUUGUAUUGCUAGAUUCGCCUUAUUCAUAAAUUCUGGGCUUUGCCUCAUUCAUCUUUAGAUGUUCUAUUCUAUUUUUGAUAUCUUGUAAAUUAAUGAAUACAUCUUCGUUUUCAUCUCUUUUAGAUUCUUCAUUUCUAUUAGAUAGCUCUUUUAAUCCAUUGUUUGGAUUUUCACUUAUCAUUUUUAAGCUUAUUAAUUUUUUGUUUCCUUCAAUUUUUUUGAAUAUUGGUCUUGAUAUGGACCGAAUUUCAUUAUUUUUCUUUUCAUUGAACUAUUGUGUCCUGCAGGAUUUUAUUUUGAUAUUGAAUUACAAUGAAUAAUUCUUCAUAUUAUUUUUUAUUUUCUGUACUUUAAUUUUCUUGAAGUUUUCCAUGUAUGUUUAUAGCAAACUUAUUUACUAGUUGCUCAAAACAUGACUUUAUUGUUACUUUUUUUUUCUAAUUUAUAUCUAGUUGAAUCUCAUCUCUUGUUUUUCUGAUUGCAUCUAAAAGUUUUGGGGUUGAUUUCUCGAAUUUUAAUGAGAAAUUAUAAUGUGUUGUUGAUGUAUGUUAAUUGAAUUAUAAAUAACUCUAUAAAUUAAUAAAUUAUUAACUUAUCAAUAUUUAAUUUCUCUUUUAAUUAGUAUAUUUUACCCAGCACAAUUAAUUUAUAGAUAUUCUAGUUUAUGUGGGGUUGGAGAGUUAGUUUGUGAACUUCGGGAAAAAAAUCCUCUCUUGAUCUGAGCUCUCAUGAGCUUUUAAAGAUUUUGUGUCAUGUGUCUUUAAGUGAUAGUGUAUGGAUAGAAUUUAACUUUUUUAUUUUCUUUAUUUUAUUAACUAACAAUCAUCAUAUGUAUGUUUACUCAGGAGGAGAUCAGAUCAGAAGAGAUUUAAAGAUCUUGUGUCAUGUGUCUUUAAGUGAUAGUGUAUGGAUAGAAUUUAACUUCUUUAUUUUCUUUAUUUUAUUAACUAACAAUCAUCACAUGUAUGUUUACUCAGGAGGAGAUCAGAUCAGAAGAGAAUCCUGAUCCGUGAGCUUCGUGGUCUCUCUAAAAUCAUUAUGCUAUGGGUUUUAAUUUGUCCUUUUCAAUUUUUCCUUUUCCCAAAAAUUAUUUCACCAAGAUUAUGAAACUGCAUGCCUGCAUUAAUUAGAUCUAUCAUUGAGAGCAAUAUGUUCUUACUGCAGUUGUUAGAAGAGUAAACUACUUUGCCCUACCCAAACAACAGGGAUUAGGGGGCAAAAAAAAUUAAAAAAAUAAAGAAUUUGACCGUACCGAUAACAAUAAGACAAUGCAAACUAAUAGUAUGAUCAAUUAUUUUGUAUUUAACUAACUUUAAACACUUAAUAAUUAAAAUAUCUCUUAUUAAUUAUCUGUAAAUCCUAUUUGCAUAAAAUAAAUACCAAGAUGAUGCUAUGCUUUUUCAAGUUUAGAUGUUAACUAAAAUAAAAAAUUAGGAUGAAUCAAUAACAAUAAUAAUGAUAGUAAUUUCCAUAAUUUUUUUAAAGGUAAUCUCAAGUAAAAAAAAAGUAAUAAUAUUGAUAAUAAAAAUAACAAUAAAUCAAAAUGCAAACAUCACACACCUGAUGGUGGUGAUCACCCCGAGAAUCCAAAUCGCAUAAGAGCUACUUGAAACAUGUUAGAACAAGAAAAUUUUUGGUGAAAAUUAUCACCUAUAAACUAUGAAUUUUCAUAUUUUAUCACUAAGAAUUAAUAAGAAAUUAUGCAGAAGCAUACUUGAAUCCACAACGUUGAAUUACUCUAUAGAGUUGUGUGGUUGGUCUCCUAGAUAAACACGUUCUCUUAGAGAAUCCUUUAAUUUUCUCUGUGCACUCUCUCUCUCCAGACCAUAACCAUUUAUAUAGACCACUUUUUCCUGUUGUCAUUAGAUAUUCUUAAUUCUACCCAUUAUAGAAUUAGAAUACCAUUAGCUCUCUACACAUUAAAAACCCACAUCCUAUCAGAUACAGUAAAACCCAAAUUACUGAAAACCUUAAUGGAUCACUUUUAAUUUGGCUUAACUUUAUAUGACAGUCCGUAACACAUAAUUAUUCACAUAUAAUCCCAACAUUGGAUUAAAGAUCUAACAAUCUCCACUUGGGCUAUAUACUUAAACUUAUAAUUAUACUUUUUAAAAUAACCUAUGAGCUCAACCUUACUAUCAUCAUCGAAAUGUAUCUAUUAUCAAUCUGGUCCAUCAAUCAUACCAACAUAGAUCAAAGCGGUCUUCCAUUACAACUAUCGUAACUCAACCUAUCAAUGGUCACUAUGCCAAUACACUGAUAACAAGGGUUCAUAAUGUGGAUGUGUAGCAUGGAAAAUUUCAUGCUUAUUUCCACUAGUCUACCUUAAUCUUAGUGAGAUCAAACCAUAUUAAAAUUAGAGUGUGAAUAAACCAAAACUUUAUUUCUAUAGAAAAUAACCCAAAAUAUCCCAUAAACUGAAAUAACUGAAAAAUGUCUAAAUUAUAAGAGCAUCUAAAGUCACAAACUCCCACUAAAACUAAAUAUCCUUUAAUGAGGGGACGCCCAUAUGAGCAGUGUGCUCAUCAAACAUCUUGGGUGGCAAUCACUUCGUAAGCGGAUCUACAAUCAUGGAGUCUGUGUCGAUGUGCUCUAUAGAUAAUUGUCCACUCUGAACUUUUUUUUAACAACUAGGAACUUGAUGUCUAUGUACUUUGACUUCGCUGAGCUCCUGUUGUUAUUGGAAUACAAAAUUGCUGACUUAUUGUCACAAAAUAAUUUGAGUAGUCUAUCAGCACUAUCUACAAUACGUAGCCAUGUAAUAAAGUUCUGCAGCCAUAUUUCGUGAUUGGAUGCCUCGUAACAUUUUAUGAACUCUGCUGCCAUCGUAUAAGAGGCUAUAAGAAAUUAUUUAACACUCUUCCAGGAGAUAGCACCCCCAACUAGUAGAUAGAUGUAACCCGAAGUGGAUUUCAUACUAUAUUGGCAUCCAGCAAAAUCAUAGUCAGUAUACCCAACGAUCUCAAGCUAAUGCGACCUCCGGUAUGUGAGCAUGUAGUCUUUUGCUCUUUGUGAGUAUCGCAAGACUCAUUUGGUUACCUCUCAGGAUAAUGCUGAAAUCUUAUUUUCUUGGAACAUUUUUGUAAAAUGAUUGUCAAUGCUUCUCAGGAUAAUGCUGGCAGCAUAAAAGUCUUCAUUUUGUUUUUAAUUUAUUAACUCUCUCUUUUUCUACUCAAAGGCUUUACUUUUAAACUCUUCUAUUCAAUAUUCUUCCAUAAGGCAUUUUGACUGUAAGAAGUUUGUCUUUUAUACAGGUAUUUUUAGGACUUUUUAUCCUAAAAAUGAAAAUUGACGAAGGACAUGAUGUUACAACAUUAAUGUCUCGUGGGAGAAUGUGUUAUGUGGAAAUGAGGACUAUCUUAUAGUUUGAGAUCAUAUUUUACUUCCUAUUACCAUGGAAAUUGAUCCUAAUAUAAUUUCAAUAUCCAUCAGAUUCGAUGCAAGUUAUGUGGUUUAUUUCUAAUUAUGAGGCUCUAUUAGGAUGCCUUGCUGUUUCCAUUCCAAAUUUUAAAAUGUAUAUUAAUCAAGUGCCAUCAUAGAAAUCUAAUCUUGGCGGCAAUUUCAAUGGUUAAUGUAUAUUUCAUAAAGAACUAUUAUGCAUGAUAUUUUGACUACCAAUCCAAGAUUCCUACUGCUCAGGAUUCUCAAUCCAAUCCGAAAAGUAAAUGCUACCUUAAAUAUCUUACUCAUCAAAUAAAAUUUUACAAUUACUAUUUUUGGGUAUAUUUAACGAAGUGGGCAUAGUAGAAACAAAAUUGAUAGGGUAGGAAACACUAAAUAUCAUUCUAGUACCUCAUUUAGCAAAAAUGAUUAGUUUACGCUCUAACCGAAUUGUGAUUAUAUCUUGUUCUAAUCCAAAUGAUUCAAUGAGAUUUUAAUAAUGCACAAAGCGAGAUCAGAUAACCCUCUAAUCUAAACUACUCUGCGAGAGAAAUUUUGAUAGCUAAUCCCAAUGAGAAUUAUAAAAGAGGGGUUUUAUUGAAUAAUUGAACCUAAACUUAUAAUAAUAAGACCUCUAUUUAUAAUAAAGUAAACAUACUUCCUUAAGUUAACUGAAAAGGGAAACUAAAUAACAAUUAUAAUGGAAUCAAAGACUAAGACACAUACCAUAAUUUACUCUAAUUAAAAUAUAAAAUCCUAUAAUAAUAAAAUUCUAUGAUCCCAAAAUAAUGUCCUACAUCAUUCUCCAUCUCUUAAAAGAAACUCGUCCUCGAGUUUGAAUAUAAUUUGGAGGGUGAAACUUGUAAUGCAAGACCAAAUCAUCUUGUAAUUCGAACUUCUAGUCUUUCUCAUCAAUCUUUCUCGAAAUUUUGAGGAAUCAAUAAUUCCUUGGCUUAUACAUUCUCGGAGAUGAUGAAGAAUUCUAAGAACGAACAACGAUAGAAUAACUCUUAUCCUUCCCUAAUCGUCGCUCAAUGUGCUCUUGAACGAAUUUCAAUUUUUCAAUCAAAUCUUCUUCAAGCACAACCUUCUUCUCUUCAAUGUGAAUAGGCGGGACCAUUUCAAUCAUUUCAGCUUCUUCAACUUGAUUUUGUUGCACUACCUCAAACUUAUUGUUAGACUCAAUGCGCAAAUCAAGAAUACUUUGUUUUUCUUUAAAAAUCUCAAAUAAAUCAAUAACCUCAUCAUUUGUAAUGCUUGUCUUGUCCUCCAAGGAACCUCAUGCAUAUUCUCACACAGAUUGUCAAAGCAACGUCCUACAUCAAUAUUGAAGAUUCAAUAAAGCAUUUGAUGAAAGUACUAGCUCACUAGAUAGAUACUUAGAAAGUGUGGUAUACUCCAUCUAACUCUUUUUGUUUGUCUUGGGAAGUUUAGCUAAUUUUAUGAUAGUGUACUCAUGAAUAACAAUUGAAGUUGAAAAAGAAAUGAUUGUUGGCCAAAUUCGGUUAAUGUGCAAAGCAAAUUUUAUCCAGCUAAUAAUUACAAUGCAAAGAUCUCAAAUUAUUGUUCUCUUCAGAAGAUUGUCGAUAUCCUUUGAAAUCAUUUUCUAGCUUCUUUUGGUUAACAAUGAAAAGUUGCUUAAAACAAAUGUGACCCUGAAAUGUCUCCUUGGUUAUUGUACAUUCUUGAGCUUUGACAGCAAUGUUUUAUUAUGUCUUGUAAUAAUGAAUAUAUUUAUUUAUUUUAGAUUAGUUCAAGGUUUUUUUUUUUUAAUUAUGGUUCUCAAUAUAUCUAAUAUUAUCAAAAUCGACAGCGGCUGGAAAAUUCAUGCUUGAGCAGGUUUUAAACCUUGUUGCUUAUGGUUGAAAAUAAUAAAAUCCGGAAAAGUUCUCAUGGCCCUUUUAUUAAUUGACAUACAUUGGGAUUUUACUCAGCAAGAUGUUAAAUUCAGCUUUUUUAGCAGUAUGCUUGUCAAGAAUUUUUUUUUUUCGUUCUCCAUAGAUUUUCCUUAUUGUAAACUUACCAUAAGUUGCUUUCUUUGUAUCAAAUAGAGUAACAUUGCAUUUUUAGAGUGAAAUGGCAAGCGCCUACUUUCGCUCUUUUUGAAUCUUUUUUUCCGAUAAAUCUUUCUAACACAAUGCUUAGAACAGCCACUGGUGAUUCUUUAGGGAAUUGGUGAGUCAUACCAUAUGGAUACUCAAUUAUAUUAAAAAAGGGUAGCAUUCAAAUUUUAUCUUCUCUUUACUCUAAUAUUUUGGCAUUUUUAUAUUGAUAUUUCAAAUUGUAGAACACAGAAUCGAGGGAAUGAUAAAUUUCUAAGGCUGACAACAAGAUGAAAUGGUUCAAUAUUUUCAUUUUGUUGUAUUUAUCUUGUGGCUUUUCUUGCAAGCUACUGAUUUUGGGUUGACUUUCGAAUCUUUGGCGGAUUCCACGUCUGUAAUUUUCUUUCUCCAGUUGAUGGAUUUUGCUAAAGGCAAGAUUGUUUUGGCAUUGGAAGGAGGCUACAAUCUUGGCUUUACGUCAAAUUCAGUGCUUGAAUGCAUGGAAGUUUUGCUGGAAAGCAAGCAGGUCACUAGAUCUUCAAAGGCCUAUCCUUUUGAGUUAGUUAUCCUACAAAAGGUAACAUUAUUAUCUUCUAUGUCUUAUGCGCUUGCUGAAUUAGUUAUUUCCUCUCCCUGCCACCUCUCUUCUUUAUAAGUGGCGGCUUAUUAUAUUGUUUUUAACCUUUCUUCUAGGUUCGUCAUGAAUUAAGUGCUUUCUGGUCGAUUCUAGUAGAUGAAAUUAUCAACAACAUUAACUAACCAUGAUGAGUUCUUCUUUCUCUGGGGUUACUCGGAUGAUACACUUUUUCCUGAAAAAAUGCCUGAAGAUUUCCCCUUUCGAUCAUCUUUCUUGGAGGAGAAAAUUUAAGACAAGGGAAAGUGAUUUCUUUGAUUUUGACACUGCUGAUUGUGUCAUUGACAAAGCUACUUUUCAUUCAAGGAAAUAUUUGAGGAUGAAUUUCUGAAUGGUCCUGCUGAUAAAAAUGACACUCAGACGGUUUCGGUUAGUGACUCAAUCAAAGACAAGCUAAGAAUGUUGCACUUAACAAUCCUGCCUUUGUUGCUCCGGGUAAUCUUCGCCAAGAGCAACCAUCUGAAGCUUAACACUAUCGUAGUUUUAGUCCCACUUCCAAGACUGCUUAAGAUCGCCCUUAUGAGGUCCAAUGCAUUUAUAAUCCAUCUAUCGCUCCUGAAGCCGUGCCAUUUGUACCCUAAUUAUCCCUGGAGCCAACAAUUGAUUAAGGCCGGUCACUUCUUUAGGGUUUGUAUUUCCUGAAAACAUCCCAACUCCAGGGCAAUCUUCCCAUCGUAGACAUGCAGGCUACUGCCCUACUGAUAGUCCUGAAAGAGUGAACAGGAAUAACUUGUGAAGUGCUGUUUAGGAGACAGAGUAAUGGAGCUCCGAUGCUGAUUGGAGAUGUGCUGCGUGAUGAUCCUCAAGCUUGCCUUACUUUAUUAUUUGGUCUCCAGACAAAGGGAGAUUUGGACUAAUUUGGUAUUGGUAGCAAUAAAAGGCUUUUGGAAUCUGUUACAUACGGAUUAGUUAAGGUAAUAACUCCAUUCCAUUUUAAAAUGUCAGUAUCUGUGUGCGGUGUUUAACUCCUAUUCUAAUUUGUAGGGACAUUGGAUAUGGUGCAUCCAUUUCAACCCUUAUAAAUUAGGGUAUAUUCAUAAUUUUAUUAAUAAAUUAUGGGCAAAAUGGCAAGUUAAUAUAUUGACUGGUAUGUUUUAGGGAGAUAAUGGUAAUUAUAAGUUGAAAAUAAAUUUUUUAUUAAAAUUAAUAGAAUUUAUUAAUAAUUUGGGGUUUAAGUGUCUUUUUCAAAAUGUUAGGGACUUUCAUAUCCAUUUCCGUAAACAUUUGGUGUGCGUUAGUCCUUUCCCUAUAAAACCAAAACUAUUAUUAUUCAAUUUAAAUAUAAAAUCAGUAAAUAUAUAAGGUAAUCAAUAUUAUAACUUAAUUGAUGUGAAAAUUCGUUUAAUAUUAUCAAGUGAAUUAUUAAUAAUGAUUAAAACUCAUAAUCCUACUCAAGUACACAUUGGCACGAAAUUUUGUACCAACAUUUGCACUCGAGCAUGACUGAUUAACUAUAUUUUUUUAAGUUAUAUUAAUUAUUGGUUAAUAGACACUGAUCUGCAUGGACCCUCAUGGAUAAGACUCUCGUCAAUGCGCUCUAUAGUUGCACGAAAAAUCCAUGCAGAGUUUACAAAACCAAUAGUCAUCAAUUUUAAACGUCACAAUCAUCACCAAAGGAACAUAAAGUUCAACGCAAGAUAAGAACAUCUUGGGAAGUAUAUUAAUUUUAUUAUACGAAAAAGGUCUCGCAUUUGCAUGCAUAAAAGCUGAAGAAUACAAAAGACACAUCAGAGAUUCGAUUGACACACACAGCAACAAUCCACAAGCAUGAAAAUGACAAGAACUUUUCUGUUUCUACUUUCUACAUGUGGCUGUUUAUUCUUCAUUAAAAAAAAGAUAAAAAAGAAUCAAACGCGGCAACUCGAUCGACCGCUAUCUUGCUCUGAGUAAGCUUUUCAUCAAACCCUUUCUUUAUUCGGAUACCAUUCGCCUCUCCUACAAGAACAAAUUAAUCAGUUUCUUUUAUUUGUCACUCAAUCACUAGGAACACAAUUAAACAGAACACGGUGCUUAAAAUUGAAAUGCUUAAUAUAAUUCUGAACUACUAGUCUUUACAUGUACAGUUUUAAAAAUAGAUGAGAUUACCAAAAAGCAUGAGCUAUUCAUGGCCGCUUUCUAGUAGUAGUAAGGAGGAGGGGGAGAUGCAGAGACGUAAGGGUGAGGCGGUGGUGGUGUGAACUUGGGGAUGGGGACAGGAGGUGGCGGAGAAGGGAAAAUUGGAGUUGGUGGCGGAGCAGGCUCGCAGGCUGGUGGAGAAGGUGGCGGGGACUUGUAAUUUGGGGUGGUGGUGGAGACUUGUGAACCGGUGGUGGAGGUGGUGGAAAUUUGUGUUAUAUUGAUUUUCGGAUAUGGAGGCAAAGAACAAAGAAAUUUCUUAAGAUUUGAGACGUCUUUGCACACUUUCCUUUAAGGUUUUAUUUACCCUCACCAAUCUUAGUUUGCUAUAGAAUUUUAAUGGUAAAUUACCUCCAAGAUAUAACAAAUCCUGAAUACAAUCUCUAGCAAAUAAGAUUGUAUUCUAGAACACAAAGAAAUCUGUAAUUAAUCUGAUCUAUUUGAUCUAAUGUAUGUGUCUAUUUUAAUGAAGAACAUGUUUAUAUGAAAGAUUACAACCAUUAGAAAUGGUACUUCUUUAAAGACACUCUUUUUGGUUUGAAAUUUGCAUCCAUUCACAAUUAAAUUUUCAAGCCUGCCAACCGUUUUUCCAGUUGACGUGAAAACGCGCUCCCUAGAAGAAAACGGUUAGCCGGUUUCUCAAUAACGGCGAGCCGUUUUAUUCUAGAAUGUCAAAUAAGUUACUCUCUGGAAAUAACCGAUGAGCCGUUUUCUCCAAACGGUUAGCCAUUUUCUGUAGAACAUAAAAUAUGCAUUCUGGAAAUAAACGGUUAGCCGUUUUCUUCAAAUGGUUAGCAUUUUUUUUGUAAAACAGAAAACAUGCUCUCUAGAAUUAAAUGGUUAGCCAUUUUCUCCGGAAACGGCAAGCCGUUUUCUUCUAGAAUGUCAAACCAAAAAUUGAAAAAAUGUUACAAUCUCUUUUACAAUUUGUACUGGGGAGGGGGAGGUGGUGGUGGUGGAUAUUUCUUUGGUGGGGGAGGAGAUGUGUAAUAGUAAUUGGUUGCGGAGGCUUCUAAUGGCAAGUAGCUGAGAGAGACUGAUAUUACGAAAAGAGUAGCAAGGAGAUAGCCCAUUUGAGACCCCAUCGUUCAAUACAAAGUGGAGUUUCGCUUGUGCUAUAAACCGAGCUCCUUCGCGUCCUUAUAUAGACUUGGCAUUUUACCUUCUCUACCAAACUUGUCAUUUAUAACCUUGAUGUUAAAUAUCUGUAACUAAAUGAUUCUGGUUAUGUAUGAAAACUGUGUCGUCAAGUUGGCACAAAUUUGACUAAAUAUAAAAUUUUAUUAUUUUGUUUAGUGCCCAGCUGUUGCCCAAGCAGGGAAUAAAGUAAUUAACAGUUACUGAGUUACGAUCCUGUUAAUGAUAUGGCAUCUUUUUUAUCAAUGUAAUAAUUUGAACAGGAAGUCUUUUGUAAUUAAUUUCAAUAUCAUUAUUCUUCAUAAAAAGCUUGAAAACAUGUCAUUACCUAACCUAUCAUGAGUGCUUUGGCCUUGCGUCCAGGCGGCGAGACUUAUUUGCAAUAAUAAUAGUAAUAUGAAUGUUUUUUCUUUUGCUCAAAAAUUAUUUCUUCAAGAUUAUGAAGCUGCAUUGAUUAGAUCUAUGACUAACAGUAAGGGUGGGCACUAUUUAGUUUGGUUCGGUUCAGGUUCAGAAUUGAAUCAAGUUAAAACUAAAUGGUUCAUGAAUUUAUGAAAUAAAUGUGAACCAAACUAUAGAACUGAACCAAAUAGAUUCAAUUUAGUUCAGUUCUAUAAUCUGGUUUAGUAUGAUUUGGUUUUAUCUUGUAUAUUCAUUAUUUAAUUAAAAAAAGAUAUAAUAGUAAUACACUACGAAUACAAUAAUAAUUCAAAAAUUCACAAACAAUAAACAACAUAAUAAAAUUAACAAUAAGAAAUUAACAUAAUAAUUAAAGUCCAAAAAUAAUCUAGAAAUUCACUACAUAUUACAAAAUAAACUUCAAACUUCUAGUACCGACAAUCACUCUCCCAAACUUUUUCAUCCUUUAACUUCCGCAUCCACAAUGCAUAUAUUAUUUCUCAAAUUCAAAGUAAGAUAUUAGCCAAGCACCAACAAUUAAUAAAAGAAUAAAAUAAAGUGUAUGCUAUGACCUAGAUAAUCACAUUUAUUAACUAGCAGAUAAAAGUAAAAAAGGAUAAAUUAUGAACUUUUUUAAUUUUUAUUUUUAUUUUUAUUUUCUUAAAUCAUUUAGUUUAGUAAUUUGGUUUGGUCUUGAACUGAACCAAAUAAAAAACCAAAUGGUUCAAACAUUCUAAAUCAUUUAGUUUUUAUGCUUUGAACCAAAUUGAAUUGAACCGCCGCCAUAAUAUAGUUCGGUUCGACUUGGUUUAGACUAAACCAAGCCAAAGGCACACCCUAACUGAGAGCAAUAUGUUCUUACUACAUUUGUCCGAAGAGUUAACUAUUUUGCCCAACCCAAAUAUAUGAACAGACAAUAAUUGGUCUUAGGGGGGUGAGAACUGGGAAAUUCGACUCGUCCCAAUAAUAAUAAUAUAAUGCAAAUCAAUAAUAUGAAUUAUUUUGCAUUUAACUAAUUUUAAACACUUAACAAUUAAAAUCUCUCUCAAAUAAUUAUAUAUAAAUCCUAUUUAUAUGAAGUAAAUACCAAGACGAUGCUAUGCUUUUCAAGUUUAGGUGUUAACUAAAAGAAAAAGUUAGCAUGACUCAAUAACAAUAAUAAUAAUAAUAGUAAUUUCCAUAUUUUUUAAAAAAUAAUCUCAAGUUAAAUUAACUACUCUCGUCCCUCCAAAGAAAAAGUAAUAAUAUUGAUAAUAAAAAUAAUAAUAAACCAAAAACACAAUUCAAAUCUUUUUAAAUUCUUUUGAAUGCUUCAAACUGCCACAUAGAGAGAGAUAAAGAGAAUUAAAAACUAUUAAGUGCAAGGUCGGCUCUAAAGUAUUGGGGGCCUAAAGAGAAAAAGAAACUAUAAUAAUUUUCUUUACAAAGAAGAGCACAAGAAAUUUUAUUAAGUCAAAUAAUUAAGCAUUUUUUUAAAUAGAUAAAGAAUUUAAUCUUUUUUCUUGGAAGAAUCAAUAAUAGAUUAACGGUUAGAUAAUAUUAUUAAUUAUACGUCUUUAACAUUAAGUUAU
This 157086-nucleotide long non-coding RNA is filed under the name Citrus x clementina. Its description in RNAcentral is "Citrus clementina (C. clementina) long non-coding RNA (CCLE_LNC004342)". The stretch from base 12028 to 12134 matches the Rfam family "Plant small nucleolar RNA R71". Lineage: Eukaryota; Viridiplantae; Streptophyta; Magnoliopsida; Sapindales; Rutaceae. The record is from RNAcentral.